RNAcentral lists this long non-coding RNA (116893 nucleotides) under Hordeum vulgare. Its description in RNAcentral is "long non-coding RNA (HVUL_LNC017079)". The stretch from base 83979 to 84103 matches the Rfam family "MIR1120/MIR1122 microRNA precursor family". The record is from RNAcentral. Lineage: Eukaryota; Viridiplantae; Streptophyta; Magnoliopsida; Poales; Poaceae.
AAAGAGGGUGAGGAGGAAGAUUAGCCCGAAGCCGGCGACGUUGAGGAGGAGGACGAUCUUGGCUGUGAAAAUCUUGGCCUUCCUGGGGGCGUAGACGAGGUACAUGAUGAUGUAGACGGUCUCGAUGACGCAGCCGGCAGCGUUGAUGGUGAUGAGGAGGCCCUCGCCGGUCUUGACCAGCGCGUAGAAGAUCCACAGCAUCGCGCUGAACAGGGCCACGACGUAGGGCACCGACUGGAACCCCUCAGUGGAUUUGCUCUUGAAGAUCCGGUAGAAUGUUGGUCUAAUAUUUAUUGUUGUGUGUACAUUAGUUAUGAGAGAACUUAUUAAGAUGGUCUAUCAAAUGAAAACUAGAAAUGACAGAGGCACUUUGCUUACAUCGGGGCGAGGAGGCUCGUAAAAGAGAUGAUGUUGCCUGCACGGCACAAAGUUAGAGAAGUUAGCAACCAGUUGUGAUAUUUGCAGGACACAUUUACAUCUUUCUUUUAUGCGCUUUAUCGUAUGCAAAAUAACAUAGGCAGUUCAUUUGUUGUUGCUUCUUGAUGGGUUGUUGGUGCACCGAACUAGAUGUCACUAGUGCUAGUACUAGACUACAUCAAUUAAUCAAUCUGUGGCAAAGAUAAGAUAUAUAGAUAGAUGCUGCAAAAGGAUGAUCUUAAACGACACAAAGUAGUCUACUAAUACUGCACUAGCAAAUAACAGCUGUAAUAAGAGACUAUCAUAAUACAAGGGGUAAUUCUUGGACAUCUUUUUCUCGUGGUGAGAAUAAUAUACCCAGUAGGCCGAAGGCGAAUGCCCAAGGGUGCUCCAUGGAUAGGCCAGCCAUUGUGAUACGAAGAUAUUGAAGGGAAAUAAGACAGAUAUGAAGUUGACAACAAGCCUGCUGGCAAAUUAAUCAACAGUGGGGCUAGAGGUUGUUUUUUGCUCUUCUCUCACUCUCUGCCUCUCUCUAACCCUAGACUCCUGGAGGGGAGAAGGGAGAGGUCUGAAGAGGAGAGCUCACUGUGUUGGUUGGAACUCUUGGCCUGAAUUGUAAGGUUGUUAAUGGGGUGCUUUAUAUAGGCAGGAAGAUUACAUGACUGCCUUGGUGUAUGCAAGCUAUCCUAUCACACAUAUGCCACACAAAAUUAAUGAUUGGCUUUCUAGAAAGAAAAAAGUUUCCAGCAAUGCAUAAUUGAGCUUAUCUAAUGUGCUAUGCUUUUUUCCCCGAAAAAUCUGAUGUGCUAUGCUUGAUAGAGAUAAUGAUAGAAUUUUUCAAAAGUUGUCGCUUUGGUGUACACUUUAGCUUUACUGUGCAUAAUACAUCCGCUCCUGAAUAUUUAUACACCCGGAGUUGUGUUAUACUACGUCAUUCUUCCGGUCUUCCCAACCUUAGAUCUUUGGGGUGUGGUAAUAGCCGCCACGCAACUGUAAACGAAAUGAGACAUUCCAACUGGGAGGACUCUUCACACUAUUAGUUGAUUAUUGAUUUUACGGAAUGAAAUGUCUUACAAGGAACAAAUAAUUAACUUUUGUAUAUAGACAUAGUGUCCAGUAGCUGAAUUAACUUAGCAGCCUUUUCGCAUUAAAAAUCUACAAGCAAAGAGUCAUUAAAUUAAUAUGCUGACAUUCUCAUACUUUUCGGUGAUCCGCGUGUAUGUUUUUCAUGAUUUGAGACUAACUAUCACGACAUGCAGUGGUCAAUUCAUUGCAUGUAAUGAUAUUAAUUAGCAAACUAACAUUAAUUUCUCUUAUUUUCCUCUCCGUCUAGGUCGCGGUGCACAACCUAAUAUGACUUAUAAACCGAGACGGAGGGAGUACAUGGCCUUGCAAAUACAUUCAAAUAGUGUUACUCAUCUUAAACUCAUCCAAACACAGGUACCACAGUCCUGAAAAGAUUAGUUUCAAGGGAAUACAAUCCAAAUGAAUUUACUUUCACCCUCUGCCUGAAUAAGAUAUACACAGUCAAUAGAACCACACACACUAGCAAAUACAAAGUCAUCCCAGACCAAUACAACACAGACCUCCGCGUCGCUCCUAGGAGAGGCGACUUGGGUGGAACCCUAGUGCAGCCUCCACCCCUUCCCCCUACGAUCAAUCUUGCUUAUCCCGCCAUCGUCAAAGAACGCCUCCGGACAAAGUCCAUGAGGCUGAUGCUGGCGGCGGGUCCUCAUCCUCCUCGCAUGAAUGAUGGCGGCAGGGGGCCCAUCGUUUCUCGUGUUGCGGGAUCUCCGGCCGAAGAUCAUGGCAGCCCUGGAUGGCGUGGUUCGUACAGCAGAGAUGGACAUCGAGGCGGUGGCCCCGGAUUUCUACGGUGACCUCGAAUACCAUUGUGGCCGCGAAGGCGACACAGCAACCGGUUCGGGGGGGGGGGGCUCGGUGCAUCUCAACUACUUAUCUCUGCAUGGUGCGGGUGGUGACGGCGGUGCCCGUUCAGAUCUUCGGCCUACCGUAGGAAACCGGUGGAUGGUGUGGUGAUACGAUCUCUAACAUAUCUAUUUUUCGAUUGCUCCAUGCUAUUAUAUUUUUCUAGGGUGCUUUUUAGGCAUUUAUUUGCUGAUUAAUAUUAUUUUAAGCACUAAUCUAUUAAUCCAGUGCCAAAGUUCUAGUUGUUGUUUUCCGCAUGUUCUAGUUGUUGUUUUCCGCAUGUUUUUAGCUUGUCAGAAAUAUUGUACCAAAAGAAGUCCAAAUACCCAGAACUUUUUGAUUGUUUUUUUCUGGACAAAAUAAGGACCUGAAAGCUUUGAAGGAGACCGGAGGCCCCAUGAGGUGGUGCCAAGCCAACAGGGUGCACCCAAGGGGGGUGGUCGCGCACUGAUGGCCUGGGGCCACCUGCCUUGGCCUCUAGCCCUCCUCCGUGUCCUAUAAAUUCACAUUAAUCCCAAAAACUCUAAGUAGCCUCUGGAAACACUUUUUCUGCCAUCACAAGUCUCUGUUCCGCCAUGUGUUCGUCUGGAGCCCUGUCCCGGUGCCUUGUCGUAGGGGGAUCAAUCACAGUGGGCCUUUACAUCAACCUUGAUGCUCCCAUGCUGGUGUGUGUUUAGUUCACCACACACCCGUGGGUCAAUAGUUAGUACCUAGAUGGUUAUCUAUCUCUCUAUGUUCUUCAUUGCCAUGAUCAUCACGACUCAUGUGGUGAUCCAUCUUAUGUAAUCAUUGUUGUGCGGUGCAUUUGUUGGGAUCCGAUGAAUUAUGGGUUUAUGUUUAGAUUAUUCAUGAAUAAUAUUUGAGUCUUUCUUGAAUUCUUAUAUGCAUGAUUGUGAUAGCUUCGCAAUUCUCUCUGAUCUAUUGAUUUGGUUUGGUCAAGUAGAUUGAUCUAUCUUUAGUGGGAGAGGCGCGUUGUAGUGGGUUCAAUCUUGCGGUGCUCAAUCCUAGUGACAGAAAGAGAUAUGACACGUAUUAUAUUCCUUCCACUAAGGGUAAAAACGAUGGGGUUGAUUCAUAUUAAUUGGAUUUACUUUCUCUACAUCAUGUGAUUAUUCUCCAAGCAUUACUCUGUUUUCACUUAAUACUCUAGAUGCAUGUUAGAUAGAGGUGUGAUAAUAGUAGAUACAUGUAGAAGUCGGUCUCCUUUCUUAGAGAUGUGAUGCAUAUAUGUAAUGCUAAUUGCAAUGAAUGAAUACUACAUAACUAUUCGCUUUUCUAUCAGUUGACCAACAAUAAUUUGUUUACCCACCAUAUGUUUUCUACAAGAGAGAAGCCUCUGAAGAAAUCUAUGGCCCCCGGGUCUAUUCACAAAUAUAUUUAUCAAAACACUAAAUACCUUGCUGCCUUUUAUUGUUUGUAUUUAAUUUUUAUAUUUCAUAUAUUUAAACUAUCUAUCUAUCACUACUUAUUACUUGCAAGUAACGAGUCCAAGGGGAUUCACAACCCUCUUGCCCGCGUUGGGUGCAAGUGUGUGCUCUUUUGUGUGUAGACGCUAAAGACAAAAAAUUGCGUGGUCCUCCUGUUGGUUCGAUAACCUUGGUUCUCAUUGAGGGAAAUACUUAUUUAUAUUGUGAUGCAUCAUCCUUUCCUCUUCGGGGAAAACCCCAAUGCAGAUCACAAGUAUGACAUGGUCAUUGGGUCCUUUUUGCUCUAAGAUGAUGGUGUUCUGCCGGUUGCCAACUCUCAUGGAUCUGCCAUUGACGUGUUCCGAAAUGCUCCGCCAAAGAUCUUCAUUCGGUGCUUCACGCAUGUAUAUUGUUGGAUCGAAUGGAAUUCGGUCAUGUGCGCCCUUGUUUCAGCCCGAGUGGCUUCACGAGGGUCUGACGCGAAAGUUCGGUCUAUGUUGACAUUAUGGGAGAUGACGGUUUUUGGAUAUUCAUGUUGAAGCCAUUAGCAUAGAACGUCAUGGCGGAUGAGCUCUGAGGCCUCGUAAUGUAGAUCGAGUCUUCGUGGAGAUGAGUACUUUCCUUGGUGAUUUGUGACUCAUAGCCUUGACAUCCGCAAGUACGGGCGGUAGCACAUGCGGAGUACAAAGUCUUAGCUUUCAGGGUGAAAACUCAAGGCCUGACCUUAAUUGGUUCUGUAUGGCAGAUACCUUGUCGAAGGCAUUGAUUUGAUAUCACGGAUCUUCUCUAGGGUGAAGACCUUAGAUCUAGGAUAGGCUGAUGGGGGUACUUGCACUAGUAGAGAAAUGGCUAGCCAGAAGUUUUGUUGGUGGGGCGCCAUCUCACACCAAUGCAGAACAAGCACCUCAAUACAACGCGUCGAGUUGCCUUUUCGACCCCUCCGUCGCCCAUCAUGCAGGAGACCAAGGGGACACAACCCCUCGUCGUCGGUCCCCCUCCUCCUAUCCCCUCACCCCUACGCCCCCGCCGGUGGUCGGCGCCGGACUAAGCCUGCGCGUGGGCGGCGGCGGAGGAGGAGUCGCCCUCUCACUCAGGGAUUAGGAUGCACGGGAUCCCAGAUCUCGAGGAUGAGGCCCCGAUCGAUCACGACGAUGUUGUUCUAGCCAUGACAGCCUCCAUUUGGAGUGACCCGACCGACCGAUGACCGAGUGGCGUUCGUGGCGACAGACUGGCUCUGCUCUGCCUAGUCUGCGACGAAGGGUCGUGGAUCCGGGGUGGUGGCCCCUAGGUUGGCCUCCUUGUCCGGCAUGAUGGGGCAGGUGGGUUGCCGGGGAUUGGAUCGGGCAGCGGUGAUCCUGCGACGGCUUGGCGCGACGGCGUGAGAUCUGGAGGUUGCCCCUUUCUCCUGUUGCCUCUCUCGUCGUCCCGGUGGUUUGCGGCUGCAGGCUCCGGUGAUGGUGAGCCCUAGUGGUGUACCUUGGGUCCUGGGGAAACCUUGACCGGUCUGGCCAGCCCGGCAGUGGCGUCGCCCAUGGGUGUCACUUUCCUUCAUGAAGUUCAUUCUGCAUCCGAUAUAUCUAAUUUGAAGAAGGGGGUCAAUACAUAUAUAUGAAUAAAUGAAACUGAACACAAAUGAUGGUAAUAAAAUAAAAUUGUGAAUAUUAUUAUUUGCGCACGUCAUAUUGUUUGUCAGAGUAGCCCCGCUCACAGGUCACGUGGCAGAUGGACUCGCAAAUGUAGUAUCCACAGUAAUCAUUCCCUGGUUACUGCCACAACCACUUUACAAGAAAUAGAGGUCAAUCAAACUGAUAGUUAGCAAGCAUGCUAAAUGGUAUUGAUGAAACUAGCGCUUGAAUCACUAGGAGAUGCGUGGAACAUGCUACUAUAGUACUUACUUUCGGGUGUCUAAAUUGCAGCUUCUUCGGCAGUCCCGGAGUUUUUGCGGUGAAUUUUUUCCAAACCCUGUCAGACAAGAAAACAAUUACUUGAUAUCAGGAAAUGAACAAAGUUGCCGAUAUGGUGCGAUAAUGAUCGAUUUAACUUACUUCUCUAGAAUUCCAGUCAUGUCCGCAUACUCGUUGGGAUCCUUUCGUCUUGAGUCUAAGACGGUUACUAGUCCGUGCUCAAUCUUAAUCUCUAGGAGAAUAUAGUGGAAGCUGCGCACGCAUGCAUAACUCAUCAAUUACAUUACUAUAACCUUGACUAAUAAGGGAAACCGAAUAUGCACAAGACAGUAACACUCACUGGAAUUUGUAAGGAAAGAGUAUUAUAGCUUUGUUUUGAUUCAAUACAAACGAUUGUAGCAGGUUGGCCUCGGUAUCUUUGGCCUGAGAUUUAAUCAUAAAUGCAUCUACGAGAUUUGUGUUAAUGAACCCAAUAUCACCGAUUUGUCUUUUCUUCAAUUCGACGAUCUUCAAUCUGCAUAUAAUAUAGUGAGGAUAAUUAAAAAUACAUGCAACGAAAAAGCUGACCUAUAUAUAGAGACUUAAUGACAGAAGUAGUACUACUUACAGGCAGUAGCAAGUGAUCAUUAAUUUAUCGAGGGCCUUUAGAUUGAAAAACGGAAAGAACUCCUCAAAUGGAACCAUCAACAGUUCAAGUCCAACGAGGUCAUGCUCCUUUCUAACUCCGAGCAGCAAAAUAUUACUCCACCCGGACUCUUUGCAAGUUUUCAUGUACCAAUCAUGGAAUCUUCGCAUCAUCGUUGUUAGAGAUCUUUCAUCUUUGACGAGAGGCUUCCCGUACACGUAUUUGUGUCCGUCCACCUCCAAUCAAUCAAAAUGUGCAUCAUCGGGCAUGUAAUCUGCGGGAUUGGUACCGGGAAACAAGAUCCUCGGAUGAUUAGCGACGAUAUCGCUAGACACCUUGAGCGGGGGGAACGAUUGGUUCGCUUGUUCGCCGAGCUGGGCAACUUUUUUCCCAGCUCCUCGUUCUGCUAACCUUUGAUCACUGACAGUACUUCCUGACCGCAGCGCUUCGAUAAAUGACUUUGUAAUAAUGCGCUCAUAGUUGCCUUUCGUCGGAGACUUUGGUGGUUUCUUCAGGGCAGCCAGAGUACGCUUUGCUUUUACCAGAUCUAUCUUCUCCUCCGGAGGUGGAUGUUUUUUUGCUUUCACCCCUUCAAAGAAGUUCUUCACUUCGGCUUCCACGAUCUUCGUGAUUUCCUCCUGGCUCCUCUCGUAUGGUAACUUCUCUGGAGUCUUCAGAGAAGGACCGUAUCUGUAUUGCCUGCCUUUGGCUGUAGUGCUAGACGCCGGAGCAGACGGAGCGGCUGCGGCUGUCUUUCCUUUCUUACGAGGCGAAGCAGAAGGACGACGCGCCGGAGGAGCCGGUGCGGCGGCGGGUCUCUUCCGCCCUUGUUGACGAGGCGGAGAAUGGGGAGGCAGCUGGCUGCUCGGGCGCGCCAGCGCAGGCGAAGAAGGAGGCGAAGUGUCGCCACGCGCUGGAGAAGGAGGCUGAGUGCCCUGAUCACUCGCCGGAGGAGGCGGAGUGCCCUAGCUCGCCGGAGGAGGAGGAGGAGGCGGAGGCGUCCAGUUCGGAAGGUUGAUGAGUUCCUUCCGCCAUAGGCAUGGAGUCUUCAGAGAAGAACCCAGCCGAAUCUCCCCUUCACCCGUAGGAUGGUCAAGCUCAAGGUCCUCAAAUCCGUCUGUUAUUUGAUCCACCAUCACCCUAGCAUAUCCUUCUGGAAUGGGCUGGCCGUGGUAGGUUGAGUCAGGUUCAUUAGGUAAAACAGAGCCAACAGCCGCCUUGACUUUAAAUGUCAUCCAUCGCGUCAUAAGGUGGCAAUGUUGAGACUCUAUGAUAGCAUCCACGGGGUAGCCCGUGAAGACAGGCUCCAACUGCUGAGUUUUCUCGGUGGAAGCCAGGCUUCUUCUCCGCUGAGAUGGCGGGGUAGCUUCAGGGGAAGCUUCGGCAUGUCGUUUGCUGCGAUCUGCUUCUCGUUCCUCUAGCCCUUGUACCCUUUCGUGCAGCACCUGCAGUUGGCUAUGCUCCACUUUCUUCCUCCUCUCCUGGGUUUUGUAACCCCCUGCGUCCGGAAACCCAGCGUUCCAUGGAAGGGAGCCUGGCGUGCCUCCUGUCCAUCCAGGGUGCUCAGGAUUCCCAAGGGCCAUUGUGAGCUCGUCCUUCUCUCUGUCUGGAACGAACGUCCCUUCCUGUGCUGCGGCGAUAUAGUGUCGAAGCUUCGUGACGGGUAUUCACAGUUGCUCUUCCGUCCAAACGCACUUCCCUGAUACAGGGUCCAAGGUUCCGCCAACCCCGAAGAACCAAGUCCGGCAACGUUCUGGCCAUCUCAAUGUCUCUGGUUCGACCCCUUUAGCAAUCAGGUCAUUCUCAGCCUUCUCCCACAAAGGUCGGGCUCUGAGGUAACCACCUGACCCCGUGCGAUGGUGAUGCUUCUUCUUCGUAGCAUUUUUCUUGUUUGUCGCUGACAUCUUCUUACUCUUUUCCGAUGUCUUGUGGGCCACAAAUGCAGGCCAUUGAUCUCUGAUCUUCUCAAACCGGCCGGUGAAUUCUGGUGUCUCUUCUUUGUCGACAAACGUUUUCAGCUCAUUCUUCCACCUCCUGAAUAGUUCUGCCAUCUUCUUAAGAGCACGAGACUUGAUCAAUUGCUCUAUAACUGGCUUCUCCGGAUCCUCCUCUGGCGGUAGGGUGAAAUUUGCCUUAAGCGUUGUCCAAAGAUCUUCUUUCUGCAUAUCGGAGACAUAAGACGUCGGCACCUCAGGGUCUUCCUUCUUUGGCUUUAACCAUUGCUGGAUACUGAUCGGUAUCUUGUCCCUAACAAGAACCCCGCACUGAGCACGAAAUGCAACCCUUGUCCGGAUGGGUUCAAUCGGCUUGCCAUCGGGCGCGAUUGCUGUGAUCUCAAACCUUUCAUCCGAGCGCAAAUUUUUCUUUGGGCCUCGUUUCUUUACCGAAGUUGAGCUCGAUCCGAAGGGCUAGAGAAAUAAGAAGAAAGACGAGAGUUAAUUAAUAUGUGUACAUAUGAAAACAAUGAAUGCAUCAGUUAACUAGUCAGCACGGGCUUAACUAAUAUAUAUAUACCUGGCCGAACUCGGUUCGGUCACCGGAGCCGUCAUCACGGUCUCCUUCUUGUACCUCGAUUGGGUCACCAGAGCCAUCAUGAACAUAGCCCUCUUCUUGUAUCGGCACUAAUGGGUCACCGGAGCCAUCAUUAACAUAGCCCUCUUCUUCACUCGGUCCUUCCUGACCAUCGGUGUCGUAGAGAAACGACACAAUGACAUCAGUUCCUUGUGCGAUUAUCUCCCCCAACAUCGCUUUUGAUGCUUUGUCUCGGGAGGGAUCCAUAGUUUCUGCAAAUAUUUACAACAUGUCAAUUAUUAUUCAAACAUGGUACAGAUGGAUAUAUAUUAUUGGCAAACGUAGAACUAGCUAGCUAAUCACAAUAAGGAAUCAUGUUAGUGGCCUCGACGUUGCUUCUCUAGGGUUUGGGGUGGCCUAGACAACGCUUCAAGGGUUUGGGGUGGCCUCGACACAACGCUUCAAGGGUUUGGGGUGGCCUCGACGACAACGCUCUUUUAACUUGGUAAAUUUGGGUGGCCUCGAGAGAGUUUGUCGGGUAGGGGCGAGGCGGGAGGGGGUAGGAGACCAACAUCGUUUUUUCUCUAGGGUUUGGGUGUCCUCGAGAGUUUUGGUCGAGCGAGAGAGCCGAGGGGGGUGCUCCCGUGGUAUAAGUUAUCACGGUCGAGAGUGGGUAUAUAUAUCGAUCGCCCCUUAUGUCGAAGUUAUCCGGGAGGGGGUUAUAUCGACAACGACGCGACAUACAUAUACAUGGGAAAAUAAUGUUAUCGGGGAAGGGGUAUAUCGGUACCCCCCCCCUCGAGUUGAAGUUCGAUCGGGAGGGGGUAUAUCGACAACGACAUACCAGAUAAAAAAUAAGAAGACAAAAGAAGAAAUAAAAAGAGGAGAAGAAGAAAGGAAUAGAAGAGAAGCAAUCGAAGAAAAAAAGAAGAAAAAAAAGAGAAGAAGAAAGGAAUAGAGGAGUAAGAAGAAAAAAAAAUAGAAAAUUAAUUUUCUAUUUUUUUUCUUCUUACUCCUCUAUUCCUUUCUUCUUCUCCUCUUCUUUUUCUUCUUUUUUCCUCUUCUUAUUUAUUUCUCCUCUUCUUCCUCUCCUCUUCUUCUCCUUUCUUCCUCUUCUUAUUUUCCUUUUUCUCCUCUCAUUCUUUUUCUUCUUCUUCGUUAUCUUCCUAGCUAUAUAUAAUACUUUUCUAAAAAUGUAACUUUUGCAUAUAUAAAUCUUUUUCUUCUUCUUACUUCUUCCUUCUUUUCCUAAAUAUAUAAAACUUUUCUAAAAAUGAAACUAACCUAAAAUGUAGUAAAUUAGAGAACAUAUAUAGAUAAAACUAACCUAAAAUGUACCCAAAUGUGCUAAAAAUCUAACUUUCAUAUGCACAGAAAACAUACAUACAUAUAUACAUUUUUAUAAAAAUGCAAAAACAAAUCAUCAUUUAUAUGAACAAAGGAGAGGACAGGGUGGGCGGCGCCGGCCUGACCAAGGAGAGGCACGGCGCCGGCGUCGGUGUAGAGGGCGGCGACGGCCGCAUGGUCGGGGCAGGGGCGAUGGCGAUCGACGGGGCAAAGGGAGGUGACGGCGUCGACGGGGCGGGUAGGGGCGCGGUAGAGGCACGGCGAGGGCGCGCGGCGUGGUCGGGGGGCAGGGGCGACGACGGCGUGGUCGGGCCGGGCAACGGCGGCGUGGUCGGGGCAGGGGCGACGACGGCGAGCUCGGGCAGCCUGGCGGCGUCGUCGGAGGAAUCGAAGAAACCGACGAAAUUUUCACAAAUGCUGGCUUAUAUAGCAAAGCCAUUGGUACCGGUUCGUGGCACCAACCGGUACCAAUGCCUCCUUUAGUCCUGGUUCGUGCCACAAACCGGGACCAAAGUCCGCCGCUUCCCGCCCGUUGGGCUGGUGAAAAGUGACCUUUGGUCCCGGUUGGUGGCACCAACCGGGACUAAAGGUCACUUUUCAGCAACCCAAAGGGCGGGAAGCGGUGGCCUUUGGUCCCGGUUGGUGCCACGAACCAGUACCAAUGCACCCCCUUUAGUCCCGGUUGGUUCCACAAACCGGGACCAAAUUCUGCCCGCGUCACGGCCAAAGUUUAGUCACACCUCGCUAGUUGAGAGGGGCGCGCAGUGGUUUAUAAGCCCCACUGCCGCACCCCUCUCGAGCUCCUCUCCACUGCAGGCUUACGGGCCUACUUGCUACUUCUUUGCCUGAUGGGCCUUCUGGGCCUACUAUGGGCCUGAAUCCUGGCCCAUGGAUGGGUUUAUAGUCGUAUUCACGCCGUGGUGGCCCAGUUGGUGGCAAAUGUUUUAUUUUUUCCCAGUUUUUUUUGUUUUCUUUUUUUUUAUUUUUUUUUUUUUNNNNNNNNNNNNNNNNNNNNNNNNNNNNNNNNNNNNNNNNNNNNNNNNNNNNNNNNNNNNNNNNNNNNNNNNNNNNNNNNNNNNNNNNNNNNNNNNNNNNNNNNNNNNNNNNNNNNNNNNNNNNNNNNNNNNNNNNNNNNNNNNNNNNNNNNNNNNNNNNNNNNNNNNNNNNNNNNNNNNNNNNNNNNNNNNNNNNNNNNNNNNNNNNNNNNNNNNNNNNNNNNNNNNNNNNNNNNNNNNNNNNNNNNNNNNNNNNNNNNNNNNNNNNNNNNNNNNNNNNNNNNNNNNNNNNNNNNNNNNNNNNNNNNNNNNNNNNNNNNNNNNNNNNNNNNNNNNNNNNNNNNNNNNNNNNNNNNNNNNNNNNNNNNNNNNNNNNNNNNNNNNNNNNNNNNNNNNNNNNNNNNNNNNNNNNNNNNNNNNNNNNNNNNNNNNNNNNNNNNNNNNNNNNNNNNNNNNNNNNNNNNNNNNNNNNNNNNNNNNNNNNNNNNNNNNNNNNNNNNNNNNNNNNNNNNNNNNNNNNNNNNNNNNNNNNNNNNNNNNNNNNNNNNNNNNNNNNNNNNNNNNNNNNNNNNNNNNNNNNNNNNNNNNNNNNNNNNNNNNNNNNNNNNNNNNNNNNNNNNNNNNNNNNNNNNNNNNNNNNNNNNNNNNNNNNNNNNNNNNNNNNNNNNNNNNNNNNNNNNNNNNNNNNNNNNNNNNNNNNNNNNNNNNNNNNNNNNNNNNNNNNNNNNNNNNNNNNNNNNNNNNNNNNNNNNNNNNNNNNNNNNNNNNNNNNNNNNNNNNNNNNNNNNNNNNNNNNNNNNNNNNNNNNNNNNNNNNNNNNNNNNNNNNNNNNNNNNNNNNNNNNNNNNNNNNNNNNNNNNNNNNNNNNNNNNNNNNNNNNNNNNNNNNNNNNNNNNNNNNNNNNNNNNNNNNNNNNNNNNNNNNNNNNNNNNNNNNNNNNNNNNNNNNNNNNNNNNNNNNNNNNNNNNNNNNNNNNNNNNNNNNNNNNNNNNNNNNNNNNNNNNNNNNNNNNNNNNNNNNNNNNNNNNNNNNNNNNNNNNNNNNNNNNNNNNNNNNNNNNNNNNNNNNNNNNNNNNNNNNNNNNNNNNNNNNNNNNNNNNNNNNNNNNNNNNNNNNNNNNNNNNNNNNNNNNNNNNNNNNNNNNNNNNNNNNNNNNNNNNNNNNNNNNNNNNNNNNNNNNNNNNNNNNNNNNNNNNNNNNNNNNNNNNNNNNNNNNNNNNNNNNNNNNNNNNNNNNNNNNNNNNNNNNNNNNNNNNNNNNNNNNNNNNNNNNNNNNNNNNNNNNNNNNNNNNNNNNNNNNNNNNNNNNNNNNNNNNNNNNNNNNNNNNNNNNNNNNNNNNNNNNNNNNNNNNNNNNNNNNNNNNNNNNNNNNNNNNNNNNNNNNNNNNNNNNNNNNNNNNNNNNNNNNNNNNNNNNNNNNNNNNNNNNNNNNNNNNNNNNNNNNNNNNNNNNNNNNNNNNNNNNNNNNNNNNNNNNNNNNNNNNNNNNNNNNNNNNNNNNNNNNNNNNNNNNNNNNNNNNNNNNNNNNNNNNNNNNNNNNNNNNNNNNNNNNNNNNNNNNNNNNNNNNNNNNNNNNNNNNNNNNNNNNNNNNNNNNNNNNNNNNNNNNNNNNNNNNNNNNNNNNNNNNNNNNNNNNNNNNNNNNNNNNNNNNNNNNNNNNNNNNNNNNNNNNNNNNNNNNNNNNNNNNNNNNNNNNNNNNNNNNNNNNNNNNNNNNNNNNNNNAACUAGAUGCACUUCGUAUACAAAACGGACAAUCUCCUUCGAAGUAUAAGGGUUUCAUACGGAAACUCGUGUGUUACAAAGGGAUUUCAAUUUUUUUAACUUAUUUGAACCCCCUUGUUUUUCUGUGUUCAAAAUGUACCAUUCAAAGCCACAUCAUCAAUUUACAACCCUUUCUGACUUCAUUUGUUAUUUUUCAUGCAUUUACUGAUUAUUUUCACCUAUAAGACCAUGAAAUUGAAAAGCAUUUGAAAUGAACUCUCGAAAGGUUCCAAGUUGGCAUGGUAUCAUCAUUUCACCCACAUAGCAUGUGCAAGAAAGUAGAGAGGCUUGCAUCAAAAACUGGAUGCACUUCGUGUACAAAACGGACAAUCUCCUUCGAAGUAUCAGGGUUUAAUACAGAAACUCGUCUGUUACAAAGGGAUUUCAAUUUUUUUUAACUUAUUUGAACCCCCUUGUUUUUCUGUGUUCAAAAUGCAUAAUUAAAAGCCACAUCAUCAAUUUACAACCCUUUCUGACUUCAUUUGUUAUUUUUCAUGCAUUUACUGAUUAUUUCCAGCUAUAAGACCAUGAAAUUGAAAAGCAUUGAAAUGAACUCUGAAAAGGUUCCAAGUUGGCAUGGUAUCAUCAUUUCACCCACAUAGCAUGUGCAAGAAAGUAGAGAGGCUUACGGCAAAAACUAGAUGCACUUCGUAUACAAAACGGACAAUCUCCUUCGAAGUAUAAGGGUUUCAUACGGAAACUCGUGUGUUACAAAGGGAUUUCAAUUUUUUUAACUUAUUUGAACCCCCUUGUUUUUCUGUGUUCAAAAUGUACCAUUCAAAGCCACAUCAUCAAUUUACAACCCUUUCUGACUUCAUUUGUUAUUUUUCAUGCAUUUACUGAUUAUUUUCACCUAUAAGACCAUGAAAUUGAAAAGCAUUUGAAAUGAACUCUCGAAAGGUUCCAAGUUGGCAUGGUAUCAUCAUUUCACCCACAUAGCAUGUGCAAGAAAGUAGAGAGGCUUGCAUCAAAAACUGGAUGCACUUCGUGUACAAAACGGACAAUCUCCUUCGAAGUAUCAGGGUUUAAUACAGAAACUCGUCUGUUACAAAGGGAUUUCAAUUUUUUUUAACUUAUUUGAACCCCCUUGUUUUUCUGUGUUCAAAAUGCAUAAUUAAAAGCCACAUCAUCAAUUUACAACCCUUUCUGACUUCAUUUGUUAUUUUUCAUGCAUUUACUGNNNNNNGUAUCACGGUUUCAUACGGAAACUCGUCUUUUACAAAGGGAUUUCAUUUUUUUGAACUUAUUUUAACCCCCUUGAUUUUCUGUGUUCAAAAUGCACCAUUCAAAGCCACAUCAUCAAUUUACAACUCUUUCUGACUUCAUUUGUUAUUUUUAUGCAUUUAUUGAUUAUUUUCAGCUAUAAGACCAUGAAUUUGUAAAGCAUUUGAAAUGAACUCUGAAAAGGUUCCAAGUUGGCAUGGUAUCAUCAUUUCACCCANUAGAUGCACUUCGUGUACAAAACGGACAAUCUCCUUCGAAGUAUCACAGUUUCAUACGGAAACUCGUCUGUUACAAAGGGAUUCCAAUUUUUUUGAACUUAUUUGAACCCCCUUGUUUUUUUGUGUUCAAAAUGCACCAUUCAAAGCCACAUCAUCAAUUUACAACCCUUUCUGACUUCAUUUGUUAUUUUUCAUGCAUUUACUGAUUAUUUUCAGCUAUAAGACCAUGAAAUUGUAANNNNNNNNNNNNNNNNNNNNNNNNNNNNNNNNNNNNNNNNNNNNNNNNNNNNNNNNNNNNNNNNNNNNNNNNNNNNNNNNNNNNNNNNNNNNNNNNNNNNNNNNNNNNNNNNNNNNNNNNNNNNNNNNNNNNNNNNNNNNNNNNNNNNNNNNNNNNNNNNNNNNNNNNNNNNNNNNNNNNNNNNNNNNNNNNNNNNNNNNNNNNNNNNNNUCAUUUCACCCACAUAGCAUGUGCAAGAAAGUAGAGAGGCUUACGGCAAAAACUGGAUGCAUGUCGUGUACAAAACGGACAAUCUCCUUCGAAGUAUCACGGUUUCAUACGGAAACUCAUCUGUUACAAAGUGAUUUCAAUUUUUUGAACUUAUUUGAACCCCCUUGUUUUUCUGUGUUCAAAAUGCACCAUUCAAAGCCACAUCAUCAAUUUACAACCCUUUUUGACUUCAUUUGUUAUUUUUCAUGCAUUUACUGAUUAUUUUCAGCUAUAAGACCAUGAAAUUGUAAAGCAUUUGAAAUAAACUGUGAAAAGGUUCCAAGUUGGCAUCGUAUUAUCAUUUCACCCACAUAGCAUGUGCAAGAAAGUAGAGAGGCUUACGACAAAAAAUAGAUGCACUUCGUGUACAAAAUGGACAAUCUCCUUCGAAGUAUCAGUGUUUCAUACGGAAACUCGUCUGUUACAAAGGGAUUUCAAUUUUUUUGAACUUAUUUGAACCCCCUUGUUUUUCUGUGUUCAAAAUGCACCAUUCAUAGUUGUAAGACCAUGAAGUUGAAAAGCAUUUGAAAUGAACUCUGAAACCAAAGUACAUACAUAGUUCUCGAGAGCAUUAAAACCAAAGUACAUACAUAGUUCUCAUUGAACAACAUAUAGCUCUCUAGAGCAUCUAAUUAAACCAUACAUUGAGAUUAUGUAAAAAAUUUCAAUGCAAAAACAAAUGCGAUCAUAACCGCUACCAAGGUAACAACUGAUCCAACUGCAUAAUGAUACCAAGCCUCGGUAGGAAUGGCAUAUUUUCUAAUCUUUUUAAUCUUCAACCGCAUUGCAUCCAUCUUGAUCUUGUGAUCAUCGACGACAUCCGCAACAUGCAAGUCCAAUAUCAUCUUCUCCUCCUCAAUUUUUCUUACUUUUUCCUACAAGUAAUUGUUUUCUUCUUCAACUAAAUUUAACCUCUCGACAGUAGGGUCGGUUGGAAUUUCCGGUUCAACAACCUCCUAGAUAAAUAAAAUCUAUGUCACAUUGGUCGGCAUAAUUGUCAUAAACAAUAAAUGAACCAAAUAGUUAUGAAAAGAUAAUAUAUACCACAUGUGAAUCAUAGACAGGACGAGGGCCGACGGGGGCGGAUACCAAAACCAUCGCACUAUAUAAUAACAAGGAAUAAUAAAAGUAAGAAAAUUAGACAAGUAUCUAUCUGAAGUCAGAAUUUUUUUCUUUCAGAAAGAAGAUAAGAACAAGAGGCUCACCAUGGUGGUGCUGGCGACGAGAUCGGCGCGGGCAAUCGACGGCGAUGAAGACGGGGCGUGACGGACCGCUAAAUCUAGACAAAUCUCGUUGAAAAUGGAGCUCGGAGGUCGAGUUUCGAGAGGAGAAAGCUUAACUAGUGUGGCUCGGGCAUUUCAUCGAACACCUCAUGUGCAUAGGAGGUGAACUAGAGCACCCAAAUGCCCUCCCCUCGCCGGCUUGACAAAAACAGAGCACUGUGGAGUGCUCUGCCGUGGCGGUGGGUAUAUGUAGGCAAGUUAUUUGUCCCGGUUCAAGCCACGAACCGGGACCAAUGGUUGUGGGCCAGCAGCGAGGACCAUUGGCCCCGGUUCGUGGCUCGAACCGGGACAAAUGGUUACACAUGAACCGGGACCAAUGCCCACGAGGCCCCCGCCGGCCCCCUGGGCUCACGAACCGGGUCUAAUACCCCCCAUUGGUCCCAGUUCUUGAAGAACCGGGACUAAUGGGCUGGCCAGGGCUGAAACGAUAGCCCUGUUUUCUACUAGUGGAAGAACCUAAUGAUAUUUCUGCGUCUGAUGCAGAAACACAAUCUGGUGAUGAACAUGAACCUGGUGACAAUAUGGAUAGUGAUGUUCAUAAUAAUGCUCAACCUAGCAAUGAUGAGGAUGUGGAGAUUGAACCGGCGGUUAAUCCUGAUAACCCACAACCUAAGAAGUACCAUAAGAAUGACUUCACUGCUAGGAAGCAUGGUAAUGAAAGGGAGCCAUGGGUUCAGAGACCUAUGCCCUUUCCUGCUAAGCCAUCCAAGAAAAAGGAUGAUGAGGAUUUUGAGCGCUUCGUUGAGAUGAUAAGACCCGUCUUUCUGCAGAUGCGGUUAACUGAUAUGCUCAAGAUGUCUCCGUAUGCCAAGUACAUGAAAGAUAUUGUGACUAAUAAACGGAAGAUACCAGAUCUUGAGAUCUCCACCAUGCUUGCCAAUUACACUUUCAAAGGUGGAACUCCUAAGAAACUUGGUGAUCUCAGAGUGCCCACUAUACCUUGCUCCAUUAAAGGGAACUACGUAAGAACUGCCUUAUGUGACCUUGUAGCCGGUGUUAGUGUUAUGCCGCUCUCUCUUUAUCGUAGACUUGAAUUGGAUAAGUUGACACCCACUGAAAUUUCUCUGCAAAUGGCUGACAAAUCAACUACUUUCCCUAUCGGCAUUUGCGAGGAUGUGCCUGUUGUGGUUGCUAACACCACUAUCUUAACAGACUUUGUUAUCUUGGAUAUUCCCAAGGACGAUGCCAUGGUUGUCAUCCUCGGAAGACCCUUUUUAAACACCGCAGGGGCUGUUAUAGAUUGAAACAAAGGCAAUGUCACUUUCCAUGUCAACGGUAACGAGCACACAGUGCACUUUCCGAAGAAACGAUAUCCAGUACAUUGCAUCAAUGCUAUCGAAAAGACUUCAUCGAUUCUCAUUGGGAGCUUUGAAUGCCCUAUUCCUCGUGUCAAGAUGAAGUAUGAUUUGCUUGUUGGGGAGUUACAUAUCCCCAUUGAGGUGACUUAGUGGCUAUCAGAAAAUUCUCCGUUCUCUCUUGCGAUUCGAGAAGGUUUUGUCAUAAGGACUUGAUCAAUCCCAUUGACGGAUUUCUUUCGAUGACCAUGAAACGGAUGAAUCAAAGAGUCACAUACCUCUGUUUUGAGCUUUCAUUUUAUUUUGCUUAGAAUAAAAAUGAUAGAAUUAGUUUAGUUUUUCCUGUUUUCUGUUUUAGCGUCCGGGAGAAAAAUACCUCGAAAAUAAAAGUUCUUCGAUGGUCCUGAAAAUUUGUAUGAUUUUUUCUGGAAUUUUUGAAAAAUUAUGGGCCUGAGAGCUUGCCUUGGGGCCUGACCAGUGGGCCACAAGCCCUCCCACUGCCACCUACCCCCCUGGUGGUGGGGUGCAAGCUUGUGGGGCCCACAGGCACCCCCUCCACUCAUUCCAGCUCUCAGCCUCUUCUUCCACCUCCAGAAAAAAUUGUUUCGCAGCUCAAACCCAUCUUCUUGAUCAUUUGGCUGUGAUUUUCGAUCUCCUUGCUCAAGCACCAUUCUCCGAACCGUUUGGGAAAAUUACUCCUUGGUAAGUGACUCCUCAUUGGUCCAAUUAGUUUUUGCUCUAGUGCUUUAUCCUUCGCGUAUUCUUGCUACCUUGGUGACCAUGUUCUUGAGCUUGAAAAGUUGAUUUUAGCUGGUCCCAAGUAGUUUUAGCGCGUGAUACGGUCUCUAGGCACUAGUAGGAGUAGUUGCUACAAGUUGGGUUAAUCUUUAUUCGCUUUUCUUUCGAACUCUCUAAAAAUUUCAGAAAUAAAGGAAAAGACGAGGAGGUUCUUGAGAGGCUCUUCAAGCUGUAACCCCAAGGAGGAUGAGAAGAACCACCCCAAGUACGUAGUCCCUCGAGUCACAGAAGUUCGAGCGUGCGAGUGGCCAAGUGAUGAAUUUUUGCGCGCCGCCGGAUUUUAUGAAGACUUUUAUUACUUGGUGGAGAACGCAGGUCUUACUGCGUUCGUUGAAGAUAAGUUCCCACAAUACCUCCUCCUCACCAAUAUUUUCGUUCAAAGCUUCAACUUUUAUCCGAGGAAGAAUCCUCCCAUGGUUGAGUUCAUGAUAUACGAUGUUCCCCAGUGCAUGACACUACAGGAUUUUUGCAAUGUAUGCAAAUUACCUUAUGUUGGGGAUAUCCGUGAUCCUCGUCCACGGGACUUGGAGGAUUUCAUUAGUUCUAUUGCUGUUGGAGAGGAGAGAGGAGUGUCUUGUGCUAGAAUUGCUAGCAUACAUUUUCCUGUGCUCCGGUACUUCUCACUAUUUGUAGGAAAAUGUUUGAUUGGCUGUGGGGAGGCUGGAUCACUUAGUUCUCCAGACCAUGCAGUUUUGCGCGAAGGCCUUUAUAACGAUAAGACUUACAACCUAGGUGUUAUAGUGGCUCAGCGGUUGAACAUCAACCGUUCCAAGGGUGUCGUCUAUGGAGGUAUCUAUGCUACCCGUCUUGCCAGACACUUUGAGAUACCCAUUAGACUGGGAGAGGAAGGAGAGAUGCUUCUCCCUGAGAAAUAUCUGGAUUAUGACAGCAUGGUUUGCCAUGAUUUUCUGGAUAGAGAUGCUAGUAGACGGAUGAUUUAUAACCUGGUAUUUAGUCAGGGUACUCGAGAGACUAUUACUUUGCCUGCUCCUUCUUUGUUUGAUCUUCAUGCAGGAAGGUACACUAUUAUGCCCGUGGACAUCUACGCAUAUUGGGGCUUGGCCCAACCAUAGGCGCCCGUGCCCGAGCCGCCAGUCGAGUACCAGACGCCGGUUUAUCAGUGGGAGCCAGAGGAGCUCACACAGCAGUGGCAUCAACAGUCUGCUCCGGAGUAUCCUGGAGCUGGUUAUUUCCCACCUUGGGAGUAGACCAAGCUAGGCCAAAAGCCUAAGCUUGGGGGAGUGCGUGUUCUCACCGACUUUACGUUCAUGCUUAUGCUUUCACUCUGAUAGCCGGUGUUUACACUUUGCCACUUUAUUAUCUAUGCUAGUUUAUUUUCGUUUUCUUGUUUUCUUGUUUUGUGUCCUUUUGAGAAAACCCAAAAAGAUUUUUCUUUCUUCUUUUGCUUGUUGGGAGCUUUCCCGUGUAAAUAGUUUUCUUUUUAUUUGUGUCAAGGUAGAAGAUGUUGGUUAUAAUGUUUAUUGGUUCUUGCAUGCUUACCUGUUCAGCUUUCAAAGAGCCAUAUUACUUUGUCUUCUCCUUUGUGUUUGUCUGCAGAUUCGGCUUAGUCCAAUGUUCUUAUUAUCGUUCACAUCGUUCGAUCGUGCAAAUGAAAGGAAAUAAUGAUGAUAUAUGAUGAAGUGACUGAGACUGAAAAGCUGGUAUGAACUCUAGAUAUUUUGUUUUUGUAAAUAUGACUAGCUUGUCGACCCACAUUUAGCUUUGUUGUGAGAGAACCAUGUUUGCAAUGACAACUUAGAGAUCACAGUUUCUGAUGCCAUGCUUAUUUAGCUGAGAGUUUAUAAUGGUUUGUCUUGAAUGCCAACAUAGAUUUUGAGAUGACUAUGAUGUAGUAUGAUAGGAUGGUAUUCUCCUUUGAAUGUUUCAAUUGGCUUGACUUGGCGCAUGUUCAUGCAUGUAGUUGAAACAAAAUCAACAUAGCCUCUAUGAUGUUCGUAUUCAUGGUGAUUUAUAUCAUGUUCAUGCUUGCAUUCAAUGUUAGUCAAACUCAUUGCAUCUUGAUGACUGUUGUCGCUCUCUAGUUGGUCGCUUCCCAGUCUUUUGCUAGCCUUCACUUGUACUAAGCGGAAUACUGCUUGUGCAUCCACUUCCAUAAACCCAAAAGUUUUUCCAUGAGAGUCCACCAUACCUACCUAUUUGCGGUAUCUACCUGCCGUUCCAAGUAAAUUUGCAUGUGCCAUUCUCUAAACCUUCAAGAAAUAAUCUGUUUUGCAUGCCCGAACCGCUCAUGUGGUGACAGGGGGCUAUUGGUAUCUUCCAUGCUAGGAGUGUUAUCCUCGACAUGUGUUUAUUCACUGUCAUUCACGAGAAAGGGGCCGGUAAUUGGAAUGCCCAGUUCCACGCUUAAAUCGAAAACAUAACUGUAAAACAAGACUCCCCCCGGAUUGAUGUUAGUAUGGACGGUACCCGAGGAUUCGGCUAGCCGUGGAGUGUGAUUGAUUGGUGGUGGGGGAGUUAAAACUUCACUUUUCUGUUUGGGAACUGCCUAUAGCAUGAGUAGCAUGGAAGAUAUUGAGAACUCUUGGUCAUUGCGUUGACAAUGAAAGCAUGCCACCCAAAAUUAUUAUCUCUGUUUUCAAAGCUUGAGCUCUGGCACCUCCGCAAAUCAAUGCUUCCCUCUGCGAAGGGUCUGUCUAUUUAUUUUCCUGUUGAGUCAUCCUCCUCUUAUAUAAGCACCAAUUAGAGAGCACCUCUGUCAUUUUUAUGCUUUGCUUUUGAUUGAUAUUGAGUAUGACUAUGACUGGAUCUUCGUUGCUAUGAAUUACAAUGUUUAGUCAGCCUUUUGAUCUUUGAAAGUGCUCUGCAUUUAUGUUUUGCAGUCUCAGAAAGAGCUAGCGAGAUACCACCUAUUCAUAUUGCUUCAUGCUUGUUUUGAUUGAAGUGUUGGUAUUUGAAACUCAUUAUUAUUUGCUCGUUAGGUGAUUAUGCCAUUGAUAUUAGUUACUGUGAGACCUUUGUGUCAUUUGCUUAUGUGGUUAACUUGUGAUCUUGCUGAAAUUCUGGUUAUGAGUUAGACAUAGUUGCAACAACAAGAUCAAACAGAGUUUGUCAAAGUUUUUCUUUCUCUCUCAGUUUGUCAACUGAGUUGCUUGAGGACAAGCAAGGUUUUAAGCUUGGGGGAGUUGAUACGUCUCCAUCGUAUCUACUUUUCCACACUCUUUUGCCCUUGUUUUGGACUCUAAUUUCUAUGAUUUGAAUGGAACUAACCUGGACUGACGCUUUUUUCAGCAGAAUUGCCUUGGUGUUAUUUUUGUGCAGAAAUCAAAGUUCUCCAAACGUCCUGAAAAUUUACGGGGAGCAGUUUUGGAAAAUAUAAGAAAUAUCUGCGCCAAGUUCCACCUGAGGGAGUGGGCCAGUGGGCCACAAGCCCUGGCUCCGCCACCACCCCCCUGGUGGCGGUGGACAGGCUUGUGGGGCCCACACGGCUCUGCCGCCCCCAAUCUCAGGUCUAUAAGUCUCCUUUCGUCCCAGAAAAAAUAAAAAGAGAAGUUUUCGUCGCGUUUACGAUACGGAGGCGCCGCCACCACGUGUUCUUCAUCUGGAGGGCAGAUCUGGAGUCCAUCUUGGGCUCCGGAGAGGGGAAAUCCUCGCCAUCGUCAUCAUCAACCUUCUUCCCUCUCCAAUUCCAUGAAGCUCUUCAUCGUUCGUGAGUAAUAUAUUCGUAGGCUCGCUGGCCGGUGAUGAGUAGGAUGAGAUCUAUCAUGUAAUCGAGUUAGUUUUGAUGGGGAUUGAUCCUUAGUAUCCACUAUGUUCUGAGAUUGACGUUGGUACUACUUUGUCAUGCUUAAUGCUUGUCACUAGGGCCCGAGUGCCAUGAUUUCAGAUCUGAAAUUAUUAUGUUGUCACCAAUAUAUGGGUGUUUUAGAUCCGAUCUUGCAAGUUGUAGUUAUCUACUAUGUGUUAUGAUCCGGCAACCCCGAAGUGACAAUAACCGGAACCACUCACGGUGAUGACCAUAGUUUGAGGAGUUCAUGUGUUCACCAAGUGCUAAUGCGUUGGUCCGGUUCUUUAUUAAAAGGAGAACCUUAAUAUCCCGUAGUUUUCUUUUGGACCCCGUUGCCACGGGAGGAAUGGACAAUAGAUGUCAUGCAAGUUCUUUUCCCUAAGCACGUAUGACGACACACGGAAUGCAUGCCUACAUCACAUUCACGAACGGGAGCUAGCCACAUAUCUCUCCGUGUUAUAGCUGUUGCAUGAUGAAUAUCAUCCAAACAAAUCACCGACCCAUUGCCUACGAGUUUGUCCUACUGCUGUUGUUACUACUGUUGCUACUGCUGUUACUUGUCUUGCUCUGUUGUUGUUACUACUGUUGCUACUGCUGUUACUUGUCUUGCUCUGCUGCUGCUACUACUGUUGCUACUUGCUACUGCUGUCACUACUGUUGUUCCUUGUUGCUGCUAUUGCUAGUUACACUGUUGCUACCUGCUACAAUUUUGGUUCGUUGAACGUUGACGGGAACUGACAACUUCCGUCAACACGGCAACUUGGCGCCAUUGAUACAAUCGUUAGGAAUAGUCUGUCGUCAACAGAUCGUCUGUGACAUCGUUGUUAUCAUACUACUUUGCUACUGAUACUUUGCUUGCAAAUACUAAUCUUUCAGGUGUGGUUGAAUUUGACAUAUUCAGCUGCUAAUACUUGAGAGUAUACUCUCACCUCCCAUCGUGCAAAUCAACAAAUUUGGGUCGAAUACUUUACCCUCGAAAACUGCUACGAUCCCACGCGUUGGUGGGCCGUCAACAACAUUCUUCUAGUUUCGGUUGCCGGGGAUUGCAAUCAGCAUUCUUCUGGUGCCAUUGCAGGGGAAGGUCUGUUGUCAUCAGCACUCGUCUAGCUAUUGCCAGAGAGUGCCAGUCAAAACCCUAGAAGCUAGAUGGGCCAAGAUGCAGGCCUGCAGAAGGCCUAGUAGGACCACACGGCAGAGAGUGUGUGUUUAGGCCCGUAGGCCUGCGUUUGAGAGGAGCUCGAGAGAGUUGGCGCAGCGGGGCUUAUAAACAACUCUCAGCUCCUCUCAACUAGCGAGGUGGGACUAAACAUUUAGCCGCAGCAUCACCCCCCUUUAGUCCCGGCUUGGAGCUCUAACCGGGACUAAAGGCCCCCCUUUAGUCCCGGUUGGAGCCCCAAACCGGGACAAAAGGUCCACCUAUAUAAGCUGGUCGAUGGAAUUUUUCCAAUCCAAAUCGCCAGUUCCUUCUUCCUCCUCUUGCCUGACUGCACCGACGACCACCUCGACACUGCCAGGCUGCCCGACUACGCCGUCGUCGACGCCCUGCCGUCCCCGAGCCCGAUGACCAUCGCCAGCGUCGGACCUCCUCGCGCGCCCUCCUCCCUGUCGUCGAGCCCGCUCCUCGUUGUCACCGGCCUCCACAGCUCUCCAUCCCCGGGCACCAGUGAGCUCCUCUUGUCGCCACCGUCGCGCCCACACCGUCGUCGACCUCGUGCCCCCGCCAUUGUUGCGCGACCCGCGCCAUCGUCGCCGUGCCCUCCCCCGAGCCUCCUCAUCGUCGCCGCACCCUCCCCCUCCGGUGAGAAGUAUGGCAUUUUUAUAUGUGCUCUGUUUUUUUAAAUGAGAUGUAUGAGAUGUUUUGUGAAGAUGAGAUGAGAUGAGAUGUUUUGUUUAAAUGUGAGAGAGAUGAGAGAAUUUCUUUUAGGUUUUUUUAGAUAGAGAAACAAAUGUUAAAAUUUGCAUGUACUCUGGCUUUUUUGUUGCAUAAUGAGAUUAGAUGAGAUGAGUCCCCGACGAUCGUCAGAGGAGUCCUCGACGAUCGCCGGUGAGGAGUCCCUGGCGAUCGUCGGAGGAGUCCCCGACGAUCGCCGGUGAGGAGUCCCUCACGAUCGUCAAAGGAGUCCCCGAUGGUCGUUAGAGGAGUCUUAGACGAUCGUCGGUGAAGAUUCCCCGACGAUCGCCUGUGUGGAGUCCCCAACGGUUGUCAGAGGAGUCCCCGAUGAUCGUCGGUGAAGAGUUCUCGACAAUCGUCGAUGAGGAGUCCCCGCCGAUCGUCGGAGGAGUCCACGACGAUCGCCGAUGAGGAGACCCCGACGGUUUGUGGCACGAACCGGCCGGGACUAAAGGUCCUAAAAAGAACUGGAACUGAUAUCCGCCGAGGCCCGACCGGCGUCCUGACCGUUCGAACCGGGACUGAUGCACGGUUCAUAAGUCGAUCUAGGCUAAUGUUCUUAUCAAGCCAUGAUCAAAGCCUGUUUUCUACAAGUGUGAGGUAGUCGCUGUUUUAGGGUUUGGCAUAGGGCCUUUGAUUUUGACGCCCCGUCCCUGAUUCGUGGCAUGUUCUUUCUAGAUCUCUCUAUUUUUUAACGUACAGAGAAAUAAAAAAGUACAAAGAGAAAACGGCACGACAAAAAAAAGAAGCAGAAUUAGGCUAGGUGUAGAAGUGGGAGAUUCCAUCCAAAUAUCUCCUUUGAAACAGUAGAGCCUAGAGGGUGUUUGUUUCCAGGGACUUAUUGGUUUAGGGACUUAAAAAAGUCCCUAUAAGUCCCACCUAAACCAAACACAAGGGACUUAUUGGGACUUGUUCUCGUGAUUAGGGACUUAUCAAAUAAGACUCUCAGGCAGGAGCUUAUUGGGACUUAUCCCGGGCCGGACCUACCCCGCGUCGCUCCAGGCUCGUUCCCCGCACGCCGCCCCGCCUCUCGGUCCAAUCGCCGCCGCCGCCCCGCCUCUCGCCCCGUCGCCGCCCCAUCGCCGCCCCGCCCCUCGCUCCGGUCGCCGCCCCGUCGCCGCCCCGCCUCUCGCUCCGGUCGCCGCCCCGCCUCUCGCUCCGGUUGCCGCACCGUCGCCGCCCCGCCUCGGUUCGUUCUGCCUCGGUUCGCCGCCCCGCCUCGGUUUGUUCUGCCUCGGUUCGUUGCAACGGUGCCUCCAAUCGCCGGACAAGCCCUUUCCUGAGCCUCGUUGCAGCGGUGCUUAUCCUGUGUGUCGUACGCGUUGGCUGAUGACGAUCCAUGUGAACAAGUGUAUUAUUAGGUGCAACAUGGACUUAUAAGUCCCUAUAAACAAACAGUGGGGACUCGGGACUUAUAAGUCCAUGUAAACAAACAGGGCCUUAGGCCCUGUUUGUUUCAUAAGUCCUAGGACUUUUUUAAGUCCCAACUUAUAAGUCAUAAGGCCCUACCUGUUUGUUUACAUGGACUUAUAAGUCCCGAGUCCCUACCUGUUUGUUUACAGGGGCUUAUAAGUCCAUGUUGCACCUAAUAAAAUACACUUGUUCACAUAACCCUUGUUCAUACAAAUGAAUUGCAGAAUAGUGACAACCGAAAUAAUAAUUGUUCAUAACACUUGUUCAUACAAACGAAUUAACACUUGUUCAUAAGAACCAAAAUAAGACAGAGUACAUAACAACCGAGAUAACAGAAAUUACAGAAGCGAAGAACACUUCUUCAUAUCAUUGUUGUUUCAAGGACCACAACCCAUCAGCGACCCAAGCUCUGAAUUGAUUCAUAGCAGCACUGUCCAUCUCAUUUGUUGAAUCAUUUGUUGUAGUCGUUGGCAUAGACAAUGGUACAUAAUUUUCAUCUUGAUCACACAAGUCGAAAUCUAUAUCGGCGAGUUGGCUUUGUCUAAUAAAAUUGUGCAGUGCAAUGCAAGCCACAAUUAUUUUGCUUUGUUUCUGUUGUGGAUAACUAGGCAAGUGAAACAAAAUCCUCCACUUGUUCUUCAGCACUCCAAAACACCUCUCGAUGACAUUUCUAAGUGAAGAAUGGGUGAAAUUGAAGUGUUCCUUUUUUCCUCUAGGCAUUGUGCCAUCACGGUACUCCUGGAAAUGAUAAGUUAAACCCUUGUAUGGUGAAAGAUAACCCGGUCUAUUUGGGUACCCUGAGUCGACAAGAUAGAACUUAUUAGGUGGAGGUUUUGGAAACUUGUCACCAAAUCUGGAUCGGGCAUCAUUGAAGACCCUCAUGUCAUGCACUGAUCCUGGCCAACCAGCUAGGACAAAUGUAAAUCUCAUAUCAAAGUCACACACACACAUCACAUUCUGACUCUUCUCCUUAUGUCUAUUCCUAUGCUGGGCAGCAGUGGCAACUGGUACCACAACUUGUAUGUGUGUACCAUCUAUUGCACCAAUGCAAUUAUCCAUAAACGGUGCAUACUUUCUAGAUCUUAAUUUUAAAUGCACAGUCCUAAAUUGACGAUCUAUUGGCCUGAUGAUGUCUUUUGCAAGCUUGAUCAGACAUGCCAAAACCUUAUCAAACUUCCUUACAAUUGUCUCCAAUGACCUAACAAAUCUGUUUUUUGCUUGUCUUACAGAUUGAGGGGAACCUACUAUCCAUAGAAACAGGCCUAGAGACUCAACUGAUGACAUUCUUUUAGUGGACUUCAAACCAUAGGAAUCAACAAGCACACUAUGCAAUUUCUCAAACACUGGUCUGUGCAUUCUAAACAUGUUGUAACAGGCCGUUUCGUUGUGUAGUGUUGUCAAAACCCAAUGCCCAGACUCUAUUGGUACUCUUCUAGGUCCUUUGUUACAGUAUGAGUCCAAGUGGUACAUACCAAUCAUGCAGGCCAUCUGCAUCAUUCUUCUCUUUCUUUUUUGGUGCAUGAACAACAUCAGUGCUUCGUCAUCACUGCUGCUCCCAUCAUCACUGCUUAUUCCAUCAACAUUGUUGUCAUCAUCCUGAAACAUGCAAACAUUAGUACAACUUAUUCAUCAUGCACCACCUCUGGAACUUGAAAACAUUAGUACGUGCAAAUUAAACACUUGAACAUGGAAUGGUCAUUUAACAAGGUCACACAACACAGGUCCAUUACAUAGUUCUAUUAAAAAGGACAAUCAAGAUAACUAGUACACUAGUACAACUUCUUCAUCAUGCACCACCUCUUCAACCAAGUCAGCCUAGCCUCAUUAGUUGAAAUGUUCUCAAAUAUGACUCUGUUUGCCUCAUCUGCAAAAAGUUGAGUCGCCAUGAAGUACUCAACACUUGUUUCUUCUGCACCACAUUUAACUGCCAACAAUUGACAAUGAGUAAUGGAUUCCUUAGUGUUGUUUGAUUUCUUCUCUCUUGCCUUGUCCUUUGCUUCCUGCCUUUUGUUUGCAUAUUCAGUGAUCAUGUCAGAAGUGUUAUCACUGUUAAUAGUAUUGAUGAGCCCUGUCAUUAGUUUCACCAUUGGGCUCUUGUGUUUCUUUCCUGGGCUUGAAGCUGACUGUUCACCGCCGCUGCUCCCCUUCUUCUUGCUCGUGGUGCUCAUUGGACUCUCCUCAUGUCCAUCAUCGGCAACAUCAUAUUCCUCUUCAUCAUCUUCAUCUAAGGGCACAUAAGCUGAUGAUCCAUCAACUGCCACACCUUGAAAUAGCUCUAUUAGCAUAUCCAAAUACUCAGGAUUGCCACCCUUGAAUUUUCUGACAUCUGGUCUCUCCUGCAUCAUUAGUUAGAUAAUUAGUACAAGGCUGAAUAAUGUAAACAAGUGUGAGCAAUUCAGAUGUAAUUUGAAAAAUAAUGUAUGUACCUUAAUUAUUUUUUUCCACCACUCAUUUGAUGCGGUUAUAGCUCCAUCUCCAGUUCGGCCACAACCAGUUUGCUGCCCCAACCACAUCCAAGCAGUAUAGUAGCUCUUCAGUCUAGCAAUGCAAUUUUUGAAUUGCUUGGUACUAUGCAGGAGGCCCACACGCUGAUAAAUUUUUUUUCUUCAUGUUAUUGUAUGCUCUACUUGUCCAAACAUCAUUCACACAGUGCCCAUCCCUAGCUUCCUCACAGGCGAUGUUACAAAAUAAAGUAAUAUGCGCGUCUGUCCAAUCGGCCUUUGCAAUGGUUUUCUAAACAAAAAUAACAAGUACACAAUUCAAACAUAAAUAACAAGUAGACAUUUCAAACCAAAAAUAACAAGUUCACACAAUUAGCUAGCACAAAAAAAAGAUGAAUUUUAACGCUGAUACAAAAAAAGACCUAUAUACACAAUUUAAAAAGUUACCUCUCCAAAACCAUUGUUGUCAUCUUCAUCUUCAAAGCCUUCAUUCUCGUCGACAUCUUCUGAAGACGCAGCAGUUGACGACACACGUUGCUUCCCCGCAGUUUUUCCUCUAGUGCCGACAGAUGAGGACGCAUUGGCUCGACCUACACCGCGCCCGGUGACCUGCGACACGGUCCUCCCACGGCCUAUGACGCCCCCCUCAACGGCAGCUACGGCCGGGGCGACGAACGGACGCAGGUGAGAGCCGGCUCGACCUCCGAUGUUCAGAGACCGGCUGCGACCUCCUCCGCCCUGGGGCAUGGGCCUACCACGACCAGGUCCGAUCGGAGGAAGGCCAUGACUAGCCGACUGGUCGAAGAGGAGUUGCUGGUACGAGCCCAAUUUCGGGAAAUCGUCGACGUUGCUGUUGAGAUCCAAGGAACGCCCGAAACCCAUUCCCCUCCCGAGAUUUCCACCGGCGGAUGAGAACUGAGAGAAAAAAGGCAUCUGCUCGUCCUCCUCAUCAGCCAUGGUACGGUCACCUCGGACGCGGGGAUCCUCAUCAGCCAUGGCGCGGUAACCUGCAGUCAAUAUGAAUCAUCAUCAGCCUAAUUGUCAACAGCAAACUAGAAAUAUUAUCAUGUGCAAGAAUUGAUUAUUAACUUGCAAUGGAUGUAUGAGUGAGUGCACCGAUCACAGUUUGCUACAUGUGUUAGCAAAAAUUCAACAGCCCUAAUGCAGUACUCGAUCAAGCUGAGACGUAGGUAGCAUACCAGGAUAUAUAUGGGACAAUGAAUAAUUAGAUGUGCCAAUCAAUAUAACCAGCCAGCAGAAAAUAUGAACCUGCAGAUGAACUAGCGAACCUGCAGAUGAACUAGGGAGACGAGGCGGCGGCCGGGCGGCGUCGGGGCGAGCGGGCGGCGGCCCUCGACUCAGUUGGUCACAUACAAUGGCAAUAACACACUAUCAAAAUUAACUGGUCAAUUCUUCGUUUUUAUAUAAAAAGGCAGAACUCCUGCUGGUUCCUCAAAAACAAAAUUAACGUACUACCAAAAUAUGCUGGGUCUUUUCUGUGAUUCGAUCACGGCUGGCGAUCGGUUUGGAGAACCUUUCAACGUCACGGAAACCGGAGAAGGGAACAUGCAUGCAUGCAUGCACGCACGGCACGUGACGAAAUAUACAAAGGCUGGCGCAUACAAGGAGUAGUGGCUGGGGCGCAUGCGCCGAAUUCGUUUGCAUAUAAAAACAGCACGUGGAAAAUAGUUUACGAUCGAGCGCGCGCGCGUGCGUUGAAGAAAACGACGGGGCGGUCAAACCGCGCCGACAUGCGGGCCCCGGUCGCGUGCCGCCGGAAGCUGCCGUGAGUGAUGGCGAUGAUGGUGAGUGCUCCAGAUGAUUGGUGGCGCCACCAUCCAUGCAUGCAUGCAUGCAAGCAAGGCCCUGUCGGUCAGCGGUAGCUUCCACUUGAACCUUGAAUGCUCCGAUUGCGGCUGCGGCGCGGAAGAGUAGUAGGAGUAGCUUUCUUUUUCUUACCUCUGUCCAAGAUAAAUGUAUCUAGUACAAAGUUAUAUUAAACUUGGAACAGUUACUUUGGAACGAAAUAAGUAUGAAAAUGAUUAUCUUCUAUCGACCGAUUACGCGCGGCCGUUUGUCUUUUAGGACAGACAUUUCUCAUACUGGAUAUAAGUAGAGGUGUUUCGGGACACGCUUAAUUGUGAGGGCAAGCGAUUAGAUUUGGAUUUUUUCAUGCAACAUCUUUAUUGUUGUAAGAAAAAAUAUAUAACAUUAGUUAUAUUGCAGAACACUUUUCGAAACAACAAUAUGAAGUUAAAAGAAAAUCUGCAAUGUUAGCUUUGUUGCACAAAAAUCCAUGCAACAACAUCGUUGCAAAAGUUUCGCAACAUGAUCCCUGUUGCAAUCAUCCGAAUGCAACAAUAUACUUGUUGCAAACGUUGUCAGCUUAAUCUGUUGGUCAUUCCGUAUUAAAUCUUUGUAGCAAAAAAAAUCAAUGUCCGUCUGCAGCUCUAUCAGAGUCCGAAACAAAGCGAUUGUUUCCGCAAAUGAUUUGUUGUUUUAAGAAUUAAUGUGUUAAGGAAGGCGAUCGAGUCACGUGCCAGCCUUUAGAUCGGUUGACUGCGCGCUCGGAUCGGAUGGCUGCCGAUGUUUGCGCACCCGGAGAUCCAACGGUUAUUGUGUUGAUCGAUGUUUAAUAGACAUCUGUUGGUGGAUGCGUGGUGCUCUCAGUAUAAUAUAUGCAGAAAAAAUGUUUUAACACACGUAUACGCCAUCGAUCCGGCACUUCGUUGUCGGCUGCGGCAUGAACAGCACGACUGGUCCACCGCCGUGGCAUCGUCAUCUUCGUCGGGCGCCCACAGGUAAGCCCAUGGUAUACAAUGACAUGUGGUUUUGGUUAAGUUACUCACUUGAUUUUGGGCCACACAAAUGGAGGCGUCUUUCUCUUAACAGAAAACACAUUCCUAUGUACGUAACACGUUGACAUAAACUCUACGCACUGGUUUUUUCUUUUUUGACAUUGCUCUACGCACUAGUUUAAUUUGGAUCUUUCUUUUUUUAACUGGAACACCUUGCAUUCCGAAUUACAACGGACCAACCGAAUUGGUGGUUACAAAAUGAAUUACAAUCAAUUUAUGGUUGAAUGGUUAGAGAGACUGUAUUAUCCUCAGUCCAUCAGGGUUCAAGUCCUGUUGUUCGUACUUAUUUCUGAAUUUAUUUUAAAAUUUUCGAUGAUGCUCAUUCAAUGGAAAGAGACGUUUCCGUCGUCGAUUAGGUGUCUACGACAAUUUCGUAAAUCUCAAGAUAUAUGCUGGUUCAGUCUUUCGAUGGUGCUCAUAAAAAUAGGGUGUGCAUGUGUGUGUCUAUAGGGAUGAGUGUACGCCGCGUGUAUAUAAACGUUUGCAUGUGUAUUAUGUUAACAAAAGUUUCUGCUACCAAACAUGAUGGCACUAUGGCACAUUAUAAAUGAUGACUGUGGGCGGCGUACCCGACCUGGAGAGGACCAUCCGGAGCAGGAGCAGCCGGAGCUACGCGCCUCAUGGGAAGGGUUUGCGACGUCGUUGACGCUUCAUCGGUGUGUGAUGGGCCCGGGGGAUGGAGAUCCACCGCUGUUGAGGCCGCCUUGGUCCUACAACGACCGACGCAACACGAUGCGGAGGGCCACCUCCUCCACAUUGACGUUCGAUCAGUCGGAGCUGCUUCCGUCGCCGGCCAUCGGUUCAGAGUGCCGGGAUUGGAAAUGGAGUGGACGGAGACUGAACUGUCGGAUGUCUAGGGUUUUUGGAUUGGGAUAUUUCGUGGGGUCCGUCGUGGCCCGAGAGGGUCUAGGAGCGCCGAACUUUCUAUAUCCGCUCCAUAUUUAAGAUAGAUAUGAUGGGUGUCGGUUAAUCCGGACAUUUGAGGCCCAUUUAGAGCAAGUACAAUAGAGCUGAGUCAGCUAGCUAUGAGGAAUAAACUAAUAUAUUUUUAUCAAAAAUGCUACACUUACGGGCAAGAUACGGAUGAAACUUACGGAUUGCUGCCGCUUAGCCAAUCCCUCUGCCCCGCUGAUUUCAAGGGUGGGCCCUGGUGCCCCAAGUUUCCAGUAAAACAUGGACAGCUGAGUCCGUAAGUUACUUUCCGUAGCUUCCGUCCGUAAAUCUAGCACUUCUCUAUUUUUAUUUAGUUAGAGGAAAGAGAAGAGGAGAGAGAAGGUAAGCGGCCUCUUAGCUAAGAGCCAGCUCUAGCACGUGCUCCUAGGCAUUUUGUUAAUAUGAAAGGUGGACCAUAUAAUGUAGAAGUAGUAUACUUUUACAAUGAAGUAUUGUACAUGUUAGCUAUAAGAUGGGCUAUAGAUGACAUGGCAGUGGCUUAUAGCCAGCAGCUUGCUCUUAGUGCAUUCCAUUUGGGUAGAUUUUCUCUGGCCGUACGCUGAUUGAUCGGCUGUCCAACGUUCGAAACGAAUAUAAGGGUCUGGUUGUAGAUACUCUAAAACCACGGAGGUGGCGAAAAUUACCCUUCAACCAAUCUACGCAGCGGCUAAACUUCAACGGUGUUUCAUACCCACAGAAACGGAAUCUUUCAAGAGCAACGGAGUCGAACAGCAGAAAGGACCGAGCAAGAUGAAUUCACAAAGUCAAAACAUGGAGCCAGCUCAACACCGACCCCGCAAGUCAAUCCGACCCAACCCAACCCACGCAAUUAAUCUCCUCUAAUCUCUUGCUAACACGCGUGGACUUCUUCGCGUGAUCCACUUCCUAUAAAACGCGCGCGCACCCACUCCCCCUCCCAUUCGAUUUGUGUUCAACUCCAUCCACCAACUCGGUCAGCGUCUUCUUCAUUCGCUCUGCUCUCCACCAGAUCCAUUUCACGAGCAAUCCUUCGCGACCUACGGCCAUGGAGGGGCCGACGGUGGAGGUGCCGCCGUACUUCCUGUGCCCGAUCUCGCUGGAGAUCAUGCGGGACCCCGUCACGCUCGCCACCGGCAUCACCUACGACCGCACCAGCAUCGAGCGCUGGAUCUCCGACGGCCACGCCACCUGCCCCGUCACGCAGCAGAAGAUUGCGGAGGCCGACCGGGAUGCCACGCCCAACCACACGCUCCGCCGCCUCACCCAGGCCUGGUGCUCCCUCCACGCCGUCGAGCGCUUCCCCACCCCGCGCCCGCCCCUCGACACCAGCCGCGUCGCCGAGAUCGUCCAAGAGGGUCACGGUGCCGGCCGGCAGCAGGAGCUGGCCGCGCUCCGCGAGAUCAAGGCCAUCGUCGCCGAGAGCGAUCGCAACAGGCGCUGCGUCGAGGCCACGCCCGGCGCCGUCGAGUUCCUCGUCUCCGUCGUCACGAACCAUGCCACCACGUCCAAGUCGGCUCAAGAUUUGCUAGAACUUUCGCUGGAUUCCCCGACGUCCACGAGCUCGCCGGAGGAGGACGCGCUCAGCGUCAUCUGCUCGCUCAAGCCGUCCAAGAAGAGCCUGCUCCGGAUCCUCGAGAAAAACGUAGACUUCCUGGACACCCUGGUGUGCAUGCUGCGGCGACCGAGCUACCGGUCCCGCUGUUACGGCAUCAUCCUGCUGAAGGCGAUGGUGUCGGUCAUGGAGCCGGCGAGGCUGAUGACGGUGAGAACCGAGCUGGUGCAGGAGGUGGUACGCGUGGUGUCUGACAGGGUGUCCGCCAAGGCGGUGAAGGCGGCGCUGAACGUGCUGUGCCGGCUAUGUCCGUGGGGCCGCAACCGUGUCAAGGCCGUCGAGGCCGGCGCGGUGACUGUGCUGGUGGAGCUGCUCCUCGACGAAGGCGGCCGGCACCCCACCGAGCUGGCGGUGGUGGCCAUCGACCACCUCUGCGGCUGUGCGGAGGGGCGGUCGGACCUUGUGGCGCACCCGGCAGGGCUGGCCGUCGUGGCCAAGAAGGCUAUGCGGGUGUCACCGACCACCACCGAGAGCGCGGUGCGCGCUCUGCACGCCGUGGCUAGGCACUCGCCGACGCCGGCCGUGCUGCAGGAGAUGCUGGCCGUCGGGGUGGUCGCCAAGCUGCUGCUGGUUCUACAGGUGGAUGCCGGCGAGCGGGCCAGGGCCAAGGCCAAGGAGCUGCUCAAGAUGCACGCUAGGGUUUGGAAGGACUCGCCAUGCUUACAAGUGCACCUCAAGGCGCAUUACCCUUGUUGAUUUCGUCACGCUGAAUAUCGCUAGAAGAGAAGAGCCCAUUGCUCUCUUUUAGUUUCUCGCUGUAAUUAUCUACACAAACUGUCAUCAAACAUUGACACUGUUUAAUUGAUUGUAAAUACUAGUUCCUAUUUACAAAAUAAAAAUAAAAAACAGGCGAGACAGGCUUCUUGGAUAUAUCUCUUGGAUUGCCGUGUUAUCAGAUUUUUUGCGUCCUUUGUUCCUUUUUGUGAUAUGUCACAGAAGUUAACAUGAAUGCAUAACACAAAUACUAUUUCCGUCUCGGUUUAUAAGUUGUCUUACGAAAACUAAAUAAUCUCAAAACACUAAGGGACGAUACAUUAACUUUCACUUCAUUUUUUGUUUUUUGACAUGAAUAAAUCAAUCAAUCAAUAAGAAACGUGGAACGUUUAUAUUUUUAAUGACUUGAGACUAACUAGCACAACAUGCAGUAGUAUUCAUUAGCAAAUCAAUACUAGUAAUAUUUUUUCUUAUUUUCGUCUUCGUCUUAAUCGUGGUGCACAACUUAAAAUAACUUAUAAACCAAGAUGAAAGAAAUAUAACAGAUAGAGAAUCAUAACUUAUAAGGCUGAUGUCGAAAACAUGCAUUUGCAUGUUUUCUAGAUGGUCCAACAUACUUCACACGUGCCAGAUAGUGUUACCUCGCGAUGACUUACUCUGGAAAGAUGAAAGCCAAUUCAUAAAUAGAUUCUCACUUUCACAAGGAAAUUUCUUUAGCUUCGCGGCACAAAUUAUUGACUAUAUUAACAAUUUUUGAUUAAUUUAAUCCAAAAAUAACUCAUAAGUAUGGCGUUUGAUAGUAUUUAGCUUGUACUUGUAUCAACCCAAGCAAGCAGGUACUACGCAAAUACUCUCUCCGUUUCAAAAUAAAUGUCGCUGAUUUACUAUAAAGUUACAUUAAAUCCACGACACUUAUUUUGAAACAGAGGGAGUAGUAUAUUCGGUUACGCGGACAACAAGCAAGGUAAAUUUUAAAAACAAUGACAAACGGGAAAGGAAUAAACGAGUUAUACCCUCCAAUUGAUCAGUUCACAGUCGCGCGGCAGCGGCGACUGGCUUCUUCCCAACAAAGAGCUUUUCGACAACGAGUUUCUCAACUUUGGUGACUUGAUGAUGAUGAAGACGAUGAAGAGGUAGAUGAAGUAGUGAACGUAGACGAACGGUUGUGAAAAGACGCGUAGGAGACACUUACCAAAAACCUAAUCGCCCUUCUCUCGGUGCAUGAUCUCAAAGAGCGGGCUUUCAGUUCCAGAGGCCCGCUUCACCGUAUAAUUGUGCAGGCGGUUGAAGGGAUGAGGUCAUCGGUGGCAGCAACGACGAGCACAACGAUGAUGGAAAGUACGCCCGUGGAGACAGAUCAGAUGUGACCUGAUUUUCGUGGUGGCUACCCAACGAUCAAUACUUUGGAUGCGGAAUUGGCGAAGUGCCCAUCGCAAGUGUGGCAGUCCAUCUUGGAAGGAAGAGAUAAUCUCCUCUUAGUCUUAUUAAGAGAAAUGGAAUGGUUGUUGAUACGACCGUUUGGUAUGGUGAUUGGAUCCAUGGGACUUCAAACUUCGGGCGUUGUGUUCCAAAUCAACGUACCCGUCGGAUUGAUCAUGCCUUGGUAUCUUGGGUUCGGGCCAUACUUGACGAGCAUUUCUGGACAAGCAGGCGAUCUUUAAUACUCCUUACUUCCAGAAUACAGUACGAUUUCUGGUAAUGGCAUUACAAAAAAAAGGCGUGUUUACAAUGCAUUUGGCAUACAUACAUGUAUCAUCCACUAAGCAGCAGCGCAUGAAUAGGCCCGGAGACAAUCAUGACCAUUCAAAUUAUGAGGAUAGUGGAAAAUCCUGGUCCAAGCUAUGUGCGGUGAAGAUACCUUUGAAGAUAAGGGUGUUUGCUUGGCGACUUGCAAAAAAUUCCCUUCCUACUAGGGGUGUGUGGAAUCAUAUCCAGAUGGCGGACACAACUGUCAGGCCCAAGAUACGACCCUAUCCACAAUUUGGCACGAGGGCCUCGUCAGGGAUAGAAGCGCAUCUCGUCGUGUCGCAAGAAUGGAUAUCGUUACAAGUACAUGUACUGAAAAAAAGAGAUAUAUAGAUAAAAUUGGCUUACACUCGCCACAAGCUACAUCAGAGUCACAACAGUACAUUACAUAAACAUCAUGAAGAAGAGCAGGGUCCGGCUACGGACGAAAACAAACGAGAAAAGAAGAACGACGUCCAUCCUUCCUAUCCCAGGCUGCCGGCCUGGAACCCAUCGUAGAUCGAAGAACUAGAAGAAGAAGAAGAAGNNNNNNNAGAAGAAGAAGAAGAAGCAAUUCUUAAAGAACACUCAACGCGCUCGCGUCAAGUAAAUUUACAUGUACCUGCAACUGGUGUUGUAGUAAUCUGUGAGCCACAGGGGACUCAGCAAUCUCAUUUCCAAAGGUAUCAAGACUAGCAAAGCUUAAUGGAUGAGGCAUGGUUAAGUGGUGAGGUUGCAGCAGCGGCUAAGCAUAUAUAUAUGGUGGCUAACUUACGAGUACAAGCAAUAAGAGAGGAAAGAUCUACGCAUAGCGGACGUGAACUACAGUUGAUCAAAUGAAUGAUCCUGAACACCUACCUACGUUAGAUAUAACUCCACCGUGUCCUCGAUCGGAGAAGGAACUCAUGAAAGAGACAGUCAUGGUUACGCACACAGUUGGCAUAUUUUAAUUAAGUUAACUUCAAGUUAUCUAGAACCAGUGUUAAACAAAGUUUCCACGUUGCCACAUAACCGCGGGCACGGCUUUCCGAAAAUAUUUAACCCUCUAGGGGUGCUCCAACUAGUCCAUCACAAAUUACCACAAGCCGCAUAGAAAUCCUCAAUCAUGAAGCUCGCGAUCUCGUCGGAUUCCCUAGUGGAAAACCUCAACUCUGAGAUUAUCCAAAGCAUCACUGGAAUCCCGAUGCACAAGAUAUCUCGUCAAAGGUAAAACUAAUCCAGCAAGGCCACCCGGUGUGUCGACGAUCCCGAUAGGAGUCGCGUAUCUCGUUCUCAGGACACACCGUCUAUGCAUAGUGGACGGGAACCAAACCUCGAGUUGCCCCGAGGUGGCACCGCCGACUGCUAGGUGGGUGGACCAACACUCAUGCGGAGCACUGGCCCGGGGGUUGAUUAAAUUUCCUCGGGUUAAUUACUCCCUAUGCAGUUCAUUAGUUAUUAAGCAAAUGUAGUACCAAAGUUGGGCCUUGCGAGACCAGCUUUAAUCUAAAACAAAUUAUCAAGGGGGUACCAUAACAACCCCGAUCGUGUUAGGAGCGCUCAAAUAUGGAACAUAACACCGGUAGCCGAAACUAAGGGGCAAAGGUGGAACAAAACACCAGGCUAGAAAAGUCCGAGCCUUCCCCCUUUUACCAAGUAUAUAGGUGCAUUAAAUUAAAUAGCAUUUAAAUAUGGUGAUAUGACAAGGAACCCAUGUUAUCACAUGGAAGCAACUGCACCUGCAACUAGCAACGUUAACACAUGGAUAAGCAAGCAGUAACAUAGCCAAUCAGGGGUUUGCUAGGUCGAACAGGUUGAAGGUUAUCAUGGUAUUGUUGAGAGGCUGAUAUUUAACAUGUGGUACGCAACAAGAUAUAAACGAUAGAAGCGAUAAAACUAGCAUGGCAAUGAUAGUAAUGGUAUCUCGGGAAAUGGUCAUCUUGCCUGAGAUCCCGCUUGGAAGAAGAACAACUCCGUGACGUCGGCGAACCAACGUAGUCGAACGGGUCCUCACAUUCUGACACGCUUGCGGAACUCUAUCGAGACGGACCAAACCGGAAACAACCGUCAACACAGAUAUUCACCACGGCAAAUGCAAGACAUGAUGCACACCCUAAUAUGAUGCAUGAUCAGUUCAAUGAUGCCAGGCAUGGCAAUUCUCCUCACACAAACACUACACAUUAAGUGAAACGCGAUAUGCAACGAGUUGCAUAUCGACGAAACUCCACGUUUAAUUAUUUAAUUCACUCCCGAUUAUUUGCACAGCAAUAUUAAAUUGUUGUUAACAUGGCAAGGGUGAAGCGGGUGAUUCUACCAGUCAUCCUAGUCGGUUAACACGCGGGACAUAGAACGGAGCUACCACACAAGAAAACAUGCAACAUAAGAUAUAUAUGCCAUGAAUGGGUCAUGCAUGCAAGCUCAUAAUAACACGGGCAAGAAGGAAAAGAAUCAAGAAUCGCCACGGCGAGCGUAAAGGAACCAUGGCGGCAAGAUGGAAACGAUGCCACGGCAACGUUCCUAUCCCGAUAACUCAACGAGAUAUCGGUGCCAACGAAUCGGAAGCGCGUGCGGGAACGCUAAAUAAAGAUGGGGUGAUCCCGCUACGGGGUUCCCAUGUGUCGAUGGCGCGACGAAAGAGAGACAACGUGCAACGGGCAAACAUACGGCGCAAACAUACGGUACAUCUCAUACAACAUUUGCAUUCGGUACACGACACGUUCCAAUGGUAUACCUUCGAAGCAUGCAUAUCAGAGCGGUUCGGGUCAUAGCGGACGUCGUGGAAGUCGUUGUCGUCGUGGAAGUAGUGGAAGUCGUGGUACUCAGGUCUCGUCGACGGUAGUCGUGCUCUUGGCGUCGGUGCACGGGUCUUCACAUCGGUAGUCGAACAUGUUUCCGGGGGUCGUCGAGGACGACGUGGUGCUCGGCGAGUUUGUCGAUUCCACGGCGACGGGGAUGGUGCACGCGGCGACGGCAGGCGACACAACAGCAACGAUCGUCGGCGACGGCAGCAAGCAAGCAACAUAGCAACGGCAACAACAUGCAGGCCAUCAGCAAGCAACGCUAGCAGCUAACUAGCACAAGCUAAAGCAAACAUCUACAGCAAGCAUCGGCAUCGGCAAACAGCAACUAACCUAGCAGCAAACAACAAACUACACCUAGCAACUAACAGCAGCAACUAACACUACUAGCUAGCAGCAAGGCAAGCAAGCAGCAACAUCAUCUACACCAAGCUAGCAGCCGAGCAAAGCAACUAGCCUAGCAUGCAUCGGCGCAGCAGCUCGCGGCAACAGCAAGCACGACAGCAGCUACGACAUAGCAACAGCAUCUCGGCAGCACUAGCAGCCUAGCAUCUACAGCAGCAUGCAACAUCCAACACGGCGCGCAGGCAGGCCAGCAGAACGACGACAGGGCAAGCACGGGGGCGCGCGGGACCAAGGCGAGCAGCGGCAGGGCAAGCCGCCGGCGGGGCGAGCAUCGGCAGGGGCGGGGAACCUGCAGGCGGCUCGGGCGGCCGGCGGCGCGCAGAGGGCCUCGGGCCGGCCAAGGGCGACGAGGGGAGCCGCGGGCACGGUGGCCAUGGCGAGCUCGUGAGGGCGAGGGGCCCUGGCAAGGGAGGCGGCUAGACGGGGGGACCGGAGGCGGCGAUUGGCGAGAGCGAGGACGCGGGGCACGGGGCUCCUACAGGCAGGCGACGACACCGUGGGCAAGGGCUGGCGAGCUCGAGACCAGCUGAGGCGAGAGGUGGCGAGGCCGAGGGGGCGCAGCGCGACGAGGGUCGCACAGCGAGCACGCGGGGAACGGCGGCGCAGCGCGGGGGAGCUGCUGCAGGCGCCAGCGGCUGCAGGGAGGGAGCGCUGGAUCGAGCAGAGGGGGAGGCUGCGCUAGGGGGGAGGACGAGGGAGGAGACGAGAGGGGCUGGGGGCACUAGGGCAGGGGAGGGAAGCCUGCUGGGCCUUGGGCCGGCUGGGCAGCUCCUCCUCAACCCCUCUCUCUUGUUUUUUUUAAACAGAACACACGCAAAAGAAAAAAGGUUUAAAUAAAAGAAAAUAAAAUAAAUGCUUUUCGGCUCCUUGAAAAAGAAACCCCAACUAUAAAAAUAGGUUGGGCAUUUUUUUUAAAGAAAUAAGAUGCAACAUUUUGAAGAAUAAAAUAAAACCCUUUUAACAAGAGAAUAAAAUAAAACCCCUUUUAAAGGAGAAAAGAAAAUGAGACUUUGUUUUUUGAAAAUAAACAAAAGGGAAAAAAUAAGGAAACCCAAGGGUUGCCUCCACAUUUAAUAAAAAGGUUUUUUUAAAAGAAGACGAAUCUUUAUAAAGGGGUUAAAACCGAAAUUUGAACGCAACCACAAAACAAAGUAAGAGGGGAGAGAAGGGGAGUUUCUAUCGCUCUAAAGACUCCAAGAGCACUCACAACUCAGAUGACACCACGCAUCAGAUGAUGCAAGAUGCCAUGAUGCAAACUACAUGAUGAUGCCACAAAAUAAAAUAACCACACGACGGAAACGAAAAUAAAGGGAAUCUUCUAGAACGUCGGCGUCGGGCUGUCACAACAACCAAGUGUUUGAUAUGUCAUGUGGCGAUGGACUAGCGCGGCAUUCCCUCUUCUAUUGUCGGAUGUCAAGGUGUGUUUGGGACAUAGUUGAUGAGGAGCUGACCAAUGCUAUCAUAUCAAACCACACAAAUGAUGUUAGGCUGGCCAUUGUGGGGGUAUCAUAGCUAGUAACAUAGUCUUGGGACUAGCAAACAUGGUGAUGUGACAAGUAAUUAAAGAAGAGAGAGAGGGUUAUAGUAACAUAGAUAGAUACCGUAUCACACUAGUGGGGACGGGGCCUUUAGCCCCGGCCCGUAAGGGGCUUUAGUCCCGGUUCACCAACCGGAACUAAAGGGGCGGGACUAAAGGCCUAACCUUUAGUCCCGGCCCUGUUUCAAGCCGGGACUAAAGGUGCUCCACGUGGGCGCCUCGUAGCGCCCCAGGGGAGGCCCUUUAGUCCCGGUUCAUUACACGGACCGGGACUAAAGAGUUUCAGAUUUUGUUUAUUUUUGGGGUUUUUUUUAAUGAAAUUAUUUUUUGGGUUUUAGGGUUUUAGGGUUUAGGUGUUCGGGAGAUUAACGUGAUGCCUCGUUUGGUGUUCGGGAAUUAGUUUUCAUAUAAUUUAAAUAGAAAUAAUUAUGCAUAUAUAUAUAUAAGAUUAACUUAUCUUACAAGCGAGCAUAUAUAUACAAUUAUAUGGAGAUCUGAAUUAUCGGGACUAGAGCCCGUCUAUUCGAUUACAUGGACGAACAUCAGUAAUGGCCCCUAGCUACACUAAAUCGUCCUUUGUCAUCUAUAGCUUCCGUCCUCAGAAAGGUCGCAAGCUCCUCUGCAACAGCAAUCGCGCGUUGCUCUGGUAGUACCUUCGUCCUCAUGGCUGUGUACUAUAUAAGAAGAGGAGAUGAAUAUGAAUAUCAAUCAUGAUAACAAAGAAUGACGGGGAAAAAUAGAGGUGUGAAUGUUCAUUGCUUACGUUGAAUCUGUGAUCCUUGUGCUCAGAGGUAAACGUGCGAAUGGUCUCGCAAACAUAGUAUCCGCAUAGAUGCAUUCCCCGUGGCUGCUGGUCGCACUUUACGAGAAUAGAAUACAUAUAAUCAAAAUAAUAAUCUAGCAUCAUAAAUGUAUUGAAAAUAGAAGUAAAUCAUACUACUACUUACCUGAGCCGUUCUAAAGGUCAGCUUCUCAGGCUCGAUACCGGGAGUCACGCACUUGAACCGCUUCCAAACCCUGCCCCACAAGGAUAAUGAUUUGCUAAGUUUUUCAUUAAUUGAUAUAUCAGAAAAUCAUCGAAAGAGACCGAUAGAGCGCAAGAAUGAUUGAAAUUACCCUUGGAGCAUGUCGUGCAGGCUUUGGAACUAUUCCAAGGGUCUCGAUAAUGGGUCGAAGGCAUCAACUCUUCCCUUAUCAAUUUGAGCAUAGUAUUCAAAGUAGGAGUACUUUUCCAAUUUGAGCAUUCAAUAAGCAAAACCAAAUCGUAAAAUAAAGUAGUAUUCAAAUUAGCAUGGAUUCAAUAAUAAGCAAAUACAUCAUCUCUUUUGUCCGUACAUCGUCGAAUAUUAUCACUAAUACUCCUCGAAUACUAUCAUACAUAUAACAUCAUUGAUACAUCUAGAACCGUAGCGCCCGACGGGUAUCGGCGCGGGCGGUGGACACCCAAAGAGAAGGAACCAUCACAGGAUCAUAGCUCCAGUGAGAUCCCCGAAGAACCUGCCAGGUAUGCUCGAACCUGCCCUCCAACGCAACCAUGUAGCGACGGACGUGCUCAUCCUCCUCGCUGACACGGUGACGUACCACCUCCGCGGUGUCCGGAAGCCUCGGCACCCUCACUGGCCCAUGCGACCGCCACCAAACAAGGAUCGGGUCAACGACGGGCUGGCUCCUCACCAACCUACGCCCCCCGGAAGGUAGCACCUCCCAAUACCAGCCGGGCAGAGCCCAGUCCCGGACAGGGCCACUCUGAUCAAGCAGGUGUCCUCCGCCGAGUCGACGACGAGGAUGCGGGAUAGGCAUCGUAAAAUGAACUAAAAAAUAAACUAGUUCUAUUAAUUUUCUUGCUAAAAAUAAACUAUUAACACUUAAGCAUAUACAAUAGGAGAAUUAAACUAUUAACACUUAAGCAUAUACAAUAGCAAAAUUAAGCAAUAAUCUAAGAAACACUAUUAACACUUAAGCAUAUACACUAUACAAUAGCAAAAUUAAAUGACAAAAAAAAUAUUUCUUCUUGUUGUAACCCUAAACUAAUUUUUCCUCUUCUUCUAUUUCUCCUCUUCUUCUACUUCUUUUUCUACUUCUACUUCUCCUCUUCUUCUACUACUUCUCCUCUUCUCUUCUUCUACUUCUCCUCUCCUCCUCUUCUAAUUUUUUUCCUCUUCUUCUACUUCUCCUCUUCUUCUAUUUUUCCUCUUCUUCUCCUGUCCUCCUCUUCUUAUUCUCCUUUUUCUUGUUUUCUUCUCCUCCUCUUCUUAUUUUCCUUUUUCCUAAUUCUAAAUAUUACUAACCCUAAUAAUCUAGCACAAACCUAAUAACAAUAGGAAUUAAAUGACAAAAAAAAUCUUUUUCUUCUUUUCUUCCCUUUUUCUUCCUUUCUUCUCCUUUUUCUUCCUUUCUUCUCCUUUUUCUUCUCCUUUUUCUUCUUUUCUUCUACUGGCCGGAGUGUUGGGGAGGAGGGGGCGGGGGGCUUACCGGCCGGAGGUGUCGACGGUGCGCGGCGAGGAGGAGGGCGGCGCACGGCGAGGAGGACGAUAGCGACGGCGAGGAGGACGGCACGCGGCGGCAAGCAGGACGGCAGGCAGCCUGACGGCGUCGUCGAGUUCGUCGCUGUGCCGCGCCGGGCAGGAGAACGAGGAAGAAGGAGAGAAGGAAAUGCGAUUUGGGCUGGAAAUUUUCUAACUCCCGCUUAUAUAGGUGGAUCUUUAGUCCCGGUUCGGGGCUCGCUCCUGGACUAAAGNNNNNNNNNNNNNNNNNNNNNNNNNNNNNNNNNNNNNNNNNNNNNNNNNNNNNNNNNNNNNNNNNNNNNNNNNNNNNNNNNNNNNNNNNNNNNNNNNNNNNNNNNNNNNNNNNNNNNNNNNNNNNNNNNNNNNNNNNNNNNNNNNNNNNNNNNNNNNNNNNGGACUAAAGCCCCUCCUCGGUUGCACGAUAAGUUUAGUCCCACCUCGCCCAGCGAGGGGGACUAACACUUGAUUAUAACCCCCGUCGCAGCUUCUCCAUCGACCUCCUCUCUAAAGCAGGCUUACGGGCCUAAACUGACUGAAAAUUGAAACUAUAUUCGAAAUUAUGGAGAAAAUUCAACCUGAAUUCAAAGUGAGUUCAAUUUGAAUUUAGAUUGAAUUUUCUCUAUAAAUUCUCAUAUAGUUUCAAAUUUUUUCUAUUUUCAUAAUUAAUAAUUUUGACUAUCCAAACUAUUAUCUAUUUUGUUAUUUUCAAUUAAAAACUAUGUUUAUUAAAAAUUCUUUUUGCAUANNNNNNNNNNNNNNNNNNNNNNNNNNNNNNNNNNNNNNNNNNNNNNNNNNNNNNNNNNNNNNNNNNNNNNNNNNNNNNNNNNNNNNNNNNNNNNNNNNNNUUUGUUUAUAAUUACUUAUUAAAUUUAUUUUAUGAUAAUUUUUUUUGCUAUUAAAGUUUCUAACAAAAAAAGUUCUUUAUGAAAAUUCUUUUUGCUUUUAAUGAUUUUGAACAGAAAAUACUUUGAUAAUUUUAGUUGCAUAAAUUUUAUAUAAUUUUAGUUUCAAUAAUACUAGAAGUUGCUUAUAAUGUUUUGAAUAGAAAAUACUUUGAUAAUUUUAGUUUCACAAAUUUUAUUUAUGUUAUUAAAGUUUUUUUUGUCUCUACUUAUCUAUUUUAUUAAAGUUUAUAUUAUUUUGUUUCAAAUUACUUAUUUAUUUUAUUUUGUUUUGUUUCUCACUUCAUUUGUUAUUUUUCAUGCAUUUACUGAUUAUUUUCAGCUAUAAGACCAUGAAAUUGAAAGGCAUUUGAAAUGAACUCUGAANAGGUUCCAAGUUGGCAUGGUAUCAUCAUUUCACCCACAUAGCAUGUGCAAGAAAGUAGAGAGGCUUACGGCAAAAACUGGAUGCACUUCGUGUANNNNNNNNNNNNNNNNNNNNNNNNNNNNNNNNNNNNNNNNNNNNNNNNNNNNNNNNNNNNNNNNNNNNNNNNNNNNNNNNNNNNNNNNNNNNNNNNNNNNUUCAUGCAUUUACUGAUUAUUUUCAGCUAUAAGACCAUGAAAUUGUAAUGUAUUUGAAAUGAACUCUGAAAAGGUUCCAAGUUGGCAUGGUAUCAUCAUUUCACCCACAUAGCAUGUGCAAGAAAGUAGAGAGGCUUACGGCAAAAACUAGAUGCACUUCGUAUACAAAACGGACAAUCUCCUUCGAAGUAUAAGGGUUUCAUACGGAAACUCGUGUGUUACAAAGGGAUUUCAAUUUUUUUAACUUAUUUGAACCCCCUUGUUUUUCUGUGUUCAAAAUGUACCAUUCAAAGCCACAUCAUCAAUUUACAACCCUUUCUGACUUCAUUUGUUAUUUUUCAUGCAUUUACUGAUUAUUUUCACCUAUAAGACCAUGAAAUUGAAAAGCAUUUGAAAUGAACUCUCGAAAGGUUCCAAGUUGGCAUGGUAUCAUCAUUUCACCCACAUAGCAUGUNNNNNNNNNNNNNNNNNNNNNNNNNNNNNNNNNNNNNNNNNNNNNNNNNNNNNNNNNNNNNNNNNNNNNNNNNNNNNNNNNNNNNNNNNNNNNNNNNNNNNNNNNNNNNNNNNNNNNNNNNNNNNNNNNNNNNNNNNNNNNNNNNNNNNNNNNNNNNNNNNNNNNNNNNNNNNNNNNNNNNNNNNNNNNNNNNNNNNNNNNNNNNNNNUUUACAAAGGGAUUUCAUUUUUUUGAACUUAUUUUAACCCCCUUGAUUUUCUGUGUUCAAAAUGCACCAUUCAAAGCCACAUCAUCAAUUUACAACCCUUUCUGACUUCAUUUGUUAUUUUUAUGCAUUUAUUGAUUAUUUUCAGCUAUAAGACCAUGAAUUUGUAAAGCAUUUGAAAUGAACUCUGAAAAGGUUCCAAGUUGGCAUGGUAUCAUCAUNNNNNNNNNNNNNNNNNNNNNNNNNNNNNCCAGCUAUAAGACCAUGAAAUUGAAAAGCAUUGAAAUGAACUCUGAAAAGGUUCCAAGUUGGCAUGGUAUCAUCAUUUCACCCACAUAGCAUGUGCAAGAAAGUAGAGAGGCUUACGGCAAAAACUGGAUGCACUUCGUGUACAAAACGGACAAUCUCCUUCGAAGUAUCAGGGUUUAAUACAGAAACUCGUCUGUUACAAAGGGAUUUCAAUUUUUUUUAACUUAUUUGAACCCCCUUGUUUUUCUGUGUUCAAAAUGCAUAAUUAAAAGCCACAUCAUCAAUUUACAACCCUUUCUGACUUCAUUUGUUAUUUNNNNNNNNNNGUACAAAACGGACAAUCUCCUUCGAAGUAUCACAGUUUCAUACGGAAACUCGUCUGUUACAAAGGGAUUCCAAUUUUUUUGAACUUAUUUGAACCCCCUUGUUUUUUUGUGUUAAAAAUGCACCAUUCAAAGCCACAUCAUCAAUUUACAACCCUUUCUGACNNNNNNNNNNNNNNNNNNNNNNNNNNNNNNNNNNNNNNNNNNNNNNNNNNNNNNNNNNNNNNNNNNNNNNNNNNNNNNNNNNNNNNNNNNNNNNNNNNNNACCCCCCUUUAGUCCCGGGUGGAGCCACGACCCGGGACUAAAGGCCCUUUUUCGGCUGACCAGAAGGCGGGAAGCAGGGGCCUUUAGUCCCGGGGCGUGGCUCCACCCGGGACUAAAGCCCCUCCUCGGUUGCACGAUAAGUUUAGUCCCACCUCGCCCAGCGAGGGGGACUAACACUUGAUUAUAACCCCCGUCGCAGCUUCUCCAUCGACCUCCUCUCUAAAGCAGGCUUACGGGCCUAAACUGACUGAAAAUUGAAACUAUAUUCGAAAUUAUGGAGAAAAUUCAACCUGAAUUCAAAGUGAGUUCAAUUUGAAUUUAGAUUGAAUUUUCUCUAUAAAUUCUCAUAUAGUUUCAAAUUUUUUCUAUUUUCAUAAUUAAUAAUUUUGACUAUCCAAACUAUUAUCUAUUUUGUUAUUUUCAAUUAAAAANNNNNNNNNNUUUUAAAAGUAAUUAUUUUGACUAUCCAAACUAUUAACUAUUUUGUUAUUUACAAUUAAAAANNNNNNNNNNGUUCAAAAGUAAUUAUUUUGACUAUCCAAACUAUUAUCUAUUUUGUUAUUUUCAAUUAAAAACUAUGUUUAUUCAAAUUCUUUUUGCAUAUUUGAGAAUUUGACAAAACUAUGAUAAUGAAAAGUGUUUGAAAUUGAAUAAAUAAUGCAAAACUAUUUUNNNNNNNNNNNNNNNNNNNNNNNNNNNNNNNNNNNNNNNNNNNNNNNNNNNNNNNNNNNNNNNNNNNNNNNNNNNNNNNNNNNNNNNNNNNUAUUUUUUUUUAGCUAGUUGACCCUGAAAUUGAAAAGCACUACAAAUGAACUCUGAAAAUGUUGAAAGUUGGCAUGCUAUCAUCAUUUCACCCACAUAGAAUGUGUUAAAAAGUUGAGAGGGCUACGACAAAAACUGGAAGCACUUCGUGUACAAAACGGAAAAUCUCUCUCGAAGUAUCAACGUUUCGAACGAGAACUCAUCUCUUACAACGGGAUUUCAUUUUUUGAACUUAUUUGAACUCCAUACUUUUUGUGUGUUCAAAAUGCANNNNNNNNNNNNNNNNNNNNNNNNNNNNNNNNNNNNNNNNNNNNNNNNNNNNNNNNNNNNNNNNNNNNNNNNNNNNNNNNNNNNNNNNNNNNNNNNNNNNAAUACUUGACACGCAGAAAACAGUAGCAACAAAAUGACACGAUCAACAUGCUACAUCUAUUAGUUUGGGUCUAGUCCAUCACGUGAUUCUCCCAAUGACGUGAUCCAGUUAUCAAGCAACAACACCUUGUUCAUAAUCAGAAGACACUGACUAUCAUCGUUCAACUGGCUAGCCAACUAGAGGCAUGCUAGGGACGGUGUUUUGUCUAUGUAUCCACACAUGUAAAUGAGUCUUCAUUCAAUACAAUUAUAGCAUGGAUAAUAAACUAUUAUCUUGAUACAGGAAUUAUAAUAAUAAUUAUACAUUUAUUAUUGCCUCUAGGGCAUAAUUCCAACAUCUCUCGCCCGGAGGCGCUUUGGGAUUGGCGAGCACGAGCGGCGCUCUCGGCGAGGCUGGGCGCCGGGGCGACGACCCCGGCUUGGACCUGCGGUGGUGACGGCAGCGGUGGCCGCGGGGACCGCGCCUCGGCGCGUAGAGGUGGCUGGGAAGGCUUGACCCCUUGUGGGCAGGACUCGAUCUGGCUCAGCCAUAUCUGGUUUCCGGGACUGCAGGCGGUGCNNNNNNNNNNNNNNNNNNNNNNNNNNNNNNNNNNNNNNNNNNNNNNNNNNNNNNNNNNNNNNNNNNNNNNNNNNNNNNNNNNNNNNNNNNNNNNNNNNNNAAACCCUUAUAAAUAACUGUUUUUUUACAGUUUGCGAAUAAAAAAACGCAUAGACUAGAACCCCUUAACCCUCAAACCCUUAAAAAAAAUUUGAGGAUCCAACCCUCAAACUCCCUCUCAACCUGUAGAAGUGAGGGUUGGAGAGCGAAAACUACCCCAACCCUCAAACCGUUCCAUCGUCGCGCGGGAGGGACUUUUCCCCGUCCCCAACUGCCGCCGCCAUUCCGACCACCGCCGCCGCCCCAUGCUGCCGCCGCGCCCCGCCGCCCCGAGCCGCCGCCGCGCCGUGCCCCACGGCCGCCCGCCGCGAGGCCGGCCCCAGGCCUCCUUGAGCUCUCCUCGCCGCCGCGCCAGAGGCGAGGCGGGCCAGAGGCAGCCGCGCCGCCACGAGCUCUCCUGUUUUUGCCCCUGUUUUUGUUAUAAGGGUUGGGUUUGAGGGUUCUAGUCUUUGCCCCUGUUUUUCAACCCUUAAAAGUGCCAAAAAAUGCAAAUUCUCAACCCUUAAAACUGGUUUGAGGGUUUGAGGGUACUCCUAAAGAUGCUCUCAGAUGAUGCCUCCAACCAUUUCAGGUAAAGACAUCCUUGUCCUUCUGUUCCAUCCACGUACACACGGCUAUAAACAGUUGUUAGUGUUCAGAUCACUGAAGAAUAGACUACAAAGGGACCCAUUGCGUAGACUUCUAGAUAACCUGUAGCAAAGAGAAAUCUGACUUAUAACUAAUUUGUUUUCGAAAAGAAGGAUUACUCCCGGCUAAGCCUGGGCAUACCCCGGGCCGGGCCGGGCCGGGCNNNNNNNNNNNNNNNNNNNNNNNNNNNNNNNNNNNNNNNNNNNNNNNNNNNNNNNNNNNNNNNNNNNNNNNNNNNNNNNNNNNNNNNNNNNNNNNNNNNNCUUCUUUUCUUCUCCUUCCCUUUUUCUUCCUUUCUUCUCCUUUUUCUUCCUUUCUUCUCCUUUUUCUUCUUUUCUUCUCCUUUUUCUUCUUUUCUUCUACUGGCCGGAGUGUUGGGGAGGGGCGGGGGGCUUACCGGCCGGAGGAGGGGGCGGGGGGCUUACUACCCGGAGGUGUCGACGGCGCGCGGCGAGGAGGACGGCGGCGACGGCGAGGAGGACGGCAGGCGGNNNNNNNNNNNNNNNNNNNNNNNNNNNNNNNNNNNNNNNNNNNNNNNNNNNNNNNNNNNNNNNNNNNNNNNNNNNNNNNNNNNNNNNNNNNNNNNNNNNNNNNNNNNNNNNNNNNNNNNNNNNNNNNNNNNNNNNNNNNNNNNNNNNNNNNNNNNNNNNNNNNNNNNNNNNNNNNNNNNNNNNNNNNNNNNNNNNNNNNNNNNNNNNNNNNNNNNNNNNNNNNNNNNNNNNNNNNNNNNNNNNNNNNNNNNNNNNNNNNNNNNNNNNNNNNNNNNNNNNNNNNNNNNNNNNNNNNNNNNNNNNNNNNNNNNNNNNNNNNNNNNNNNNNNNNNNNNNNNNNNNNNNNNNNNNNNNNNNNNNNNNNNNNNNNNNNNNNNNNNNNNNNNNNNNNNNNNNNNNNNNNNNNNNNNNNNNNNNNNNNNNNNNNNNGGGACUAAAGCCCCUCCUCGGCUGCACGAUAAGUUUAGUCCCACCUCGCCGAGCGAGGGGGACAAACACUUGUUUAUAAGCCCCGUCGCAGCUUCUCCAUCGAGCUCCUCUCUAAAGUAGGCUUACGGGCCUAACCUAACUGAAAAUUGAAACUAUAUUCGAAAUUAUGGAGAAAAUUCAACCUGAAUUCAAAGUGAGUUCACUUCGAAUUUAGGUUGAAUUUUCUCUAUAAAUUCUCAUAUAGUUUCAAUUUUUUUCUAUUUUCAAAAUUAAUUAUUUUGACUAUCCAAAUUAUUAUCUAUUUUGUUANNNNNNNNNNNNNNNNNNNNNNNNNNNNNNNNNNNNNNNNNNNNNNNNNNNNNNNNNNNNNNNNNNNNNNNNNNNNNNNNNNNNNNNNNNNNNNNNNNNNNUAAAGACCCCCUUUAGUCCCGGGUCGAGCCACGACUAGGGACUAAAGACCCCUUUUCGUCAGGCGGAGUGGCGGGAAACGAGGUUCUUUAGUCCCGGGUCGUAUCUCGACCCGGGACUAAAGGUGGUAAGUUUUAGUCCCACCUCGCUUGUCAAGAGGCGGUGCAACUAGUUUAUAAGCCCCACCGCCCCGAACCGUCUCGAGCUCUUCUCUAAAGCAGACUUACUGGCCUAAACGCACUCUAAAUUUAAAAAUGAAAAAAUAUAUAUGAAAUUAAAGACAAAAUUCAACCUAAAUUCAAAGUGACUUUGAAUCACUUUGAAUUUGGCUUGAAUUUUCUCUAUAAAUUUUCAUAUAGUUUCAAAUUUUCCAUUAUUUUUGUUUUGUUCUUUGCUUUAUUUAUUUUGUUUUUUUCUACUUACAACUAAAUAUUAAGUUUUCAAAUUUAAAAUUCUUUGAAAUUUGUGAAUACCUUUACUUUCAUUUUUUGCUAUUAAAGAUUAUUUUUUCUCUUCUAUUUUAGUUUACUAUUAAAGAUUUUUACCAGAAAACUUUAUGAAAACUCUUUUGAGCCUAAACGCACUCUGAAUUUAAAAAUUUGAAAUAUAUGUGAAAUUCAAGAUAAAAUUCAACCUAAAUUCAAAGUGAAUCACCUUGAAUUUGGGUUGAGUUUUCUCUAUAAAUUCUCAUAUAGUUUUAAUUUUUUUCCAUUAUUUUUAUUUUGUUCUUUGCUUUAUUUAUUUUGUUUUUUUCUACUUACAGCUAAAUAUUUAGAUUUCAAAUUUUAAUUCUUUUGAGUUGAUCUUUUUAUUGUUUAUUUUUAGUUAAUGUUUUACUUAAAUCUUUUAAACAAAUAAGCACUUUGAUAAUUUUAGUUGAUUAUUUUUAAUUCAUUCAUUUUAUUUAAUGUUUUAGUCGAUUCUUUUUAGUUAACUCUUUUUUUCUAUGAAAUAUUUUAACAAAUUUUUAACAAUUUGUAACUUCAUUUGGUAUUUUUCGUGCAUUUACUUUUUUUUGGCUAGUUGACCCUAAAAUUGAAGAACACUACAAACGAACUCUGAAAAUGUUGAGAGCUCGCAUGCUAUUAUCAUUUCACCCACAUAGCAUGUGCUAAAAAGUUGAGAAGGUUAUGACAAAAACUUGAUGCUCUUCGUGUACGAAAUGGAUAAUCUCUCUCGAAGUAUCAGGGUUUCGAAUGAGAACUCAUCUGUUACAAAGGAAUUUCAUUUUUUGAACUUAUUUGAACNNNNNNNNNNNNNNNNNNNNNNNNNNNNNNNNNNNNNNNNNNNNNNNNNNNNNNNNNNNNNNNNNNNNNNNNNNNNNNNNNNNNNNNNNNNNNNNNNNNNCCAUACUUUUUGUGUGUUCAAAAUGCAUCAUUCAAAGGCACAUCACAAAUUUUCAACAAUUUCUGACUUCAUUUGGUUUUUUUCAUGUAUUUACUUAUUAUUUUUGAGCUAGUUGACCCUGAAAUUGAAUAGCAGUACAAAUAAACUCUGAAAAUGUUGAAAGUUGGCAUGGUAUCAUCAUUUCACCCACAUAGCAUGUGCUAAAAAGUUGAGAGGGUUACGAUAAAAACUGGAUGCACUUCGUGUACAAAACGGACAAUCUCUCUCGAAGUAUGAGAGUUUUGAACGAGAACUAAUCUGUUACAAAGAGAUUUCAUUUUUUGAACUUAUUUAAACUCCAUACUUUUUGUGUGUUCAAAAUGCACCAUUCAAAGGCACAUCACAAAUUUUCAACAAUUUCUGACUUCAUUUGGUAUUUUUCGUGCAUUUACUUAUUUGUUUUUGAGCUAGUUGACCGUGAAAUUAAAAAGCACUACAAAUGAACUCUAAAAAUGUUGAAAGUUGGCAUGGUAUCAUAAUUUCACCCACAUAGCAUGUGCUAAAAAGUUGAGAGGGUUACGACAAAAACUGGAUGCACUUCGUGUACAAAACGGAUAAUCUCUCUCGAAAUAUGAGGGUUUCGAAACUCAUCUCUUACAAAGGGAUGCAUUUUUUUAAACUUAUUUGAACUCCANNNNNNNNNNNNNNNNNNNNNNNNNNNNNNNNNNNNNNNNNNNNNNNNNNNNNNNNNNNNNNNNNNNNNNNNNNNNNNNNNNNNNNNNNNNNNNNNNNNNGGGACGUGAGGACGUUCCACUACAUCAACCGCGUUCACUAACGCUUCUGCUGUACGAUCUACAAGGGUACGUAGAUCACUCAUCCCCUCUCGUAGAUGGACAUCACCAUGAUAGGUCUUCGUGCGCGUAGGAAAAUUUUUGUUUCCCAUGCGACGUUCCCCAAGAGUGGCAUCAUGAGCUAGGUUCAUGCGUAGAUGUCUUCUCGAGUAGAACACAAAAGGUUUUGUGGGCGGUGAUGUGCGUUUUGCUGCCCUCCUUAGUCUUUUCUUGAUUCCGCGAUAUUGUUGGAUUGAAGCGGCUUGGACCGACAUUACUCGUACGCUUACGAGAGACUGGUUUCAUCGUUAGGAGUACCCCCCUUGCUCAAAGAUGACUGGCAAGUGACGGUUUCUCCAACUUUACUUGAAUCGGAUUUGACCGAGGAGGUCCUUGGAUGAGGUUAAAUAGCAACUCAUAGAUCUCCGUUGUGGUGUUUGCGUAAGUAAGAUGCAAUCCUACAAGAUACCUUUGGUCACCACGUAAAACAUGCAACAACAAAAUUAGAGGACGUCUAACUUGUUUUUGCAGGGUAUGAUUGUGAUGUGAUAUGGCCAAUGAUGUGAUGUGAUAUAUUGGAUGUAUGAGAUGAUCAUGUUGUAAUAGAAAUAUCGACUUGCACGUUGAUGGUACGGCAACCGGCAGGAGCCAUAGGGUUGUCUUUAUACUAACGUUUGUGCUUGCAGAUGCGUUUACCAUUUUGCUAGGAUGUAGCUUUAGUAGUAAUAGCAUAACUAGCACGACAAACCCGAUGGCAACACGUUGAUGGAUGAUCAUGGUGUGGCGCUGGUGACAAGAAGAUCGUGCCGGUGCUUAGGUGAUGGAGAUCAAGAAGCACGUGAUGAUGGCCAUAUCAUGUCACUUAUGAAUUGCAUGUGAUGUUAAUCCUUUUAUGCACCUUAUUUUUCUUAGAACGACGGUAGCAUUAUGAGGUGAUCUCUCACUAAAAUUUCAAGACGAAAUUGUGUUCUCCCCGACUGUGCACCGUUGCUACAGUUCGUCAUUUCGAGACACCACGUGAUGAUCGGGUGUGAUAGACUCAACGUUCACAUACAACGGGUGCAAAACAGUUGCGCACGCGGAACACUCGGGUUAAGCUUGACGAGCCUAGCAUGUGUAGACAUGGCCUCGGAACACAUGAGACCGAAAGGUCGAUCAUGAAUCAUAUAGUUGAUAUGAUUAGCAUAGGGAUGCUUACCACUGAAACUACUCUCGACUCACGUGAUGAUCGGACUUGGGAUAGUGUAAGUGGAUCAUGAACCACUCAAAUGACUAGAGAGAUGUACUUUUUGAGUGGGAGUUUAGCAUAUAAUUUGAUUAAGUUGAACUCUAAUUAUCUUGAACAUAGUCUAAGUCCAAUUUGAAUAUAUUUGUGUUGUAGAUCAUGGCUCACCCAAGUGUCAUCCUGAAUUUUAAUACGUUCCUAGAGAAAGCUAAGUUGAAAGAUGAUGGAAGCAACUUUGUAGACUGGGCUCGUAAUCUUAAGCUAAUCUUACAAGCUGGAAAGAAGGAUUAUGUCCUUAAUGCUGCGCUAGGAGAUGAACCACCCGCUACGGCUGAUCAGGAUGUUAAGAACGCUUGGUUAGCGCGUAAGGAGGACUACUCAAUAGUUCAAUGUGCAGUCUUGUAUGGCUUAGAACCGGGACUUCAACGUCGCUUUGAGCGUCAUGGAGCAUUUGAGAUGUUCCAGGAGUUUAAAUUUAUCUUUCAGAAGAACGCCCGGAUCGAGAGGUAUGAGACCUCCGAUAAAUUCUAUGCUUGCAAGAUGGAGGAAAACUCGUCUGUCAGUGAACAUGUGCUCAAAAUGUCUGGGUACUCAAACCGUCUAGCUGAACUGGGGAUUGAACUCCCGCAAGAAGCUAUCACUGACAGAAUCCUUCAAUCACUGCCGCCAAGCUAUAAAGGCUUUGUGUUGAACUACAACAUGCAAGGGAUGAACAAGUCUCCCGGCGAGUUGUUUGCGAUGCUGAAAGUCGCAGAGUCUGAACUCCGUAAAGAGCAUCAAGUGUUGAUGGUGAGCAAGACCACUAGUUUCAAGAGAAACGGCAAAGGCAAUAAGGGCAAUUCGAAGAAGAGCGGCAAGCCUGUUGCCAAUCCGCCAAAGAAACCCAAGGCUGGACCUAAGCCUGAAACAGAGUGCUUCUAUUGCAAGGGUAUGGGUCACUGGAAGCGCAAUUGCCCCAAGUAUCUGGCAGAUAAGAAGGCGGGCAAAGAAAAAUCAGGUAUAUUUGAUAUACAUGUUAUUGAUGUGUACUUAACCGGCUCUCGUAGUAGUGCCUGGGUAUUCGAUACCGGUUCUGUUGCUCACAUUUGCAACUCGAAGCAGGAACUGCGGAAUAGACGAAGGCUGGCGAAAGACGAAGUGACGAUGCGCGUAGGAAAUGGUUCCAAGGUUGAUGCAAUCGCCGUCGGCACAGUGUCACUUCAACUACCAUCGGGAUUAGUGAUGAACUUAAAUCAUUGUUAUUUAGUGCCUGCGUUGAGCAUGAACAUUAUAUCUGGAUCUUGUUUAUUGCGAGACGGUUACUCUUUUAAGUCUGAGAAUAAUGGUUGUUCUAUUUCUAUGAGUAACAUCUUUUAUGGUCAUGCACCGAAUGUGAGAGGAUUGUUCAUAUUGAAUCUCGAUAGCGAUACGCAUAUACAUAACAUUGAGACCAAAAGACUUAGAGUAAACAAUGAUAGCGCCAUAUUUUUGUGGCACUGCCGCUUGGGUCAUAUUGGUGUAAAGCGCAUGAAGAAACUCCAUGCUGAUGGACUUUUGGAGUCACUUGACUUUGAUUCACUUGACACGUGCGAACCAUGCCUCAUGGGCAAGAUGACUAAGACUCCGUUCUCCGGAACAAUGGAGCGUGCAAGUGACUUGUUGGAAAUCAUACAUACCGAUGUGUGUGGUCCGAUGAGCGUGGAGGCACGCGGCGGAUAUCGUUAUUUUCUCACCUUCACUGACGAUUUAAGUAGAUAUGGUUAUGUCUACUUGAUGAAGCACAAGUCUGAAACAUUUGAAAAGUUCAAGCAAUUUCAGAGUGAAGUGGAAAAUCAUCGUAACAAGAAGAUCAAGUUCCUACGGUCUGAUCGUGGGGGUGAAUAUCUGAGUUUCGAGUUUGGUACUCACUUAAGACAAUGUGGAAUUGUUUCGCAGUUAACACCGCCUGGAACACCACAGCGUAAUGGUGUGUCCGAACGUCGUAAUCGUACUUUGUUAGAGAUGGUGCGAUCUAUGAUGUCUCUUACUGAUUUGCCGUUAUCAUUUUGGGGUUAUGCAUUAGAAACAGCUGCAUUCACUUUAAAUAGGGCACCAUCAAAAUCCGUUGAGACGACACCAUACGAACUGUGGUAUGGCAAAAGACCAAAGUUGUCGUUUCUUAAAGUUUGGGGAUGUGAUGCUUAUGUCAAAAAGCUUCAGCCUGAAAAGCUGGAACCCAAAGCAGAAAAGUGCGUCUUCAUAGGUUACCCAAAAGAGACAGUUGGGUACACCUUCUAUCUCAAAUCCGAGGGCAAAGUGUUUGUUGCUAAGAACGGAACUUUUCUCGAGAAGGAGUUUCUCUCGAGAGAAUUGAGUGGGAGGAAGAUAGAACUUGACGAGGUUGUCGAACCUCUCAUCCCUCUGGAUGGUGGCACAGGGCAAGGGGAAACCUCUGUCGUUGCGUCGCCGGUUGAGGAGGAAGUUAAUGAUGAUGAUCAUGAAACUCUAGUUCAAGUUUCUGUUGAACCACACAGGUCGACGAGAUCACGCGCUGCUCUAGAGUGGUACGGUAAUCCCGUCUUAUCAAUCAUGUUGUUAGACAACAAUGAACCUGCAAAUUAUGAAGAAGCAAUGGUGGGCCUAGAUUCCAACAAAUGGCUAGAAGCCAUGAAAUCCGAGAUAGGAUCCAUGUAUGAGAACAAAGUGUGGACUUUGGAGAUACUACCUGAGGGCCGCAAGGCUAUUCAGAACAAAUGGAUUUUUAAGAAGAAGACGGACGCUGACAGUAAUGUGACCAUUUAUAAAGCUCGACUUGUGGCAAAGGGUUUUUCACAAGUUCCAGGAGUUGACUACGAUGAGACCUUCUCACCCGUAGCGAUGCUUAAAUCUGUCAGAAUCAUGUUAGCAAUAGCUGCAUUUUUCGAUUAUGAAAUCUGGCAGAUGGAUGUCAAAACGGCGUUCCUUAACGGUUUCCUUAAGGAAGAGUUGUAUAUGAUGCAACCCGAAGGUUUUGUCGAUCCUAAAAAUGCUGACAAGGUGUGCAAGCUCCAGCGAUCCAUUUAUGGACUGGUGCAAGCAUCUCGGAGUUGGAACAAACGCUUUGAUGAGGUGAUCAAAGCAUUUGGGUUUAUACAAGUGGUUGGAGAAUCUUGUAUUUACAAGAAAGUGAGUGGGAGCUCUGUGGCGUUUCUAAUAUUAUAUGUGGAUGACAUAUUACUGAUUGGAAACAACGUAGAGCUUUUGGAGAGCAUAAAAGGUUACUUAAAUAAAAGUUUCUCUAUGAAGGACCUAGGAGAAGCUGCUUACAUUCUAGGCAUUAAGAUCUAUAGGGAUAGAUCAAAACGCCUGAUACGACUUUCACAAAGCACAUACCUUGAUAAAGUUUUGAAGAGGUUCAAAAUGGAACAGUCCAAGAAAGGGUUCUUGCCAGUGUUACAAGGUACGAGAUUGAGUAAGACUCAGUGCCCAGCAACUGAUGAAGAUAGAGAGCAUAUGCGCUCCGUCCCCUAUGCUUCAGCCAUAGGUUCUAUCAUGUAUGCGAUGUUGUGCACUAGACCGGAUGUUAGCCUGGCCAUAAGUAUGGCAGGCAGGUUCCAGAGUAAUCCAGGAGUGGAUCACUGGACAUCGGUCAAGAAUAUCCUGAAGUACCUGAAAAGGACUAAGGAGAUGUUUCUCGUGUAUGGAGGUGAUGAAGAGCUCGCCGUAAAAGGUUACGUCGAUGCAAGCUUUGACACAGAUCCGGAUGACUCUAAGUCGCAAACCGGAUACGUAUUUAUUCUUAAUGGGGGUGCAGUAAGCUGGUGCAGUUCCAAGCAAAGCGUCGUAGCAGAUUCUACAUGUGAAGCGGAGUACAUGGCUGCCUCGGAGGCGGCUAAGGAGGGUGUCUGGAUGAAGCAGUUCAUGACGGAUCUUGGAGUGGUGCCAAGUGCACUGGAUCCAAUAACCUUGUUCUGUGACAACACUGGUGCCAUUGCCUUAGCAAAGGAACCAAGGUUUCACAAGAAGACCAGACACAUCAAACGACGCUUCAACCUCAUUCGCGACUACGUCGAGGAGGAGGACGUAAAUAUAUGCAAAGUGCACACGGAUCUGAAUGUAGCAGACCCGCUGACUAAACCUCCUCCACGGCCAAAACAUAAUCGACACCAGAACUGUAUUGGUGUUAGAUUUAUUACAAUGUAAUUCACAUGAUAAUGUGAGGGCUAGAUUAUUGACUCUAAUGCAAGUGGGAGACUGUUGGAAUUAAGCCCUAGAGGCAAUAAUAAAUGUAUAAUUAUUAUUAUAAUUCCUGUAUCAAGAUAAUAGUUUAUUAUCCAUGCUAUAAUUGUAUUGAAUGAAGACUCAUUUACAUGUGUGGAUACAUAGACAAAACACCGUCCCUAGCAUGCCUCUAGUUGGCUAGCCAGUUGAUCGAUGAUAGUCAGUGUCUUCUGAUUAUGAACAAGGUGUUGUUGCUUGAUAACUGGAUCACGUCAUUGGGGGAAUCACGUGAUGGACUAGACCCAAACUAAUAGACGUAGCAUGUUGAUCGUGUCAUUUUGUUGCUACUGUUUUCAGCGUGUCAAGUAUUUAUNNNNNNNNNNNNNNNNNNNNNNNNNNNNNNNNNNNNNNNNNNNNNNNNNNNNNNNNNNNNNNNNNNNNNNNNNNNNNNNNNNNNNNNNNNNNNNNNNNNNCCUCACGUCCCUCGAUCCGCCCCGCGAACAAUCCCGCGAUCAGUCCCACGAUCUAGUACCGAACGGACGGCACCUCCGCGUUCAGCACACGUACAGCUCGACGAUGAUCUCGACCUUCUUGAUCCAGCAAGAGAGACGGAGAGGUAGAAGAGUUCUCUGGCAGCGUGACGGUGCUCCGGAGGUUGGUGAUGAUCUCGUCUCAGCAGGGCUCCGCCCGAGCUCCGCAGAAACGCGAUCUAGAGGAAAAACUAUGGAGGUAUGUGGUCGGGCAGCCGUGAGAAAGUCGUCUCAAAUCUGCCCUAAAAGCCCCAUAUAUAUAGGAGGAGGGAGGGGAACCUUGCCUUGGGGUCCAAGGGACCCUCAAGGGGUCGGCCGAGCCAAGGGGGGGAGGACUCCCCCCCCAAACCGAGUUGGACUUGGUUUGGUGGGAGGAGUCCCCCUCCCUUCCCACUUCUUCCCUCUUUUUUUCUUUUCCUUUGAUUUCCUUUCCUUGGCGCAUAGGCCCCCUUGGGACUGUCCCACCAGCCCACUAAGGGCUGGUGUGUCUCCCCAAAGCCUAUGGGCUUCCCCGGGGUGGGUUGCCCCCCCCGCUGAACUCCCGGAACCCAUUCGUCAUUCCCGGUACAUUCAUGGUAACUCCGAAAACCUUCCGGUAAUCAAAUGAGGUCAUCCUAUAUAUCAUUCUUCGUUUCCGGACCAUUCCGGAAACCCUCGUGACGUCCGUGAUCUCAUCCGGGACUCCUAACAACAUUCGGUAACCAACCAUAUAACUCAAAUACACAUAAAACAACGUCGAACCUUAAGUGUGCAGACCCUGCGGGUUCGAGAACUAUGUAGACAUGACCCGAGAGACUCCUCGGUCAAUAUCCAAUAGCGGGACCUGGAUGCCCAUAUUGGAUCCUACAUAUUCUACGAAGAUCUUUAUCGUUUGAACCUUAGUGCCAAGGAUUCGUAUAAUCCCGUAUGUCAUUCCCUUUGUCCUUCGGUAUGUUACUUGCCCGAGAUUCGAUCGUCAGUAUCCGUAUACCUAUUUCAAUCUCGUUUACCGGCAAGUCUCUUUACUCGUUCCGUAAUACAAGAUCCCGCAACUUACACUAAGUUACAUUGCUUGCAAGGCUUGUGUGUGAUGUUGUAUUACCGAGUGGGCCCCGAGAUACCUCUCCGUCACACGGAGUGACAAAUCCCAGUCUUGAUCCAUACUAACUCAAUUAACACCUUCGGAGAUACCUGUAGAGCAUCUUUAUAGUCACCCAGUUACGUUGCAACUUUUGAUACACACAAAGCAUUCCUCCGGUGUCAGUGAGUUAUAUGAUCUCAUGGUCAUAGGAAUAAAUACUUGACACGCNNNNNNNNNNNNNNNNNNNNNNNNNNNNNNNNNNNNNNNNNNNNNNNNNNNNNNNNNNNNNNNNNNNNNNNNNNNNNNNNNNNNNNNNNNNNNNNNNNNNUCAUGUAUUUACUUAUUUUUUAGAGCUAGUUGACCCUGAAAUUGAAAAGCACUACAAAUGAACUCUGAAAAAAUGUUGAAAGUUGGCAAGGUAUCAUCAUUUCAUCCACAUAGCAUGUUCUAAAAAGUUGAGAGGGUUACGACAAAAAUUGGAUGCACUUCGUGUACAAAACGGACAAUCUCUCUCGAAGAAUGAGGGUUUCGAACGAAAACUCAUGUGUUACAAAGCGAUUUCAUUUUUGGAACUUCAUAUUUUUUUGUGUUCAAAAUGCACCAUUCAAAGGCACAUCACAAAUUUUCAACAAUUUAUGACUUCAUUUGGCAUUUUACAUGCAUUUACUUUUUUUGAGCUAGUUGACCCAGAAAUUGAAAAGCAGUACAAAUGAGCUAUGAAAAUGUUGAAAGUUGGCAUGGUAUAUUUAUUUCAACCACAUAACAUGUGGUAAAAAGUUGAGAGGGUUACGACAAAAACUGGAUGCACUUCAUGUACAAAACGGACAAUCUCUCUCGAAGUAUGAGGGUUUCGAACGAGAACUCAUCUAUUACAAAAGGAAUUUCAUUUUUUUGAACUUAUUUGAACUCCAUACUUUUUGUGUCUUCAAAAUGCAUCAUUCAAAGGCACAUCACAAAUUUUCAACAAUUUCUGAUUUCAUUUGGUAAUUUUCAUGCAUUUACUUUUUUUUGAGCUAGUUGACCCUGAAAUUGAAAAGAUCAACAAAUGAACUCUGAAAAUGUUGAAAGUUGGCAUGGUAUCAUAAUUUCAUCCACACAACAUGUGCUAAAAAGUUGAGAGGGUUACGAGAAAAACUGGUUGCACUUCGUGUACAAAACGGAUAAUUUCUCUCAAAGUAUGAGGGUUUCGAAAGAGAACUAAUCUGUUACAAAGGGAUUUCAUUUUCUUGAACUUAUUUAAACUCCAUACUUUUUGUGUGUUCAAAAUGCACCAUUCAAAGGCACAUCAUAAAUUUUCGACUAUUUCUGUUUCAUGUAUUUACUUANNNNNNNNNNNNNNNNNNNNNNNNNNNNNNNNNNNNNNNNNNNNNNNNNNNNNNNNNNNNNNNNNNNNNNNNNNNNNNNNNNNNNNNNNNNNNNNNNNNNGGACAAUGACAAGUGCCAGUUGUGCGGGAUGCAAGAUUCAUGGAGACACUCGCUUAUAGCAUGCUCGGUUGCAAGGUGUGUUUGGGCUCUCGAGGAUGAAGAUAUAGCAGAUUACAUUCAGAAAGCUACAGAUCCUAGAACAAAGCAGUGGUUUUUUGCAACAAUAGAGGAUUUGUCUCAUGCUAGGCUGAUCAAGCUAUCCACGAAGAAAUUUUGCAGAGCCCUCAUGCAACUAAUGCUUUUUUAACAAACUAUAUUGUUGAACUUGCAAGCAUCAAAGAAAAGAAGACACGAGGAACUUGUUCUACCAUGGGUGCCCCCAGGAUUAGGCCGACCCGGUGGAUUGCUCCUGCCCAGGGAGUAGUAAAGAUUCAGGUUGAUGGGGGUAUCUCCAGGAAUGGCACCAAGGGUGCAACGGCAACCAUUUGUCGUUAUCAGAAGGGACUUUUCCUGUGUUCUUCAGCACUGGUUUUCACUGGAGUCAUGGAUCCACCAACUCUUGAAGUUCUCUCGUGUUGGGAAGCUAUGGCUUUAGCGUUUGAUCUGUCCUUGAAUCAAGUUGUUAUUGCUUGUGACUAUGAAGUAGUUAUUAAAGACAUCAAGUCUGGCACAGAGGGAAGAUAUACUUCCAUCAGCAAGGAGAUAAAAAAUGCUGCUCUUAAUUUUACCAAGUGUGAGUUUAUUUUCGAAGGCGAGAAAGGAAUGUUGAUGCCCAUAAUGUAGCUAAAUUUGCUUUUACUUUAGAUGAUGGGCGCCACCUGUGGCCGAGUUCAUCCCAUGACCCUUUUGUCAUACCUGUAAACCGUUCCCCUAAUCAAUAAAGGCUGGUUUACCACUCAAAAAAAAGCUGAUUGUUGCCCUUACGGAGGACCUCUCACUUCAGAAUAUUGUGGUGGCAUGCGAUGGCAAAGUAGUAGUUGAUGACAUACACGGAGGAGAGGGUGGAUCUUAUGUGACAGUCAUUAAGGAGAUUUCCAUGCGCAGAUCUUUUUUCAAUAUUCGUAAGUUUAUUUCUGAGGGUAGAGCAUCGAAUAGCGAUGCACACAAUCUUACUAAGCACUCGUUAUUACUUGAUCGGGGUCGUCACUUGUGGCUCAUUCAUGCCACGACCCUUCUUGUAUCCCUCUUUGUGUCCAAACAGAUCAAUUAAGUUUUGGCAUUUCUCAAAAAAAAAAAAAGAACUUGCCAUAUAAUUUUCCUCAGAUUUUGAGUCGAAUAAGCUAGCCAGCCAGCUUAGCAAAGUUCAAUUGCCCUUCUGUUUGAUUGGAUGAGACCCAUGAUGGCAUUAUCUCUCUGCUUGUUCAUGAUGUGACUUUGAUCACCAAUGAAUAAGAGGGGGUGUGAUUUAACAAAAGACACAAAAAAACUCCGUUCUUUUAGAGAAAACGGCAAAACUCAAGAAGGACCUUAUUGUUUGGGACAUUCAUAAGAGGUAAGCAGCAAAGGCAAAUUAAGAUUGUAGUAUUUGGUACCAUACAACGCGAGGACUGGAAAGAAAGACUUCAUUAUAGUAGUUUUGUUCACAAAAACUAUAUGGCCAACGUUCAGAUUUUAACCUUGCUACUCGAGCACUUCGAGAGUAACUCACUGGUGGAGCUAUUGCAAUGCCAAAUGUGUCAUGUGCUGCAUUUUACAAUUUGUACACUGAUUUUUUCACUUCUCGGUCUUGAAACAUCCGCUCACUGACUAUUUUCUUCGAGUGCGAGAGAGAAAACUUCCCACCCUCGCGUCGCCCCGCUUGGGCGACUCGGAGGCGACAACCCUAGGUCGUCGUCGGGCGCCCCUUCCCGAUGCUCCUCGCUGCCGUGGGGAGUCCUGGACCUGAGCGGCGGCUCCUCUGGUGAGGCUUCGUCGGAUCUGCGGCCUCCGGCGGUGCGGCCGACGGAUUCGGGGUCCCUGUCACUUGGGUGGUGGGAUCUUGGUGGAGGAGGUGAGCGGCUGGUUGCUGCUUUGGCGGCCAGCGACACAAGAUCCCUGGCGUUCCCCUCCCUUGAUUGGCGUGCGGGCACCUCUGGCCAGGUGGUGCCUUUUAUGGUCGCCGUUACCUGAAGAGGGGGUGGCUUGUGGGGUUGGGGCGGCCCUGGCGUAAUCCAUGGCCGGCUUGGCCGGCCGCGCCAACGGCGAUGCGUGCGGGCAUCGUGCCCCUUCCUGGAGGCGUUGGUAUGGACUGCCCCCUCCACUUCCCCUUCCUCUAGGUCUCCGGGUCGAAAGCCCUAACUUUGUUGGGCGGCGACGACGCUUGCAGUGUCGUUCCCUUCUUGAAGGCGUCGCCUUUGGAGCCUUGUAGUUGGGGGCGCUUGUGGUUGGUUGGUGGCACCGGCAGUGUGGCCCUCUUCGUCCUGGUAUGAUGCUCCCCCUCUUCCAGUGCUGGAUGUGUGCAGCGGCCUUGUUCUGCGCAAGAAGAGUCUCCGGUGACUCGUGGGGAUGCGUUGACCCUCUCUAUGUGACCAUCUCCGGCGGCGUCCACCACACCUGUCGACGGUGCGGCGCCUUCGAUCCAGGCGAGGAGGUUGUGGCCUCCUUCGAAGUUGGGUGUUGGAUGCGAUGUGUCGGGGUCCGUAGGUGCAUGGCGACGGCAUGCCAUGCUGAUGUCGGUCCCUCUCUCCUUUGUUCCUGCACGAUCUUGCUUCUGGUGCUAUAUUCUCGGUCGAGGACCUCGGCAUCUUCGGCUUCACCCUUCACUGCUUAUCUUCAGUUGCCGUGGUGUAUGAGGCUUAGUUUCAUGUUGUCCGUCGUUUUUGUAUCUUUCGCCAUGUAUUUUCUUCUUUUUGCUUGAGGGCGUGUGCUUGUAAUCCUGCACGAUUGAUGGCUUUGUUAAUUCAAAGUCGGGCUAGGCUCGAGCCUCAUCUCGGUCUCGGUUGAUGUCUUUUUUAAAAAAAAAACAUAUUUUCUUCGGUUAUGCUUCAGUAUUCUUUUGUUUUUUCUUUGUUUUCUUUCUGUUUCUUUCUCGGCUCAUCACUUGGUUUUCCCCUGUACGUUGGUGGGUUAUUUCCCCAUAUUUUCCUUUUUUUUCAUCAUACAUCAACUUAUCAGUUGAUUUUUUUUCUCCCACGAAGAGUUCUCCUGUUGUAUGUGGGUGGUUAGUCCUUACAACAAAUAUAGCUUGGCAAAGUUACCAAGUUAUAGGUUUCUUCACAAGUAAAAAACGCUGAUGUAUAACUACGUACGUGAAACAUAUUAUAUUAUUAUUAUUAUUAUUACUACUUCAAAUAACAAACAAAUGUAACACACACGUGAAGAAGUCAACUACAUGCUACAUCAAUUUAUUCGGUAACAAACAGAGGAUUAUUUUCUUCCAAAACGGAUGAUGGAGAGAGUUGCCGACGGCAGAGGCUCCCUACUUGAACCUGGCCUUGACGGCGUCGAUGUCUUCGUUAUCAACCCGGAAGGCCUUGGCCAGCACGUCGGUCGGCACCGGCGGUGAGGCAGCCAAGAGCGUGGUGGCGAUGGCUUGGGUGCCCUGAAGCUGGCUGUUGAAGGCGGCGAUGACGGAGGCGGGGCCAUGUCCCCUGUUCUGCUGGAAGUGCACGAGCCCGCGCGGGAAGACGAACACCUCACCGACGGUGACGAACCUAGUGAAGAGCUUGUUGGCGGUGGUGAUGAAGCCCACCUCGAGGGUUCCCUGGGUGACGAAGAUGAUCUCGGUGGCGCGUGGGUGGGUGUGCGGCGGGUUCUGCCCUCCGACCGCGUAGUCGAUGCGCGCCAUGGACACGCCGAGCGUGUUCACCCCGGGGAAUGACUGCACGUUCGCCGCCGUGACGACCGACCCCGCCGGGUUGUUGGUGUUGCCGGCCUUCUUGAGACCGGCGAAGAAGAAGUCGUCCGCCGUGAUGUUCGCCUUGCACGGGAAGCCGUUGAUCUUGAUCGCUGCCGCAAACCAUGCAUUUGGACCAACACGCAGCGUCAGCAAAAGUCAGCGCACGGGAUGCAAGAGCGAGGUUGACAAACUACGAUGAACACAUAAUUUUGCAGGAUGACUCACGGGAUGCCAGGUCGGCGACGCAGACGUCCUGGAGCAUGUCGGGGUCGCCGGCGAGGGAGGGAGCGGCGAGCGCGAGGAGGAUGGCGCAGGCCGCUAGGACGGAAAGCUGAAGCCUGGCCAUGGUGAAUUCGUCAAUGCUUGCUUGCUAUCAGCUUGGUGGUAUAGCUUGGGUCUGGAAAUAGCAGAGGUAGGAGGUGGUACUUGUAGGCAAGGUGGUUCGCGUGUGGAACUACGGAUAGUAUCGCCAUUAUUCAAGGAGGGGUGGCUGCGACGAGGCGACAUGGCCGGAUGGGAGGGGCAUCCAAUUCCAUUAAUUUGGAGCCAAUUCAAUGGGGCUAUACUACUACUACUUGUUUAUGCGCUCCUUGCAGGCUACCAUGUGCCUUCUACACAUGCAUUUCUGAUCAGAUCCACGCUUCAUCCAUUACUAACACUAGGCGUAGGUAAAAUUGAUAAAUUUGAUUCAAAAGCCAAAGAAUUCCAUAAACCGUACCUAAAUAUAAGUCUUUUAAGAUAUUUCACUAGGUAUCUACAUACGAAGCAAAAUGAAUGAAUCUAUACUCUAAAAUAUGUUUAUAUACAUACGUAUGUAGUUCACUAGUUGAACCUCUAUAAAGACUUAUAUUUAGGAAGGGAGGGAGUACGUUUGAAAAAAUUUCACCCAGCCGACCCUUUUGUGUGACGUCUUUAUCUUAAACGUCACACUACACUGUGUGACGUCCGACACUACGUUGUGUGACGUCUGAGACCUAGUGUGACGCCUAAGACAUAAACGUCACACUACACUGUAUGACGUCACACGGUGUAGUGUGGCACCUGACUGUCGGACGCCACAUAAAAGGAUCAGCUGAGUGAAAAAAUUUCAAACAUAGUUUAGUUUGUGAAAUCCUUUAGGUCCUAGGUUAAAUUUAUCAAUUUUGCCCUAGGCGUAUGAUGCGUAUCCUCUCGGAAACUACACCCCUGUUUCGUGGGUAUGGAUCGCCAGGAACAAUGCAGGAUAGCACAUGCGACGGGUGGCAUAUCGAGUAGUUGCACAUGCUAGUUCGUACCGUUGGAUCUCAUACUCCUUCCUGAUUGAUGGCGAGUUGAGUUUCUGCUUCUGGGCGGUUGACCAGUGGAUAUAUUACCCCUUCCUGAUUGAUGGCAAGCCAAGCUAUCUCGGCCAGUAACCAAUUCCACUUGCGUCAGAGAGGAGCCAUUCUGGUCAAGGUCGUCAAUAACUCCAUCCUGAUUUUGCUACAGGCAAGGAGGAGGAGGAGGAUAACUUUUCAUGACUACUUCCUCCGUUUGUAAAUACUGGUCGUAGACAUGGAUGUAUCUAUAUGUAUUUCAAUUUUAAAUACACUCAUUUGUAUUUAAUUUUCAUGGUAAGUAAUUCCGAACGAAGGGAGUAUUUUGCUGGCGAGGCUGAGCUGGAACAGCCCUCCUACAGGGUAGAUUUGAUGUAUAGAAGUACGAAUUGGCGCUGGAAAUCAGGGUGCCCAACACCAUGCCCCAUAUGAGACUUUUUGUUUCUUGUGGGAAUAUUUUUAUCCGGGCUAAACCGAGCACUCAGCCACUGUCCAUAUUCAAAUAUAGCGGACGAAGCAGCAAGGGCGAGGGGACACUUAUGCCAAAGAAUCAGAUGCGGUCCCUCGUGGUUAGUCGUCACAGAGUAAAUCCGUAGCUGUCCGGCCGUCUCUACCACCGACGGCUUGCGUAUUUUUUUUCUUCUAUGAAUAGAUAAUAGAGAAAGUACUACUACAAGGUAAGGUACAACACACUACAUGAUGUUUGCUUACCACCAAAAGGAUACUCCUAGAGGCCAAGUGUGAAACUCUAGAAGUUUUCAAUGUGGUGUAUGAUGAUUUUACCGUCGAAUUUGAAGUGAGGUCAAAAGUUGAUGGUUUUCGAUGGGUGCUUGUGGCAGUUUAUGGAGCAGCUCAACAGGAGCUCAAGAAACUGAAUUUCUUUCAGAUCUUGUGAGGAUCAGUGGAAACGAAGGGCUGCCAAUUUUAGUUAGAGGAGAUUUCAAUAUCAUUCGGAGAAGAGAAAAAUAAUGAUGAUUUUCAUGCUAGAUGGUCAUACAUGUUUAACAUGAUUAUUGAGAGUCUUGACUUACGGAAAAAUGAACUCACCGGUAGACAAUUUACAUGCGCGAAUUCACUACCCAUCACGACGUAUGAGAAGCAAGAUCGGUGAGUGUUGAGUGGGAACAGACGUUUCCUCUUGUGACGGUCCAGGCUCUGCAGAGAGCAGUUUCGGAUCACACUUCACUCCUCGUCGACUCAGGGUAGGCGACACAUGUGGGCAAUAAAAGUGUCUUCUCUAUUGAAUUAGGAUGGUUCGAGAGAGAGGUAUUUUUGGACCUAAUAGCUAAUGAAUGGGCUAAAGAGACUGGAGGGACAUCUAGCAUGGAUAGAUGGCAAAAUAAAGUCAGGCAUUUACGCUAGUCCUUGAGGGGCUCGGCCAAAAAUCAAAGUGGGAUUUACAGAGUAUAAAAAGAAAGACUUAUUCAUCUUAUCAAAGAGUUAGAUCUGAAAGCUGAAGCAUCAGUUCUUAAUAGCUAUGAUCGGAGUAUUAAGUACGAGGCUGGGGAGAAGCUUCGUGCUUUAUUCAGAGAGGAAGAGAUUAAAUGGACACUGAGAGCUAAGGUGUCUACGGCCAUCCAAGGGUAUGACAACACACAAUUCUUCCACAUGAUCGCUAAAGGAAAGCGAAGAAAGAAGAAAAUAAUUCAACUCAAACAAGAUGAUGGUACAAUUGUAGAGCAUGAAAACCUGAAAUUGUAUAUCUCUGAAUAUUAUAAAAAACUGUUCAGAGCUCCCGAAGCUAACUCUAUAUCCCUAGAUGAAAGUGUAACAGAGGACAUUCCUCAACUCAAUAUAAAGAGAAUGGGAUGCUUUCGUCUCUGUUUACCGAGAAAGAGGUGUUUGACGCAAUCAUCCAACUGAAAACAGAACAAGGCUCCAGGACCGGAUGGGUUUCCAGCGGAGUUUUAUAAGAUGUGUUGGCAUGUCAUCAAACAUGAUGUUAUGCCCAUGUUCCAUUAUUUAUUCAAUGGGCAAUUAAAAUUAUUCCACCUAAACUUUGGGGCAAUUACAUUGUUACCAAAGGAGGGGGUUGUAUGCAUUAAGCAGUUCAGGCCGACUUGUUUGCUUAAUGUGUGUUUCAAUUGUUUUUACCAAGGUGGUAACAAAUAUGUUGACGCAGAUAGCCCAUUCGGUUGUACAACAGUCUCAUACAAGUUUCAUGCUAGAUAGGCACAUCCUAGAAGGGGUUGUGGUACUACAUGAAAAACUUCAUCAAAUUCACACCAAGAAACUCGAUGGAGUCAUCUUUAAGGUGGAUUUUGAGAAAGCCUAUGACAAAGUCAAAUGGCCUUUUCUCCAACAAGCUUACGUAUGAAGGGAUUCAAUGAAGCAUGUAGGAAACAGGUUGAUUCAUUUGUUCAGAAAGGUAGUGUUGGGAUAAAGAUGAAUGAUGACAUGGGUCAUUACUUUCAAACUCAUAAAGGUUUAACCCAGGGAGAUUCGAUGUCCCCCAUCUUAUUCAACAUAGUGGCUGAUAUAUUAACAUUUCUCAUAGGACGAGCUAAAGAGAACGAUAUAAUAGGAGGACUAGUACCACAUAUUGUGGAUGGAGUGGUUUCCAUCUUACAAUAUGCGGACGGUACGAUUAUUUUCAUGGAGCAUGACUUCGCAAAAGCUAGAAACAUGAAGUUGGUUCACUGUCAGUUUGAACAAUUAUCGGGACUCAGGAUAAGUUUUCAAAAGAGCGAAUUGUUCUGUUUUGGCCGAGCCAAGGAAGAACAAGAUGCUUACAGAAAACUAUUCGAUUGUGAGAUGGACUCCAUGCCGUUUAGUUAUUCGGGUAUACCUAUUCAUCACCGUAAGCUUACCAACAAGGAAUGAAAGUGCAUAGAAGACCGGUUUGAAAAACGACUAAGCUGCUGGAAAGGAAAGCUUAUGUCUUAUGAAGGUCGGCUAGUGUUAAUAAAUUAUGCGUUGACAAGUUUGUCGAUGUUUCUAUUACCAUUCUUCGAAGUACUAGUAGGGGUAGCGAAAAGACUUGACUUCUAUAGAUCUAGAUUAUUUUUGGCAAAAUGAUGAAAGUAAGACGAAAUAUAGACUGGCUAAAUGACACAUGAUGUGUAGACGCAAAGAUCAGGGUGGAUUAGGAAUUGAAAAUUUACAAACUAAAAAUAGAUGUCUUUUCAGCAAAUGGGUGUACAGACUCUCUGUGGAGGCAAAAGGUACGUGAAUACAAAUUUUGCGUAAUAAGUACCUACAAACAAAGUCCCUGGCUCAAGUUACAGUGAAACAUUCGGACUCACAAUUCUGGAAAGGCUUAAUGAGGACAAAAGAAGCUUUUUUCAUAGAGUCAAGUUUCACAUUGAGAAUGGUAACAAAAGCAGGUUUUGGAAAGAUGCGUGGUUAGGGGAGAUGCCCCUGGCUACACAAUAUCCAUUUUUAUAUAACAUCGUGGAACGCAAAGAGGCCUAUGUGGCUACAAUUUUGCAGACUGUCCGUAUGAAUAUUCAAUAUAGGAGAUCUCUGGUAGGGGAACGAUAGAGUGCGUGGCUCCACUUGGUACAUAGAUUGAUGGAAGUUCAACUUCCGGACCAACCAGACACAAUUCAUUGGAAAUUAACUACAAGCAGUAGUUCCUUCGACAAAUCAAUGUAUCUAGACCUUAUUAAUAACGGGCCAAUACCUACUUCUCCAUACAUUUGUAAAAUAAAAAUACCGCUUAAGAUUAAGAUCUUUAUGUGGUUUGUUCACAGAGGAGUGAUACUUACAAAAGAUAAUUUGAUUAAGCGAAGAUGGGUGGGUAAUUCUAGAUGUUGUUUUUGUGAUCUGUCGUGGGUAUAAGUCUGACAGUAGAUGUGUAGGGUACGAAAGGAUGGGCAGAGCCUUAGCUACGGCGAGGUUGUAUGAGUUCAGGCCCCUCUACGGUGGAGGUAAUAGCCCUACGUCUCAGUGCUCUGGGAGCNNNNNNNNNNNNNNNNNNNNNNNNNNNNNNNNNNNNNNNNNNNNNNNNNNNNNNNNNNNNNNNNNNNNNNNNNNNNNNNNNNNNNNNNNNNNNNNNNNNNNNNNNNNNNNNNNNNNNNNNNNNNNNNNNNNNNNNNNNNNNNNNNNNNNNNNNNNNNNNNNNNNNNNNNNNNNNNNNNNNNNNNNNNNNNNNNNNNNNNNNNNNNNNNNNNNNNNNNNNNNNNNNNNNNCCCUCCACAACGGUUCGGUGCACAGGGGUGGAGUAGUGGCGAAUAAAUGCCUACGUUACAGGUAACGUAUGUCUUGAAUGCUAAUAAAGGCACAUGGAAACGUACAACCAUUUCCCUCUAGGGGGGUUACGAUGCACAGAGUGGAAUCCAGUCGGUUAAUUUGUUACACUCCGAAUGCUCAUCUCCGACUGGAUGGUGGAGGAUUUGUUACCGACUGGAUGAUGGGAAGUCCAUAAGACAGUCGGAACUGACUAAGGGUCUUAUCCCUUAUGAAGGGUAGUCCUUGGGUAGGACUUAUAGGGCAGGCCUAUGACCCUAUCCUAGGACUAUAACCCCAUCAUUAGUCCCCGAAUGGAUUGGGGUUGGAACGACGAAGCGAUGUUUGAAGUAUGGAUCCGACUGGUACGGAUGCGACUUUGGCGCUGCUUGCCUUGAUCCAUUUUGUCUUCUUUGUCCAACGAUCCGAGUCGAAGUAUUUGUGAAGCGAACUGUCGGGAACCGAGUGCUUCCGUGGUAUCUUCUGACGUGACCAGUCAACUCACAGCGGCGGAUUUUCCGGGAUCCUCAAAUUUCGGUUGCCGCGCGCUCAGUGGGGAUGACGACAUCGCGCUCGAGUAGUACCUGACGCCUCGAUUUCGCCGCGACCGGUCGGGGGAUAAGAUUUCGGGGCCACUUGCGAGUGACCCAGUCGGAACCUUAUUUAAACCUCAGCGGCGAGGGUUUUUUCGUUACACUCGCCGGAUAACUUGCCUUUGCCUGCCCCACUUCUCUCGCCACCUCCUGCGCAUCCCAAGCUCCUUCCUUCUUCUUCUCCCUCGCGGAUCAGCAGCCUUCGCCAUGACAAAGGGGCAGACUAGCAAGCUAGAGGUGAAGAAGAAGAAGGGGAAGACGGCAGCUCCUACCCAGCGGCGGCAGCGCACGCUACCGGCGGGGUGGAUCCAGGGGGAUUUCCUCCCCUCCACGGUGACGGAGGAGAACCUGUUGGAGUUGGUGGAGCAUGGGAUGAUUGCGCACAAGUCGUGGAGGUUGCCGGUGGAAGGCGAGACCGAGUCGGCGCCCCGGGAGGGGGAGCGCGUCUUGCUGCUGAGCCAUGUGUACAGAGGUUUCUCUCUGCCUCCUCACCCCUUCUUCAAAGGUAUCAUGAACCACUUCGGGGCGCAGCUCCACCAUUUUCCUCCCAAUGCCAUAGCUCAUCUCUCUGCCUUCGUUGUGCUGUGCGAGUGUUUCAUCGGCUGUCCUCCCCAUUGGGGGGCUUUUCAAACAUAUCUUCUCUGCUAGAUCCCAGACCAUCAAACGGCUUAGCCAGUCGGAUGACAAAACCCACCUUCUCCAGCUCUGCGGAGGCUUAGGCUUCCAAAAGAAAAGUAAAAGUAGCUAUCCUGCUCUGUAGUUGAGUGAACCUAUUAGGAACUGGCAGUCGACAUGGUUCUACUGCCAGGACGUUGCUUGCCCGAAUGCUACCACCGGACUCCCCCCUUUUAGCUUAGACCGACCGGCUCCUCCUAGGCAGCUCGCGCUCACGAAGGCGGAGAAAACCCAGAUCCAGCCUCUGUUCGAUGCGCUUGUAGAGGUCGUCCGAAGGGGAGUCACUGGCAUAGAUUUAAUGGAGGUUUUCCUGGGUCGGCGUAUCCAGCCUCUGCAAGCUUGAGACCACGCCAUGUGGCAUUACACAGGGCCUGAGGACUCCACUCGGACUAACGUCGAGUGCGUGACCGGGGAGAUGGUGGCGUCGUGGGUCCUCAACAUCACCGGCGCCUGCGAAAACCCUAGAGGAGCUCGGCGAGUGAAGGCCUUCCGGGCGGGCAACCCUCCUCCAAACGCAGUGAGUACAACUUGUCGAGCGUACACAACUGUCUUAGAUUUAUUGCUUCCUUGAAUCACUGUCUGACGUCUAAUGUCGUCGACUGUAUCUUGUGCAGGAGUGGACUAACUGGUUUUCUCCCGUCUCGAAUGGGAAUCCGGCCGAGGAGGAGGAAGGCAGCCAGGAGGGCAGCGUGGAGAGCGGCGAGUACGUCUCCGACAGUGGGGAGACGGAAGAGGAGUCCGCAGAAGAAGAAGAGGCAGAUGAGGAGCAGAACUCACCACCUCCACCGCCAGAGCCUCGGACUAAGCGUCGUCAUGAACCUGUGGUUCCUCCAGCUCCUCCAGCAUCCUCAAGUGUGCCGCCAGCUCCGCCAGCUGCUCCUGUGGUACCGAGUGCUUCGCCAGCUGUUCCCGUGGCUCCGAACGUUCGGAGCACAAAGAGGACCAGGGACUCUGCUGCUGAACCUGUGGGUCAGCCCUCUAAGGUAGCUAAACCGAGUGGAUCUAAGCCUCGGAAGGCUCUGCCGCGGAUGAGGGUCACAGUUCCCGUCACCUCAACGUAAGUGCAUGGUUCUUCUAUCUUCUUCCGGUAUUUGAUUGAACUCCUGCUUAUUGGUCGAAUGAAUUUCACUCGACAGAGUUGCCACCUCUGCCACCUCUCCGGCACGCCAGGGGGACGAUCCCAUGGACAUGGACAACAUUGUCACAUCCCAGCCAGGUGCGUCAUAGCGAUUCCGAGAGUUUACAUUAUUGCAUCACGAAUUCUGUCUUUGGUCUUGCCUUUUUCCCUGUGAUCUCACGUCGUUCGGUCGGGUUUCCCUCAGGGGUGAUUUAUGUGGAGGAGGGCGACCAGGGGAGGUCUGAGCAAGCUGCGGUGCCUGUCCUUGAGGCUAUUCCGCCGGUUGCUACUCUCGCCAUGGACGCGCCGCCGACUGAGGCGAUGCUGUCGACUGAAACGACGUUGGUUGCUGCUGAACCGACUAGAGCAGGUCUUGGGAUGCCCAAGGAGCCUCCUACGAUGCCGGGCCCGUCGACUGUCGAGUACAACGUCCAGCGCCUCCUAGAAGAUCAGGUGGGAGCUGCCAAGGGGGCCGUGGUGCAGGCGGAGCUGAUGGCUGGAGAGGCCAAGAAGGCGUACGACUCCAUCGCGUCCUUGUACAAGCGAAGCUUGGAACUGCGGGACGAUAUCCGAGUAAGUGGGCUAGUAAGUAUUUACUUUCCUCUUGUAACCCACUGGGUGUGCUUGGAUAGCGUAUGAUUUUUUGCAAUGGGUUCACUCGUAGUGAACCCAGUGGGUGUAGUCCCCGAGACUUCUGUCGGGUGCUUGCACCGGCAGUUGUCUUUAUGCAUGUUCUUUAACUUGAUCAGAUCAAAAAUUAAUCUGUUCGAAUGUUAACAGUUGGGGCACUCGGAGUGCACCUACUGGAUGAGUCCCCGAGAGUAAUUUUACUCAGGUCGGGUAGUAGUAGCCUCAUAGGCUUAUUUGUUGUCAUGUAGCUCAAUAGGGCGGACAUGUUUGAGUUUCAUGCCAGUGGGGUCACUCUUAGUGAACCCACUGGGUGUAGUCCCCGAGACCACUGUCGACUGCUUGCGUCGACAGGGGUCUGAAGAACUUAGAAUUUUUAUUGUUGUCCUUGUUGAAUUUGUCUGACCGUCUCUUGGCGCUGACUUGCAGAAAACUUGCGAGAUGGGGACAGCGUAUGAGACUCUGAGGCUGAAAAGGUUCAGUUUGCUGGUGAACUGGAUGCAGCAAUGGUUGCAAUGGCUGGUAUGAAGGAUGUUCUGGUGGAACGAGAAAAGUCCUUGGAGCAGGCCCGUGAGGCAAACAAGGCAUUGACUGCUGAAGUGGAGAAAAUGGGGAAACAAAGGACGGAACUGAUGGGGCAGAUGAAAAUGUUGAACAGGCGGUGCAUAGCACAGGAAAAUUACGUCAGUGACUGGGCCCGGAAGAUGAUAGCGCUUCUCGGUGGUAAGUUCUAUUUUUCCGAGUGCUUGUGGACUGUGCAUUUCAUUCUGCGCUGACUGUUUGCUCGUCCUGUCUUUGCAGAUUUUUGCAUGGACGCGGAGGUUGAAGCGGCUGACGUUGAGCGGUCGAUUCUUGAGAACAUUCCACUCGGCGAGGACGCCAAUCGAGAUCUGCUCCGAGCGCACAUUCGCCUGGGCAAAGUUGGACCUUUCAUCGGUCGACUGAGAGAAGUCGUCGGCCGAAUUGACAAGGAGCUUUGGCCUGAAGACGAGUCUCGGCACGAGAUGGAAGGCUUGAUGACUCGGCUGGAGGAGGUCCCGAACCGAGUGCAGGCGUGGAAAAAGUCUGCGGCUCGCUGUGGUGCGGACGUCGCUCUGUCUUUGGUCCGAGUGCAUUGCAAGGAGGCGCGCAAAGAGAAGCUGAAGGCGUUGUAGGUCGCCAACACGAAAAAGCUUCGAUUCGAAGACUUCAUGGAGACCUUCCUUGAGAGCGCCACCCGCAUCACCGACGGGAUCGACCUCGACACGUUCGUAGAGCCUGCCAGUCCUGACGACGUUUGAGAAAACUUUUACCUCGGUAUGCCGAGUGUUGGUUGUAAGAAACUUUGGCCACUGUUGUUGGCCGCCACAUUCUUGGUUCGGUGUGGAUAAGCUUGAUCUACACCGAGCCAACUAUCCUUAGGUGAACAUUGAAUUUGAAUCGAAUCUUUUUCUCUUCUUUUGCCAAAGAGUUGUUGAUACGAUUUUGGCUCGUGGUGUUUGUUUGGCGUUUCUUGGUGAAGCCAAUGGCAAACAUGCGGAGCAUGUAAUUGUCAGUUGUCUUGACAUCUGCAUGAGCCUCACUGAGGGUCUGCUGAGUGUCCGAGUGGAUCUGUAGGAUACACUCAAAGGCAAUAGAGUACUUAGGCGAUUCGGGAUCGCGGCUAAGUCUUCGAGUGCGACUGUGAGGUCGUACUCGGAGCGAGUUGUUACUCAUGUAAUUGUCAGUGGUCUUGACAUCUACAUGAGCCUCAAUGAGGUUCUGCUACUCAUGUAAUUGUCAGUUGUCUUGACAUCUGCAUGAGCCUCACUGAGGGUCUGCUACUCAUGUAAUUGUCAGUGGUCUUGAGAUCUACAUGAGCCUCAAUGAGGGUCUGCUACUCAUGUAAUUGUCAGUUGUCUUAACAUCUGCAUGAGCCUCAAUGAGGGUCUGCUACUCAUGUAAUUGUCAGUUGUCUUCACAUCUGCAUGAUCCUCAAUGAGGGUCUGCUAAGCCUCCGAGUGGAUCUGUGAGAUACACUCAAAGGAAGCUUUCUUUUUAAGCGAUUCUUAAUCGCAGUUAAGUCCUCGAGUGUGACGGUUAGUGCACGCGUGGAGAAAAUUUGUACUUAGGCGAUUCUUGAUCGCAACUAAGUCUCCGAGUGCGACGUGAAGUGCACACUCGGAGAAAGUUAAUACUUAGGCGAUUCUNNNNNNNNNNNNNNNNNNNNNNNNNNNNNNNNNNNNNNNNNNNNNNNNNNNNNNNNNNNNNNNNNNNNNNNNNNNNNNNNNNNNNNNNNNNNNNNNNNNNNNNNNNNNNNNNNNNNNNNNNNNNNNNNNNNNNNNNNNNNNNNNNNNNNNNNNNNNNNNNNNNNNNNNNNNAAGUGCACACUCGGAGAUAGUUUGUACUUAGGCGAUUCUUGAUCGCAGCUAAGUCCCCGAGUGCGACGUGAAGUGCACACUCGGAGAUAUUUAGUACUUAGCCGAUUCUUGAUCGCAGCUAAGUCCCCGAGUGCGACAUUUAGUGCACACUCGGAGAAAGUCAAUACUUAGGCGAUUCUNNNNNNNNNNNNNNNNNNNNNNNNNNNNNNNNNNNNNNNNNNNNNNNNNNNNNNNNNNNNNNNNNNNNNNNNNNNNNNNNNNNNNNNNNNNNNNNNNNNNNNNNNNNNNNNNNNNNNNNNNNNNNNNNNNNNNNNNNNNNNNNNNNNNNNNNNNNNNNNNNNNNNNNNNNNNNNNNNNNNNNNAGUGCACACUCGGAGAAAGGUAGUACUUAGGCGAUUCUUGAUCGCAGCUAAGUUUUUUUUUUGAGACCGGAGUCUGCGACCGCGGAAGAAUUUUGAAUCUGCAAAAACUCGAUCUGCUUUGUAUUAUUUCACCAAUACUUGUUCUUUACAUUGCUUCAGUCGACGGUCACGUGUAGAAGCGCUUCAGGAGAUCUCCGUUCCAUGCUUGCGGCUCGUCUGUUUCCCUGUCGAUGUUGUAGAGUCUGUAUGCUCCGUUGUUCAGCACCUUGGAGAUGAUGAAGGGUCCUUCCCAGGCGGGAGCCAACUUGUGAGGUCUUUGCUGAUCCACCCGGAGCACCAGGUCGCCUGCUUGGAAUGUACGACUCCUGACGUGUCGCGCGUGAAAGCGCCGCAGAUCUUGCUGAUAAAUGGUUGAGCGAGUGAGUGCCAUCUCGCGCUCCUCCUCUAGAAGGUCCACUCUGUCUUGCCUUGCUUGUUCUGCUUCAGCUUCGGAGAAGAGUUCGACUCGUGGAGCAUUGUGAAGCAAGUCACUCGGAAGGACCGCUUCUGCUCCGUAAACGAGGAAGAACGGGGAUCGCCCCAUAGAUCUAUUCGGGGUUGUGCGGAGACCCCAAAGCACUGAAGGUAGCUCGGCGACCCAUGCGCCAGCGGCAUGUCCCACCUCUCGCAGGAGCCGGGGCUUCAAACCUUGUAGAAUAAGUCCAUUCGCCCGCUCUGCUUGUCCGUUUGUUUGAGGAUGCGGCACAGAUGCAAAAUCCACUAGGAUACCUUGGCUUGCACAGAAACCUUUGAAUCUGUCCGAGUCAAAGUUUGUCCCGUUGUCCGUGAUUAUGCUGUGAGGUACUCCGAAUCUGGAGAUGAUGUCCCUGACAAACUUGAUGGCUGUUAGGGCGUCGAGCUUCUUGAUGGGCUUGCCUUCAAUCCAUUUUGUGAACUUGUCGACUACCACCAACAGAUGUGUGUAUCCCCCUUGGCCUGUCCUGAAUGGACCGACUGUAUCUAAUCCCCAUACUGCAAACGGCUAAACAGGAGGGAUUGUCUUCAACGCAGAUGUUGGCUUGUGGGACUUGUUGGAAUAGAAAUGAUAGCCUUCACAUCGGUCGACCAUAUCUUUAGCCAUUUCGUUCGCCUGCAGCCAGAAGAAGCCAGCUCUGAGUGCUUUGGCGACGAUUGCUCUUGAAGAGGCGUGAUGACCGCAGGUUCCCGAGUGAAUUUCUUCCAGGAUUAAUUGUCCUUCCUCAGGGAAGAUGCAUCGUUGAAGAACGCCUGAAACGCUUUCCCUGUACAACUGGCCAUCAAUGACAGUGAACGACUUUGACCUGCGGACGAUCUGCCUGGAUUGGACUUCGUCUUCUGGUAAUUCCUGCCUCCGGAUGUAUGCAAUGAUCGGCAUAGUCCAAUCGGGGAUAACAGCAAGAACCUCCAUGAUCAAAUCAACCACAGCUGGUACGUCGACUUCAGUCGGAUCUGUCAAGCUCUUUGGUUGUACUGGUUCCUCUGUGAAAGGAUCUUCUUUAACUGCGGGGAGGUGGAGGUGCUCGAGGCAGACGUCACUCGGGACUGGUCUCUGAGUGGACCCGAGUUUUGCCAACUCAUCAGCCGCUUGGUUCUUCAGUCGCGGAACAUGGUGGAGUUCUAGACCUUCAAACUUCUUCUCGAGCUUCCUCAAUGCAUUGCAGUAUGUGGUCAUGGUGGGGUUCCUGACGUCCCACUCUUUCAUCACUUGAUUAACCACCAAAUCCGAAUCGCCAUAGACCAUCAGGCGACGGAUGCCGAGUGCGAUGGCCAUGCGCAGUCCAUAAAGGAGAGCUUCAUACUCUGCCUCAUUGUUGGAGGAAUCAAAGUGUAUCUGCAGCACAUACUUGAGUUUGUCGCCCUUAGGUGAUAUGAUCACAACGCCAGCGCCGGAGCCGUUCAACAUCUUGGACCCAUCGAAGAACAUUGUCCAAUGAGCCGAGUAGAUGUGGGUCGGUUGCUGUUGUUCUACCCAUUCUGCUAUGAAGUCCGCCAGAGCUUGAGACUUUAUAGCUUUCUUGGCCUCGAACUUGAUGUCGCAGUACAACAUCUCCAUUUCCCACUUCGCCACUCGGCCUGAUGCGUCCCGAUUGUGGAGGAUUUCCAACAACGGAGCAUCAGAAACGACGGACACCGAGUGGUCUUGGAAAUAGUGAGCCACCUUCUUCGCAGUCAUGUAAAUCCCGUAGAAAAGUUUUUGAUAGUGGGGAUACCUCUGCUUGGAAGGAGUCAGGACUUCGGAGACGUAAUACACUGGCCGCUGAACUUUGUAUGCUUUUCCUUCUUCUUCUCGUUCGACUGUGAGAACAGUGCUGACGACUUGAUUUGUAGCCGCGAUGUACAAAAGAAGGGGCUCUUUACUGAGCGGAUCAGUAAGAACCGGCUGGGUGGAAAGUAGGACUUUGAGGUCGUCGAGUGCAACUUGGGCUUCAUCUGUCCACUCGAAAGUAUCUGAUUUCUUCAUGAGUCGGUACAGAGGAAGUGCUUUCUCGCCGAGUCGACUGAUAAACCUGCUCAAAGCCGCUAGGCAACCUGUGAGCCGUUGAACAUCGUGUAUUCUGACCGGCCGCUCCAUUCGGACGAUUGUCCCGAUCUUUUCGGGGUUGACAUCGAUCCCUCGUUCAGAAACGAAGAAACCGAGUAACUUUCCGCUAGGAACGUCGAAUGAACACUUGGCGGGGUUGAGCUUGAUAUCGUACCUACGAAGGUUGGCGAAUGUUUCUGCCAAGUCAGUCAGCAGGUCGGAACCUUUGCGUGACUUGACUACGAUAUCAUCCAUAUACGCCUCCACAUUCCGACCGAUCUGGUCGAGGAGGCAUUUUUGGAUCAUGCGCAUAAAGGUUGCUCCUGCAUUCUUCAAACCAAAUGGCAUAGUGAUGUAGCAGAAGCACCCGAAUGGGGUGAUGAAGGCGGUUUUUAAUUCAUCGGGGCCAUACAGACGGAUCUGAUGAUAGCCCGAGUAGGCAUCAAGAAAUGACAAAGCUCACAACCCGCAGUCGAAUCGACAAUUUGAUUGAUGCGGGGGAGCGGAAAAUGGUCUUUCGGGCAGACCUUAUUGAGAUGCUUGAAGUCGAUGCACAUUCGGAGCGACUUGUCCUUCUUGGGCACCAUGACAACAUUGGCGAGCCACUCGGAGUGGUGUACCUCGCGAAUGAAGUUGGCUACCAAAAGCUUGGCCACUUCUUCUCCGAUUGCCUUCCUCUUGUGCGCGGCGGACCGUCGCAGGCGUUCUCGAACAGGUCGAGCGGUGGGAUCCACAUGCAGUCGGUGCUCAGCCAACUCCCUGGGUACACCUGGCAUGUCAGAAGGCUUCCAUGCGAAGAUGUCCCAGUUCUCACGGAGGAAUUGGAUGAGCUCGGCUUCCUAUUUAGGAUCGAGGGUGAUGGAGAUGUUCGUCGGGGCAGCGGUGUCGUCUGUCGGGUGGAUGCUGACCUUCUUCGUCUCUUCCGCCGACUGGAAUGCGGACUCCGAAGCUGGCUUCUUCGAACGCAUCAAGUCAGCGGGGUCGACCGUUUUCUUGUACUCGUCAAGCUCGAGGAUAGCCAUCUGUUGAUCGGCGAUUCUUGAUCCCUGCUUCAGACACUCCUCGGCCCGCUGUCGAUUGCCUGUGAUAGUGAUCACACCUUUCAGGCCUGGCAUCUUUAGAUUCAGGUACACGUAACAUGGGUGGGCCAUGAAACGCGCAUACGCCGGGCGGCCCAGAAUUGCGUGGUAAGCGCUCUGGAAGUCCACCACCUCGAACGUCAGCUUUUCCUUGCGGAAGUUCUUGUCGGAGCCGAAAAUGACGUCCAACGCGAUCUGGCCGAGUGACUUGGCCUUUCGUCCAGGGACGACUCCGUGGAACUGCAUGCUGCUCUCGCUGAGUUUGGACAUCGGAAUGCCCAUCCCCUUGAGAGUGUCAGCGUACAUGAUGUUCAAACCACUGCCGCCGUCCAUGAGGACUUUGCGCAGUCGAACUCCUUCCACCACCGGGUCGACGACCAGAGCUUGCCUCCCUGGGAUGGGCACGUGUGUUGGAUGAUCUGACUGGUCAAAGGUGAUCGCAGUCUGAGACCAUUUGAGGAACUUGGGGUUGGUCGGCGUGGCCAUGUUCACCUCCCUGUUCACCAGCUUCAGUCGGCUCUUGCUCUCAACGUCAGCAAAAAUCAUCAGUGUUGCAUGGACUUGGGGGAACGGAUCCUCCUUAUCCUCCUCAUCCUGUUCAUUGCCUUUUUCACUCAGUUGCCCUUUGCCGAACCCCUGAAGCAGGAGGCGACAUUGCCGAGUGGUAUGCUUCGGAUAUAUGGCGUUGCCCUCUUCAUCCAUCUUCGUGUGGAUCGGACAUGGCUGGUCCAGGAUGGGGUUGUUGAACUGCUUCUUCUUGGGGGUGAACUGAGCCUUCCCUUUGCCCUUGAACUUGGCAUUGGUAAGAACUGCGACUUCUGCCUGCGGAGUGGGCGGAGCUUUCUGCUUCUGCUUCCGAGUGUUAUUCCCAUCUCCAUCGGCGACUGUUUUGUGCUUGCCGCUACAGAUGCGGUCCUCUUCUUCGCCAUUUGCAUAGCAUGCUGCUAUCUCCAUCAUCUUGCUCAUGGAGAUGUCGCCUGUUCGACCGAACUUCAGGUACAGAUCCUGGUACCGCACACCUGCCUUGAAGGCGCAGACUGCUUGGUGUUCUGUGACGUUCUCCACCGUAUGGUAGAGGGUCGUCCAACGCUGAAUGAAAUCGCGCAGGGGCUCAUUCUGCUUCUGGACACAGUGCUGGAGCUCCACGAGGCCAGCAGGGCGCUUACACGUCCCUUCGAAGGUCCUGACGAACACUCGGGCCAGAUCUCCCCAGCUGUAGAUGCUUGAGGGGGCCAAUUGGGUCAGCCACGCUCGCGCCGAGCCGUCGAGCAUCAGAGGGAGGUGCUUCAUGGCGACGUGGUCGUCCCCUCCUCCGAUCUGGACUGCCACUCGGUAGUCAUCCAGCCACGUUUCUGGCUUAGACUCUCCUGUGAACUUGCUGAUCCCCGUCGCCAAUCGGAAUUUGGGAGGGAUGUCAGCCGAACGGAUGGUCCUGCUUCCACUCGGACGGUCAAUAUCGUGACCAUCGCGGUGGGCUCGGCCCCUGUCGACCCUUCACUGGGCGAUAUGCCCUCUCGCGUCGGGCCUUGGAUCGUAAGUGUCGCCGACUGAACGCCGAUCAUCAUGAUGUCGGGGCCCGUAGGGCCCACCCCGCGGAGGGGUGCGUGAACGGCAACGAUCUUCGGGGUUCAUGGAACGGCUGCCUCCCCUGGGUCGCUGAUGAGAACCAGGGCUGUGAACUGACCGAUGCGUGUUCGCAUGGACAGAACUAUUGUGGAUCAUGUUGUGCGACUCGGAGACCGCCGAGUUUUGCUGCUGCGCCGUGUGCAACAGGGCGCGGAUUUGCUCGAUCCCCCUGCCAGCCUCUGAAUCAGUCGGCUGAAGGGAAUCGACUAUCUUGGCAGCGGCAGCCAAGUUGAGGAUGGGUGUGCGGAACAACUCCACGUUGCUCCGCCGAGUGUGCCGGCUGGCAGAACGGCGAGGUGGACGGUGAGCGCCGGAUGUUUCGCCGAUCUCGUGCUCGUUCCGGCUAGUUUGGCGGGGACUUUCGUGGGAGUUGGCCAUGUGUACUUCUGCUGCAGGCCCGCGACCCAAGUACUCGGAAGGAAACUCAGUCGGAACCGAGUCCCAGCGCUGGGACGGCGGGGCAACCACAACUGACUCUAGGACCGCCACUUGUGAAGAUGCGUUCUGGCGCGCCGGUGCGUGUUGCACCCAACGCUGGAGCCGCGGAUGGCGGGACCGCUUGUUGCGGCGCGUGACGGUGGUGUAGGUCGACACCGGAGCCGACUGCUGGAGAAGAAGAAUGCCGCGGGCGCCGGCACGGAAAUGCGAAGCUCCGCGACGGGGAAGCGGCUCGACGUCGAGAGGGGCGUCCCGAAGCCAUGCUGAAUCAUCGACGAUGAAGGAGAGAGCACCGAAGAGGAUCUCGUGACCCAUGCUCGAAUCUCCACCGAAUGACAUGACGAAAAGAUGUAGUCGCAAACUCGCCGGAAGUCGCUUAGACGCCUGCCCCACGGUGGGUGCCAACUGUCGUGGGUAUAAGUCUGACAGUAGAUGUGUAGGGUACGAAAGGAUGGGCAGAGCCUUAGCUACGGUGAGGUUGUAUGAGUUCAUGCCCCUCUACGGUGGAGGUAAUAGCCCUACGCCUCAGUGCUCUGGGAGCNNNNNNNNNNNNNNNNNNNNNNNNNNNNNNNNNNNNNNNNNNNNNNNNNNNNNNNNNNNNNNNNNNNNNNNNNNNNNNNNNNNNNNNNNNNNNNNNNNNNNNNNNNNNNNNNNNNNNNNNNNNNNNNNNNNNNNNNNNNNNNNNNNNNNNNNNNNNNNNNNNNNNNNNNNNNNNNNNNNNNNNNNNNNNNNNNNNNNNNNNNNNNNNNNNNNNNNNNNNNNNAGUGCGCUACCCUCCACGACGGUUCGGUGCACAGGGGUGGAGUAGUGGCGAAUAAAUGCCUACGUUACAGGUAAUGUAUGUAUUAAAUGCUAAUAAAGGCACAUGGAAACGUACGACCGUUUCCCUCCAGGGGGUAUGAUGCACAGAGUGGAAUCCAGUCGGUUAGUUUGUUACACUCCGAAUGCUCAUCUCCGACUGGAUGGUGGAGGAUUUGUUACCGACUGGAUGAUGGGAAGUCCAUAAGACGGUCGGAACUGACUAAGGGUCUUAUCCCUUAUGAAGGGUAGUCCUUGGAUAGGACUUAUAGGGCAGGCCUAUGACCCUACCCUAGGACUAUAACCCCAUCAUGAUCACAAUGAGACUAUUAAACACUUUUUUCUCCAGUUUCCAUUGGCUAGACUUCUACGCUUACUAUUCAUGUAGCCUUCAAUAUAAACCCUCCAAUAAGUAUGAACACAUUAUUUGGGACGUGGCUUAAUGGAGUGGACGUUAAUUUAUCUAGAUAAAUUCAAAUAGAAAUUUGUGCAAUGCUUUGGGCUAUAUGAAACUGCAGGAGUGACAUGAUAUUUAAGAGGAAGAACGUCGCCAAUUUCUUGCAGGUUAUCUACAGAGCUACCGCAUGGAUCCGUACAUGGUCGUUACUCACACAUGUGGAGUCCAGGGAGCUUUUGGUUACUAGGUGCAACUAGUGGGAGACGACAACAUGGAUUAUCUUCAACCGAUAUGGAUGACGGCAAACUAAUAGGGUAGGUGUUUAGCCAUCGUAGCCUGCUUUUAUCAUGCCACAUUGGCAUGUAUUUUCCUUUUAUUUUCAGCUCUUUGAGCUCCACUUUGGAUACUAUAGUUUCGGUGAACUUUUUUGGCUUAAUAAAAUGGCAGCAUGUAUCAUCAUGAUGCAGAGGCCCGGGAGCAUCCCCUUUAUUUAAAAAAAAACUACAUGAUACAAGAAGACAUGAACAUAGUACUCGGAGCAGACAGAAAAGGAAUACUCAGCCCAAACAAUUGACACGCAUGUGAGCGCGCGCACACACACUGCUAAACCCGUCUAGCCUCCCCUUCACCUAUACAGGGUAAGGAGAUGCGGGUUCACGAGACCCAGACCGCAUCAAGACUAACACGAGGCACCACAACCGAGCGGCCACGACUCAAUGCUCAAUUACAUAAACGUACAUCCGUCUAAACCGCCAAGAGAUCGGCGAGUAAGUAACAGGACCUGGCCAGGCCGGAGGCGGAAGCCCACGUAAACAUCGCCGAGGACAUGCAUAGGGCCCAAAAUGUCCAUGCCUUGAUAGGCGGCCCACCUUUACAUUUUCUCCAAAAUAAAUGCCCAAAUUUUGAAAUUACAUGAACAUUUAAUAAAGCAUUGGAAAUUUUAGAAGUUAUUCAAACCUUUUUGAAAAAAUACAAUAUAAUUUUUUGAAAGAUGAAAACACCUUUUGAAAUUAUAUGAACUUUUCAAAAAUUUGUGACAACUUUUCAAAUCACACAUAAUUUUUAAAUACGUAACUUAUUUUCUUACUUACUAAAAAAGAAAUAACGGCUUUCAUUUUUUUUGAACUUUCAAAAAGACCAUGAAAUUUAUAAAUAGUCAAUACGGUUAAAUAAUUUUCAAACAUUUUAGAAAUAUUCACACAUUUGAAAACUGUUCAAUUAUUUUGUAACAAAAUCAUUCACGCAAAAAAAGGGUUCAUAUCCGUAAAAUCUUCAUGAUCAAGGGAAAAAAUAAAUAAAAUUUUGCAUUAAAAUAAUGAAAAUGAGAAAAAAGUAAACAUUACUAGGGAAAAAGAAAAAUAAUAUAGUAUAAACGAAAUAAAUCCGUCUUACAUGGUACAAAACGACAGGAAAAACACGUCAUGUACAAAACCAUGGAAACCGAGAGAGAUCCAAAGAAAACAGUUUUAGCGGUGAGGUGCGAGAUGAGAGAAAGAACAGAGAAAAGCUUAAUGGGAUGGCUGCCCGAUUUCUUCAAUUUUGCUAGUCCCCAUUGCUACAAGUUCGCAUAAGUGUUCCUCUGUUUUGAAUGCAACAGAUUUUUUUUUCUUUUGAGAAAUGAAUGGACCGGAACAAGAAAUAAGUUUGGACCCUGCGCCAGGAUAUGCGAAUAUACCUCGCCUGACGCGAAGAUGGAAACCAGGCUCGCCCGUGCAGCGCCGUCACAUUGGGACAGGCGGGCCGCCAGGAGGCUAUAUAAGACUCACUGCUCGAUUUGUUCAACAAAACGUACACUUUUCUUAGUGGCUGGAGCUAAUUAAUGCCGUGCGGCCAUGAUCGAAUCCGGCAGUGUACAUUUUUUUUUAAAUAGUAAUACAUUCAGCAAAAUUUAAAAAACACCUUGCAUAAUUUUAAUAAAAAUACUAAGCAAACAUUUCUAAAAAGUUAAAUGUGCAUAAUUGUUUUUUCAUGUAUACAGAAAAUAUACAAUGUGUAUGAAAAAAGUUCAUCAUGUAUUUAAAAUAUAUGUUCAUUAAGUAUUUCAAUAAAAUUAAUGAAUCAUUAGGAAAUGAUAAAUGUGUGUGGGCAAAACUAUUUUCUUGUAUACGAAAAACAUAUAAAAAAUAUAGGUUUGUUAAAUUUUUUAUCACGUACUAAAUAUUUUUUCCCAGAAGAAUAUACUAUCUCCGUCCGAAAAUACUUGUUAUAAAAAUGGAUGUUUCUAGAUGUAGUUUAGUUGUAGAUACAUCAAUUUUUAUAUAUUUGUGCGACAAGUAAUUCCGAAUGGAGGGAGUACUCACUUUUUAUAAAACAUGUAUAAACAUAUGUCCGGAUGUAAAACUGUACAAUGGGUAUGCAAAUAAUAGACACAAAAAUAUACUCUAUUUAGAAAACAUAUGUUUGUAAAAAAUAAAUCAUGUAUCUGAAAAAUAUUCACCAUGUACACAAAAAAUAUUUCCUGUAUUUGAAUAAAAAUUAUAACAUGUGUAAGAAAUGUUCCUUUUCUAUAUGAAAAGAGCAAGAAAAACCCAUAGAUAACCGAGAAAGACAAACAAAACAAAACAAUGAAACCUGAAAAAAGAAAUGAAAGAAAAAACCCAGAGGAAACCAAGAAAGGAAAAGAAAUCAAAGUAUGACAAAAAGAAAAAGUGAAAAACAAGCGGAUAAAAUCCAGUGAAAUCCGAAAAAAGAAAUAACGAAAGCAAAUAAAUCAUAGAAAAAAAUCUAGUAAUACCAAGAAAGAAACAAAGAAGACUAUUGAAAAGAACAAAGUAAACCUAUAAAAAAGGAUAACCAUGAAGAAAACAAAGAAAACCAAAAGAAAAACGAAAAAAAAAUAGCAAAAAACAAAAAAAAUCUGGAAGGAAACCUGACUGCACUAUCAGCGGCCAACCCACCGAGUGGGGUGAGCCAGCGACCCCGGUUAAAAUGCGGAGAGCGAAAUAUUCAGGUGGCAUAUGCCUCGCUAUAAGUGCGAUAUAGGGCGUGGCAAGGGCACAAGGGCGACAAUCUACUAGACAAAAAGGAGAUGCCAACGCAGUACAUAUGUAUACGGAUACAGGGACAUGGUAUAUUGUGAGAUUUUAUUUUUUAUGAUAAUAUGUGUCUCAUUGAUAUUAUAAAAAUAAAAAUACAAGUUACGUAUACCAACAUGACAAAACUAAAAAAAUAACAGAACAUCUCUAAGUUUGACACCAACAUAUGUCGCGUACCUCUGACACUGUCAUAGCAGCCACCAAAGAAAAGAAUGGCGAAUCACCUCCUCAACCAAGCUCGACGCGAUUCCAUCGCUUACAUGCAACUUUGCGGACCUUGAAGGUGACUUAUCAAAAGUGAAGCCAUGAGGCUGGUUGUAACGGGGAGUGUCAUAUACUAGUAUCAUGCAUAUGAUAUUAGUGUAUGAUAGUACAUCCGUAAUGCAUAGUAGCAUGUCCUACUAUCAUAGGACAGUUUAUUUAUUGUCAUGCAUGAUACAUAGUAGUACAACAUUUAAUAUGAUAUGAUAUCAUAAUAUGAUGUUUAAUAUUUUUUUCUUCAUUUAAUUCUAUGUCAUCUCAUCAAAUAUGGCUAGUUUGAUACUACUACUUAUAAUACUUUCAUUAUGACUAGCCUUAUCGUUGAACGAAUCAGACCAGGAUAACACCUCGAACACGCCAUCAAACUUCACAUAUGACACCCCACCGAAAGAUAUAUCUUGCCUAGAAUCAUAUUUAUCAUGUACGUAGUACUCCCUUCAUCUGGAAUUACUUGUCGCAGAAAUGAAUCUGUCUAGACACAUAUUUACUUUUAGAUAUAUCAAUUUCUAUCCAUUUUUACGACAAGUAAUUUGGGACGGAGGGAGUAGAUACCAACCUUUUUAUAGAUCAGAUAUAUACCAACUAAACACCAACUAAACACGUGCACAUGCUAGAUCGGCCGGCCCUUUACGAGGUUUGUCUGUGUGUUUUUCCAGCCGGUUUGGGGAAGUUCUAGAACCUUCCUUAAACUGAACUUUCUCAACAUUUUCUGUGUUUUCCCUUUUUUCAGCUGUUUAUACCAAUUUUUUUUUUUUUUUGGAUUUUGAUUUUUUCAAUUCUCAAACAUUAAUAUUGUUUAUCUUUCUGUCCUCUUCUUUUAUUUUUUUUCCCAUUUUAAUUUUAGAAGAAAUUUGUAAUUCACAUACAUUUCUGUAUUCAUGAACUUUUUUGAAAUUCUUAAAAAAAUUCUAAAACUCACGAAUAUUAUUUCAAUUCAUGAACUUUGUUUGAAUCGACAAACAUUUUCUGAAAUUUGGGAACAAUGUUGUAAAUUUGUGUCCAAUUUUUGAAAUACAUGAAUAUUUUUUAACAUGUCCGGGAAUCAUCAACACGACGACCGCCUAUAUCAACUUUGUCGUCUUCAUCAACAUCUUCAUCAAUUUUUCUGUCUAUUCAACAGUUCUCUCUCCCAGAAUCCUCUGUAAUAUCCUACUUAAACAUGGUGUUGGAUAUUGUUAAUUAUUAUAUGAUGAUUUCUUGUGUCUUCUAUAGGUUUGAGUAGAUUAUUUUUGUCAUAUGGGUUAAUUGAUGAACUGUUGUGAUUGGUUUGAGUUUCAUGUUGUCCUUUGAUACCCAUCAUAUGAGCGCUCACGUUGAUGGCACUCUAGGGUUUGUUCUAUGUUGAUACGACUAUGCAUACGGUGGCUGAAGUGACCAGAACCUCGCCACACUAUUGAAAUUAAUGCAUAUGGAAUUGAAGGGGACCAAUAUAUCUUACUGUUAUGGUUGGGUUUACCUUAACGCGCGUGUUAGCAUUUGCAGAUGCUUACUAAUGGUUUCAAUCAGAAGUACAUAUGAUUAAACAUGAAAAAUAUAUUCCUAGAGGCCUCUCCCACAUAUAAAGCUGUGAUGAUAAUAAUCGGUCUAGUAACUUAGUCAAUUGUCCAGGACGAUGAUAAUAAAUUGUGUCUCGAUCUCUAUAGUGCUUUGGAUACUUUGGAAUUUUUGACACACGGAACAUGAGAAACAUAUCCAUUUCAUGUCCUUCUCAAUCUAUCUCGAUUGGCUGCUUCCAAAAAUCCUGACAACCUAUCCAUGAACCCAUUGCUCAAACUGUUCUUGCAAACAUCCAAGCUCGAUCCACAUCCGCAACAUAACAAAAGUACCACAUUAAUAACCUGCUAUUACAAAAUUAUACGUGCAUCAUAAUUAUAUUAUUAACACAUUAGCUAGCACAUCUAUUUUGUUUACUUUGCAUAUUAACUUUGUCUUGUGAAUUUUUUGUGAAUUUUGCCCAACCUUGUGAGUCAUCCAUUUCAAAUUAUUGACCGGCGGCAACACUCCCUCUCGAAAUGGUGCCCGACAAAACCCCUCCAUAUCGAUUCAGCAACAACUUCCCCCCUCUCAAAACAAUGACUAGUGACAACCUUGCACCUUAGGUUUGUGAUAAGCAGGAGCAAUCAUCCCACUAAACAGGGCAUCAAGUCAAUGGACAAAUCUCACACUGAACUCAUGGUUAGUGACAUGGUAACAAACAUUCCAGGUAGUUUCCAAAUAGCAACCCAGUUUCAUUUUAUAGUUGUCUGCAGUAAGGUUGCUCGUAAUGAGAGUAUCAUAGUUAGUAUAAUGCAUGUCAACUAGGCAAUUUUGAUGUGCUCACAUAAAAUUAAAUGAAGAAAGAUAAGAUUGAACAUUAUAUCAUGGUACCAUAUCAUAAUAAAUAUUGUACUACUAUGUGUCUUACAUGAUAUUAAGUAAAAUCAUCUAUGAUACCAGCAAUAUAAAUAUAAUAUUAUAUAUUAGUAUCAUAUGCAUAUGCAUGAUACUAAGAUAUUAUACUACUCCCUCCGUUUCAAAAUAUAAGUCUUUUAUGAGAUUGCAUUAGGGACUACAUACAAAUAUAUAUAGACAUACUUCAAAGUAUAGGUUCACUCAUUUUGCUUUGUAUGUAAUCUGAAAUCUGUAAAAAGACUUAUAUUUAAAAAACGAAUGGAGUAGUCACUAGCAACAGCCUAAACAAGUAUUACAGGCGGUUUCCAAACUACAUGCAAUUACUGAUCAUGGGGAGCAAUGUACUCCUCUAGUCGUCUUGUUGAUGGAAAAAAUAUUUACAAUCAAAUUAAUCAGUGUGAAUGUUGAUGGAAAUUUGUGUUGGUAAUUACAGCGAGAAAUUAAAGAAGCAGGGCAAUGUGCUCCUCCUGGCGUCGACGAUCAGCGUGACGAAAUCAGCAAGGGUAAUACGCCUUGAGGUGCGCUUGUAAGCAUGGCGAGUCCUUCCAAACCCUAGCGUGCAUCUUGAGCAGCUCCUUGGCCUUGGCCCUGGCCCGCUCGCCGGCAUCCACCUGUAGAACCAGCAGCAGCUUGGCGACCACCCCGACGGCCAGCAUCUCCUGCAGCACGGCCGGCGUCGGCGAGUGCCUAGCCACGGCGUGCAGAGCGCGCACCGCGCUCUCGGUGGUGGUCGGUGACACCCGCAUAGCCUUCUUGGCCACGACGGCCAGCCCUGCCGGGUGCGCCACAAGGUCCGACCGCCCCUCCGCACAGCCGCAGAGGUGGUCGAUGGCCACCACCGCCAGCUCGGUGGGGUGCCGGCCGCCUUCGUCGAGGAGCAGCUCCACCAGCACAGUCACCGCGCCGGCCUCGACGGCCUUGACACGGUUGCGGCCCCACGGACAUAGCCGGCACAGCACGUUCAGCGCCGCCUUCACCGCCUUGGCGGACACCCUGUCAGACACCACGCGUACCACCUCCUGCACCAGCUCGGUUCUCACCGUCAUCAGCCUCGCCGGCUCCAUGACCGACACCAUCGCCUUCAGCAGGAUGAUGCCGUAACAGCGGGACCGGUAGCUCGGUCGCCGCAGCAUGCACACCAGGGUGUCCAGGAAGUCUACGUUUUUCUCGAGGAUCCGGAGCAGGCUCUUCUUGGACGGCUUGAGCGAGCAGAUGACGCUGAGCGCGUCCUCCUCCGGCGAGCUCGUGGACGUCGGGGAAUCCAGCGAAAGUUCUAGCAAAUCUUGAGCCGACUUGGACGUGGUGGCAUGGUUCGUGACGACGGAGACGAGGAACUCGACGGCGCCGGGCGUGGCCUCGACGCAGCGCCUGUUGCGAUCGCUCUCGGCGACGAUGGCCUUGAUCUCGCGGAGCGCGGCCAGCUCCUGCUGCCGGCCGGCACCGUGACCCUCUUGGACGAUCUCGGCGACGCGGCUGGUGUCGAGGGGCGGGCGCGGGGUGGGGAAGCGCUCGACGGCGUGGAGGGAGCACCAGGCCUGGGUGAGGCGGCGGAGCGUGUGGUUGGGCGUGGCAUCCCGGUCGGCCUCCGCAAUCUUCUGCUGCGUGACGGGGCAGGUGGCGUGGCCGUCGGAGAUCCAGCGCUCGAUGCUGGUGCGGUCGUAGGUGAUGCCGGUGGCGAGCGUGACGGGGUCCCGCAUGAUCUCCAGCGAGAUCGGGCACAGGAAGUACGGCGGCACCUCCACCGUCGGCCCCUCCAUGGCCGUAGGUCGCGAAGGAUUGCUCGUGAAAUGGAUCUGGUGGAGAGCAGAGCGAAUGAAGAAGACGCUGACCGAGUUGGUGGAUGGAGUUGAACACAAAUCGAAUGGGAGGGGGAGUGGGUGCGCGCGCGUUUUAUAGGAAGUGGAUCACGCGAAGAAGUCCACGCGUGUUAGCAAGAGAUUAGAGGAGAUUAAUUGCGUGGGUUGGGUUGGGUCGGAUUGACUUGCGGGGUCGGUGUUGAGCUGGCUCCAUGUUUUGACUUUGUGAAUUCAUCUUGCUCGGUCCUUUCUGCUGUUCGACUCCGUUGCUCUUGAAAGAUUCCGUUUCUGUGGGUAUGAAACACCGUUGAAGUUUAGCCGCUGCGUAGAUUGGUUGAAGGGUAAUUUUCGCCACCUCCGUGGUUUUAGAGUAUCUACAACCAGACCCUUAUAUUCGUUUCGAACGUUGGACAGCCGAUCAAUCAGCGUACGGCCAGAGAAAAUCUACCCAAAUGGAAUGCACUAAGAGCAAGCUGCUGGCUAUAAGCCACUGCCAUGUCAUCUAUAGCCCAUCUUAUAGCUAACAUGUACAAUACUUCAUUGUAAAAGUGUAUUACUUCUUCAUUAUAUGGUCCACCUUUCAUACUCAUAAAAUGCCUAGGAGCACGUGCUAGAGCUGGCUCUUAGCUAAGAGGCCGCUUACCUUCUCUCCCCUCUUAGCUAAGAGGCCGUUUCUGUGGGUAUGAAACACCGUUGAAGUUUAGCCGCUGCGUAGAUUGGUUGAUGGGUAAUUUUCGCCACCUCCGUGCACUUAAACAUCUACAACCGGACCCCUUAUAUCUGUUUCAAACGUCCGGUCGACCGGUCGGUCAAUGUCCGAUCGAAAAAAAAGCAAUCCAAACGGGCGUUCUAAACGGGUCUCAAAUACACGAGCUGACCGACAUCCAUCAUAUCUAGCAUAAAUAUGGAGCGAAUAUGUGGAGCCCGUGCGUGCCCGGACAUGCUUGCCUGGCAGGCCUGGGCCACCAUUGACCCCACCGACAUGUCAGUUUGGCCCACCAUGGACACCAUGAAAUAUUCCAAUUCGGUAACCCUAGACAUCCGACAGUUCAGUCUCCAUCCACUCCAUUUCCAAUCCCCCCACUUCGAUCCAAUGGCUGGCCAUGGAAGCAACUCCGACAGAUCGAACAUCGAUGUCGAGGAGGUGGCCCUCUGCAUCGCAUUACUCCGGUCGCUGCAGGACAAAAGGGGCCCCGUCGGCAAUGCAUGUGCAUCCUCCGGGCACGUCGCACACCGACGGAGUGCCGGCGACAUCGCAUGCCCUUCCCGCAAGGCACAUAGCUCCGACCGCUCCUGCUCUGGCUGGUCCGCUCCCGUUCUGGUCGGUACGCUCUAGGUCAGGUACGCCACCCAUCUCCACCACCUCCUGCUCCAAAAGCGGUGCCCGACCACCGUGGAGUCCUCAUGCCCGCGCCGGGGACGUGGUGCACGAUGAUACCGGAGUUCGGGGUGCAUGCACCCGAGCGACAACGGACGAGGAAGAGGGGGGAGGCCUUGGUCGCGCAGCGUUCGACCUUGAGCGCACCGGUCGACCCCGAGGACGCACUCCUCGCGGGCACCUACGUCGCUCGCUGACUACAGCGGAGACGAAUGCAUGCCGCCUCCGCCGCAAGAAUGCUAACUCACCUCGACUAGCCAUCCAGUUAUCAGAACGCGAGGGAGCUAAAGAGGCGGCGGCGAAGGCAAAAGUGGUAUGUCACGCGAAGGAGCAAGACCGCCUACUCCAUAGGCUGUUCAGCAUGCGGGGCAGCUCCGACGAGGACGACAACGACACCUCCACCUCCGGCUCCGAUGUUAACGACGACAAUGCUCCACCGCACGGUGACGUCUAAACGUAGAAGAGGCAUAACCGCGUGGAUGACCGAAAAGGGAAGGGGAUAAAAAUGGAGGGAGUGCUACAAAAGAUGUCCCUGGGGCCUGCUGAUCAUUCGCCAGAAACUGUGGGAAUGAAUAUGAUACAACGCCGUAGUAUCAAUCGGUUUUCACUUUGUUUUUCGUCAACAGCUGGUUACUUUUUCUAACGAAAUGAAAUUUUCUCCUAGAUUGCGCUUUCAGUAGGCAUCGACUGCGUGUUGGAAAACUAUGCAACCAUUCCAUUAUUUGUAAUGGGCAAAACUAUUUUUUUCGUCCUUUUACCUUUUUUUAAAGUUGGUUUGUUGAACAUUAAAUAUACCUGUUGCACGUCCCGUAACAUGUGUAGUUAAAACUUUAAAUAAUUCAGUUGUACUACUAAUAUCUUUUGAUGUGUUAGUUUGAUUUUCAAAACUUUAGAUGACCAGUUGCACAUCAUAUACACACCGUUGCAUAUUUUCAAGAUGUGCAUUUGUGUAGUGUGCAAUGAUUUCUGUGUUAUGUGUAUGUUUUUCAUAAUUUUCACGGGUGCUAUUUUCCGCUUUUUAUUCUUGCUGAUUGAAACUUUGUUUUUUUUCUCCAUGUACUAAUAUAUUUUUCAUAUUACCAAUUAUAUUCACUGACGGAGCGUCGGGGGGACCAAGGAGGGACCUCCCCCGNNNNNNNNNNNNNNNNNNNNNNNNNNNNNNNNNNNNNNNNNNNNNNNNNNNNNNNNNNNNNNNNNNNNNNNNNNNNNNNNNNNNNNNNNNNNNNNNNNNNNNNNNNNNNNNNNNNNNNNNNNNNNNNNNNNNNNNNNNNNNNNNNNNNNNNNNNNNNNNNNNNNNNNCCUCUUACAAGAGGAAAAUUGCAAGGAUAUGCUCCUCUAAGCAUAAACUCUCUGGUAAUCUCCCGGCAUCCUUAAUUUCUCUAGCUAGCCCCUCCUUGGAUUUAGAUUACGCUUCCGCCACUUAGUAUAUUUGUGCAUAUUUGUUGAGCUUUAUUUUCACAUCUUCGUUUGGUCAAGCACAUAUUCAAAGUACCAAUCGGACUCUCUUUAAAAAACAGUUCUAGUGUGCACGCCGGUGUAAAAUCUCGAUGAAAAGAUCGAAUAUGUGAAAUUUAGAAGCUUUGCAGUUUAAUCGUGGCAGGUUUCUUUUAGGAUCUAAGCUAAUGUUUGUUAUAUGGAAUGCAAAGUGUUCCAGUUUAUAAAGAAAGAUCCAAAUUAAACUAAUGCUUAGAGUUUUUGUCAAAGUGUUCCAUUUGUCUGGCCCAGAAUCAAAUGGGUAACUUAACCGAAACCACUUGUCAUUGUAUUCCAUGGGCUUACCUAUGAAGCAUUGAUACAACAAUACAGAAUACGAUAAUUUUUAAAAACAUCAAUACGUCAAUACAGUAAGUAUAUACAAAUAAUAAUAAAAUAAUUGUAAUAAAAACAAACAUAAUAAAUUGUGUUAGAAUAGAUCAAAAUGUACUAGGCGAUGAAUAAAACUCCCUUUCACCCACAAAAAAGUGUAAUAGGCAGUGCAUUAGUAAGUUGUUCAUGGCUUAAUAAGAAGGUUAGCGUAUGUUUUAGGAUAAUUCUUCGGGUGCGCUUUGUCAGCGGCUCAUGUCCCUUUUCUUUGCGAGCGGACGAGCAUCGCGGAGUUAACACUGUUAGCAUAUGACUAAUUAUUAGCAAAGCAGUAACAUUAGCAAGCAACUACUAUCUCUACACAACCUACUGAAUCAAGUAAUCUACAACUACAAGGAGCCAACCUGCUCAAUCUACUACAAUGUCAACCUACUUCAUCACUAAUAAUUGAAGACGAAAAGAUGAAUGGAUAGAUCAAGUAAAGAGGUGGCGAGUGUGACCAGCAACGACGACAGAGUUCAGUCGAUGUGGGGCGUUAGGAGUUGAUAGGGCAGCGAACAGAGUGAAAUGAGUACUCAAGUUAGGGUUAGUAUUGGGCUUGUACUGGGCUGGCCGUAUCCCAGCCGUGGACGGUGAACAACAUGUAUCGGUGUUUUUAUCUUCUUUUUUUCAAAUUAAAAAAAGAUACUUCGGUGAUACCAGUAUUGAUGCCGUAUCACACGUAUCAGCGUCUGAAAUACAGGACAGCGAUACACAUGUCUUACAAGUAUCGGUGCUUCGUAGGGGCUUACUGGGAUGGAGUGUUAGUGGACAGCGGACGAAGAUGACGAUGCCACGGAGGUCGACCAGUCGGCAGUCGUGAGCUGUUCAUGGCGCAGCUGACAACGAAGUGCUGGAUCGAUGGCCAAAUUUAAUCAAGAAAACAUUUUUUUCCCUGCAUAUAAAAAGAGAAAAGGAAAGGUAGUACGUACUACUCUUCCCCGCCGCAGCCGCNNNNNNNNNNNNNNNNNNNNNNNNNNNNNNNNNNNNNNNNNNNNNNNNNNNNNNNNNNNNNNNNNNNNNNNNNNNNNNNNNNNNNNNNNNNNNNNNNNNNNNNNNNNNNNNNNNNNNNNNNNNNNNNNNNNNNNNNNNNNNNNNCAAUCGGAGCAUUCAAGGUUCAAGUGGAAGCUACCGCUGACCGACAGGGCCUUGCAUGCAUGCAUGCUGGCGCCACCAAUCAUCUCGCGUAUACGUGUCGGAGCAUACGAAGUGGCCUGAUCGAUGGCGUAUACGUGUGUCGUCUACGGCCAAAUUGAAUCAAGAAAACUUUUUUUCCUGCAUAUAAUAAUAAGAGAAAAGGAAAGGUACUACUAUUCCCCGCCGCAGCCGCNNNNNNNNNNNNNNNNNNNNNNNNNNNNNNNNNNNNNNNNNNNNNNNNNNNNNNNNNNNNNNNNNNNNNNNNNNNNNNNNNNNNNNNNNNNNNNNNNNNNNNNNNNNNNNNNNNNNNNNNNNNNNNNNNNNNNNNNCAAUCGGAGCAUUCAAGAUUACUCCCUCCGUACCUAAAUAUAACUUUUUAAAUAUUUCACUAGAUGUCUACAUACAAAGCAAAAUGAAUGAACCUAUGUUUUAAAAUAUGUUCAUAUACAUCCGUAUAUAGUUCAUUAGUUGAACCUCUAGAAAGACUUAUAUUUAGCAAGGGAGUAGAUUUCAAGCGUAAGCAACUGCUGACCGAUAGCCAGAACCAUGCAUGCAUGCAUGCAUGCAUGCUGGCGCCACCAAUCAUCUCGAGCACUCACCAUCAUCGCCAGCACUCACGGCAGCUUCCGGCCGCACGCGACCGGGGCCCGCAUGUCGGCGCGGUUUGACCGCCCCGUCGUUUUCUUCAACGCACGCGCGCGCGCUCGAUCGUAAACUAUUUUCCACGUGCUGUUUUUAAAUGCAAAUGAAUUCGGCGCAUGCGCACCAGCCACUACUACUUGUAUGCGCCAGCCUUUGUAUAUUUCGUCACGUGCCGUGCGUGCAUGCAUGCAUGCAUGUUCCCUUCUCCGGUUUCCGUGACGUUGAAAGGUUCUCCAAACCGAUCGCCAGCCGUGAUCGAAUCACAGAAAAGACCCAGCAUAUUUUGGUAGUACGUUAAUUUUGUUUUUGAGGAACCAGCAGGAGUUCUGCCUUUUUAUAUAAAAAAAGAAGAAUUGACCAGUUAAUUUUGAUAGUAUGUUAUUGCCAUUGUAUGUGACCAACUGAGUCGAGGGCCCGCGCUGCCUGCGUUAGAUCGAUGAUGACCUAACUACGUCGACCAGCUCUCCUACCAGAGGCGCUCAGUCGUAUUUAAGGCGGUAAUAUAAUGCUACCGGGAAUCUUCUAAAUUGCCAGGAAGUGCGGAAUAGAGGGGUGGUUUUCUGAGCGAUCCCAUCAGCUCUCCUACCACAGGCGCUUUGGUCGUAUUUAAGGUGAGGAACUGUUCUUUGUUGAUCAGGAGACGACCAACUCUUCUAGUGGCUCUACUGUUUCAAAGAGGAACCUUGGCUGGAAUCUCGCAUUUCUACACCUAGUGUGAUUCUACAACUUUUUGUCGUGUUGUUUCGCCUUUGUAUUUUUUUUAUUUCCCUGUAUAUUAAAAAAAUGGGACUAUCUAUUUGUCAUCCGACUAAAAAUCAAUUGGACAUCAUUCACAUUUUCCGACUGAAAAUCUGUUUUACCCGGUACAUUCCAUGUUGUUCUAUCUUCAUAAAAAAUGUCCUACUUUUUUUCGAAACCACCGUCCCAAUUGCUAAGGUUUCCGAGGAGCGCUCUACGCAAUUAUUGACCUCUUGGUCACGGCAUGAACACCUGCGACUACUUUUCCAACGACGACUUCUUCCCUAACAUCGACAACCUCUUGGGUGACAACAACAUCAAUGCCAAUGCCAAAGCUAAUGCCACUGCAUAACUCAGUUUGUGUUUAUGUCUUUUUUGUUCGAGAUCCUACUAGAGUUUCUUGUUCUUGUAUCUGUUCUAGAUAUGUUAUCUUCUAAUUCACAUCUUCAUAUGCUACUCGCCUUCUCUCUGUUAGAUUGCAUGACUUGUUUCGUAUCUGCUAUAUUAGUCAUGUUUUAUCUACUAUUUCUAUUAAUAAAAUCAUAUGAUAAAUUGCUUAUUUUUUUAUCAAUUCAAAAACCUUAUAAUAGGCAAUUUAACCAGAGUAGUUUUGCUGCUUUCAUGAUGCCUCUUAGGUUUAAGGGUGUUUACUAUAAGAGGUGAUGUGUGAGAGCAGUUUUAUGGUUUCAAACCAUGAGCUGCUAUGAUGCCAAAGCCACUUUGGAACAUCCUAUGUUUGCUCUGGUACUUCCGAGAACAAUAUUUUCAUGGCUCAGUUGUGACUUACUAUUUACUGUAAAUCCUCUUUCAAAGAACUGCUUGGUCUAGCUACUACGUACUACCAAUCAACUGGUUUUACCUGGUACAUUCCAUGUUGUUCUAUCUUCACAGAGAAUGUGCUGCUUUUUUUUCGGAACCACCAUCCCAAUUGCUAAUUGUACUUACAAGUACUAAUAUGUUUUCACCUAGUAACAAAACAUUGCCGUCACGUUCAUUUUUUUUCGACGGUCUCGGUGGUUCUGCUAGUUUACAACUGGUGCUUCCAAGCCUAGUUUCUAUAUGCAUUAAAAGUCACUAGCAAAAUGGCCCGUGCGUUGCCACGGAAGAUAAAAACAUAAUCUCCAAUGAUGGUGACCACAUUAUGUUCAUAUAUCAUCGCUUGAUUUUAAAAAUUUAUGCACAAAUGCGAGAAAAUAUUUCUUCUUUUAAAUUUAUUCACAAGUUGAAGCAAUCUUUACAUUGUCAAAAAAUAUAUAUCAUGGUUGUCAAAAAUCUUGGUAACUCAAAGAUUUAUUCUGAAUUUCAAUAUUUUUUAAAAAAAACAUACAAUAAUAAUUUGAUCCAUCCAACAAUUAAUUCUUCAAAAUUCACACAGGUAUAUUGUCACAAAGACAUAGAAGUAUUAAUGUUUCACUACAUACAUUAGAUCUUUUGUGGAGAAUUUUAAAAAUAUGGAAAUAAUUUUAAAAUCGAGAACAUUUUUUACAAUUUACAAACAUUUACUAAAAAUCGUGAAUAUUUUUUAUAUUCCGAACGGGUUUAAAUAUUUUCUUUUGAAUUGGCGACCAGUUCAAGAAAAGACGAUCAUAAUUUUUUAUGUUGGAGGAUUUUAUUUUAAAUUCACAAACAUUUUUUGAAAUGCAUGAAGUUUUUCUGAAUAAACAAACAUUUUUAUAAAUCAGUAAUAUAUUUACUAAAUUAAUGGACAUUGUUUUGGAAUUUGCAAAAAAAAUAUAAUAAUCCGGCGCUUUUUUGAAUCCACAAACAUUUUAUGUUUUCGUCAGCAUUUAAUUCAAAAUUCCUCUUUUUUAAGAUGCAAAAGUUUUUGUAAUUCUAAAUUAUUUCAACUAGAAAUAAACAAAAAUGGAACGGAAAAUUUUAAAUAAAAAAAAGAAACUAUCGAAACAGGCAUUAGCUAUUUUUAAAAUUUUAGGACAUUCUUUAAAUGCAUUACCAUAUUUUGAAUUAGAAAGUAUUUUGUUAAAUGCCUUUAAUAAUUUUUAAUACAUGGAAUUGUAUUUGAAAUCAUGGACUUUUCUUAUUGUACAAACAUUUUAUUGUAUAUGCGAUAAUUUUUUACAAAACUCCGAGCAGUUUUUGAAGUCACAAACAUUUUAUUUUUUAAAAUAUGUUGAUUUAUAAUUUUCAGUUUAUUAAAUUUUUAAAGAUUAUUUGAAGUUCUAAAUUAUUGAAAAUAAAAAAUAAAAUGGAACUGAAAAUAAAUAAAUAAACGGAACUAAAAGCAGGCGUCUGUGCAAGGGCCGGCCCAUACGGUGUGCUGGAUAUUCUCCCAGCGUGCAGAGCGUAAUAUAGGAGGUUUUUACAUGGGCCGGCCCAGUUCAAGAUUUUUUUGCUUUCUGAAACAUUUUCUAUUACUUACCAGUGGCAUGGUGGGUAAUAAAUGCAAAUUUUAAGGGUAAUCUCCAUGACGGACGACGAGAAACCGAAUUUGCUUUAUUAUUAGGGAGAGAUAUUUUGGACUCUCUGUCUCUAUCAAUAGCCUUUCAUAUCCUUCUAUGGCUGCAUCCAUCACAUCCAUAUAAUUUAUCAUUGUUCAUCCCUGUAAGCCACUUCUAAUUUACUUCACUUCACUCCACCCACCUAUCACAUAGAGGAAGAGAUAUCCAAGGUAAGAAAAUAAGAGAGGAGUGCUGGAUGAUUCCAUGUCCAGUGUUCGAUUUUUGUAAAGCCAAGAGCUCCCCUUUCUCGAAUUAUGGAGAGAAGCUUUGAUGCAAGAUCAUUCAAGGAGUACUUAUCAAGUGACUUUUAUUUUCUUGUUACUCUUGGAUAGUAAGCACAUAACCUAGAUGGUUAGGAGUCACUUAAAAUAUAAUCCUUUCAAGUUCUAGGUGUGAAGGAUCCAAAAGCUUGUGUUGUUUUGUCUUUGUACAUUUCUGUUCAUUGUGCAUUGGAACAUGCAAGAACUAGAAAACAUGUCGGGAGAUCGACUUGGGAGGCGACACUCGAGGCGAUUCCGACGAUGGCACGGAAUUGAUUAGAGCAAACAAACGUGGUUACCAUGCAAACUCCUCCUGUUCCGGAGUGAGAUCAACGAGUGACACAUUGUAAAUCAUCUUAACACCGCGGGGUUGUAAGGAGGGGAGAUGUGGAUUACAUGUUUGUGCUCCAAAGUAGACCAUUUCUUGCCAGUGUUGCUGGACCUUUGCCGGACGCCUUUAGCAACUGAGAUGUUUUUCACCAUUUUCGUUGUAUUUCUUAGUUUCAUUUUCUUGUUAUUAUUGUCUUUUGUUCAAAACCACAAGGCUCUGUCUAGCCAUGAAUUGGUCUUUACAUUCCCUCAGGUAGAUCUUUGGCAAGUGUGAUUUUUUGGUCUUUUAUGUUUUGAUUUUAAUGUGAUUAUGUUUACAACGGAGUUGUGGCUUUGAGAGGUAUUCAGAAAGCUGAUUAAGCGCCCAAUGACAACAAGAUACGUGUUCCAGCAGGACAAGAUACUACGCCCAAAAGAAACUCCAAAUUUAUCCACAAGAAUCAAACUUCCAAGGUGAUUUUUUUUUGUUCUAGUUUGGAUAUGGUGAUAUACAUCCAUUUCCAAUCACUUCACAACAAAUUAGUUGUACAUGUAUUUAUUUUAGCCUUUUCAUCUGCUAUGUAUAAGAUAGGGGGUACAAGUACAAUCCGUUAAUUUCGACAUUAUUCUUCUUUCUGAAAAAUGGAUGUUGUUAUAGUGAUCCCAUUUCACACGCGCUAUCUCUGAUUGCUAAAGUUCUUGGCCUUUUCUGAUACAUAACAAAAAGUGCAGAAAUAAACUUUGCUCCUAGGUAUUGUUACAUACAUGGGCGGAGCUGUAUGGAGCUACCCUGUUGCAUGGGCAACAGGUCAAGUAGCUUCUUACAUGUAGUUUAGUACUUGGAUUAAGCAUGUGUAUAAGUGCAUCAGGCUAAACUAGCAAGGGUGCAACAGGGUAAAUGCAGAUGCAGCUCCGCCCCUGGUUACAUAACCCUUGGCAACCUUGUUCUUUUUUCUAUCUUAUUUCAAAACUCAAUGCCAAACAAGAUAAGACCACGCUUGGAGGUUAGUGUUGUCUCCGUUAGGCUAACCAACACCUCAUCAUCGCAGCCUUCCUCGUUGUAGAACUCACCCAGCUCCACCUCCACCCAACCGUCGUCCCUCCUCCGAGGGAUUGCCAUGUCAUCUCCAAGAGUAAUUUCCCAUUCUAGUCUAUAUGCAGAUGAUUCCAAGACAUGUAUACCCUCCUCCACACAACUUUGCAGGCAAACUUGCGAGAUUGAUAUCUGUCCUUCUCCUACGCUAAAUGAAGCCUCCUUGAAGGGAUAAUCCAACCCACAAAAUGAAGUGGGGUGUAGUUUAAACACCAUGUAAGCGGCAUACGUUACGUUUCCGGAGAGCAUCUUGCUGUGUAUCUUGCCAUGGAUUUCUAGCUUGCCACACUUCCUAAUCGUCACGACAUGUGGGAAUCUAUCACGAAAUAUAGACAGAAUUAAGAUUUUUUUUGAAACGGAGGUAAAAGCUUUGCCUUAUCUCAUUAAUAAAGAAGAAGAGCAUUGCCCGGUUGAAUAACGAAAAACCGGGUGAAAAACCAUUGCAACAUGUCCACACAUGACACACGGGGUGACCUGGCAACCCGUAAAUGAACGCACAUACGUCACCGAGGAGAGAACACCGUUGAGGCUGCAACCCGGUGUCAUCGUCAUCACACCUACACAAGCGCGACUCCAACUUUACCAUCGACGACCAUCAAUAUAGCCCUCACCGUAAGCAAACGCUGAGGCCCACGCUGACCACUACCAAACAGUCAACCACACGCGCCAACUACCAAGCAGCUCCGACUGUGCCGACGAGCAUUCUAGUAGAAAAGCACUGAGACUGAGCCGAGCCAGCGCCAGAACCGACCACCCGCCUCGCGUCAUCAUCGUCGCAAGGCCCCUCCUGAGCAGCUUCGACUCCAGGAAGGCAAAGUGAGGUGCAGCAACCCCUCGAACAUGCGGAUGAGACCGACUACCAAAACUCAGCAACAAACCAACUACACCCAAAACCGCCAUCGUCACCGCACAAGAAGUUGCGCCAACCACAUCACCAGUCGGGCACCUGCCGACCACGAUGUCGUAUGUGUCCAGCUCUUGGAAAGCAUGAAGGAGGCCAAUGACCCUCAAGGCAACGCCCCCAAGGGGGUAGAGCGAGGUGAGAGGAUGAAGCCGUCACCCGACUCACAUCGGAGUCUUAGGCUUUCGCCCGAUGACCAUGGUCCGAAGGUGCUGGGCAAGGAGAGGCUCCACAAUGACCCCCAAGGAGGAAAAACGAUGUCCGCGGACGCCGUGACGUCUAGGAUUUUGCCCAGAGCCACCUCGGCGAGCACCCCCAUGCAACGAGUGGCGCAACACCAUCGCUCUGUAAGCCCGCUGUCCCACGCAGCUCCUACGCGACAACGGUGCCAUCCUCACGCAAGAGCCACCAACCUCAACGCCUGCAAACUCCGGCGAGCCGGAGCCGGCCAAGUCGGCCAAAUCCGACGCCCACCACCGCCACAGAAAUGCCUAGACCACACCGGGAGCCCGAUGCGAGGCCGUCGCCCAACCUUCAGCCGCCCGACGCGACCACCUCGAGCCAGACCACACACGCGCCAGAUACGCGCCACCAUCCGCGCCAGCUCGCAAAUGGCCGCGCCGCGCGCCAAGACCACCUCGCGCCGCCUGGUGCAGCAGAGCACCGGCGCCGCCCCUCGGUGCCACCCGAAUCCACCGCCGGCCCGACACGUCACACCAAGCUGCGCGCCUCCACAAGGUCGGUUGCCCUGCACCGCCCGAAUGCCUCAUGGGGAGAGAUGAGUCCCGCCGCCGCCGACGCACGCAUGGGCUUUGCCCGGCGGCGUCCCCGAGCAGCGGUGAGGAAGGGGAGAGGCAAGUUGUGGGGUGGCGGUGGCGGGGAGCUAGGGUUGCGCCCGGGCCGCUCGAGGGAGCGGCACGGGGCGGGGGUUUAUUCCUAUGGAACGAUCUUGUGGACUGUAGUUUCGUCUGGCCUGACAGAAUUAAGAUUCGUGCCAUGCGUGGAAAAAUACUACUCCCAAUAAUAUAAUUGGGAGAAUUCGUUAUCAUGGAAAUGUAAGGCUUUAUUAACCUUUUGCUAGUGUUGAGAGCUUCGUAAUCAAAACCGCUAGGACUCAAGUACUAUAGGUAGCGCCGGUACUUGGCGAUCUGUAGUAUCUCCGCGGAAAGCACGAAGCACUUGGCGCCGGUAGCCUUGUCGAGCCUCAUGUGCUGCACCACACAUGUGUGUUUGUAGGUAUGUGCAGCAAAACAAAACGAAUAAACCGCGAACAUUUUAAUUAGUGCAUGCAUGGAUCCAUAUGAAAACAUCUCUCGUGCCGGUCGAGGAAUUAGAAGAAAAAAAAACCUAGCUAGCGAGCUUUUAUAUGUUUUACGAUGAAAUUCAGAUGAAGUUUGAUGGUGGUAAUACGACAUACCAUGAGCUUGCGCGGGAGGAAGGCGGGCAGGCAGGAGAGGCGCUGGAAGAGCGCCUUCUUAGACACCGCCCAGCGCCUCUCUUAGACACCGUCGUCGGGGCAAUCAUCUUCUUGGCGAAGCGCGGAAGCUCACGUGGCACGAAGCAGAACCAUACGGUGUCGGCGGCGGCGCGGAAAGGCCGGGAGACGGCUGCGGCAUGGCAGGCGGCCACCGGCGAUGUGAGGGAGAUCACCCGCACAAGUAGCUUGUCCGGCAGGCACCGAUCUGAGAUGACGCAGUAGUAGAAGAUGGUCCAUUUGUCCCGGUUCCACAGGCCCAUUAGCCCCUGUUCUGGACCGGGACUAAAGGGUCGGGACUAAAGCCCAAAACCUUUAGUCCCGGUUCGCUUACCAACUGAGACAGAAGCAGAUCACGUGGACGAUGUUCAAUCUGCAUAAUAUAUAUAGUGAGGAUAAUUAUAUAUACAUGCAAUGAAUGAGCUGAGCUAGAGAAUUAACUAUAUAAGUAAUACUUACAGACAGUAGGAAGUCAUGAGUUGUUUGUCAAUGGUUAGUUGAUUGUAUAACUGAAAUAACUCCUCAAAUUGGAUAGGAAUCACGAGAAGUCCAAUGAACUCGCGCUGUGGUUUCACUGCCACAUACAUAGCGUCUUUCCCAGACUCCCUGCAGGUUUUCAUGUACCACUCAUGCAAUUUGUGUAUCAUCGUUGUUAGAGGAAGAUGACUAGGUUUUACGAGAGGCUUCCCAUGCACGUAUUUAUAUUGUUCUUUUGUUACCUCAGCCGUUUCAAAAAUUACAUCAUCCCCCAAGUAAUCAUCAGGAUUGGUACCGGGCACCAUCCCCGGAUGAUUAGCGAUGACGAUAUCGCUAGACACCUUGAGCGGGGGGCACGAUUGCUUCUCCUAUUGGCUGAACUGGGGAAUUGUUUUCCCACUUCUUCGUUCUGCUAUGUACCUUGCAUCACCGGAAGUAGUUCCUGACCGCCGCGCUUGUGCAUAUGUAUUUUUAAGAAUGCGGUCAUAGUUGGAAUCCCGGCAGAGGCGGUGGUGGUCGCUUCAGUUGAUUGAUAAUGGGCUCCACUUUCCCCGGAUCUAGCUUCUCCAUCUGAGGUGGAGUUAUUUUGCAAAAUGGGCCCUCAAUACGGCACGACAUAUGUCCUCUCAUAUGGUAACUUUUCCAGAGGCUUGAGAGAUGGAUCGUAUCUGAAUUGCCUCCCGCCUCUGCUUGUACUUCUAGCCGCCGGAGAGAAGGAGGCGUCUCUCUUCCGCUUGAGAGAAGGAGGCGGACUGCUCUGACGCGCCGGAGGAGCCGGAGCAGCGGCGUUUGUCUUCCGACGUUGCCGACGAGGUGAAGGAGGAGGCGGACUGCUCUAACGCGCCGGAGUAGGCGAAGGAGGAGGCCGGAGUUGGCCGUAGCAGCAACAGUGACAUCGGUAGCAUCCUCUGCCGCCUUUUUCUCGGCUUCGGCCUUCUCGCGGGCGAGACGGUCGGCUUCGGUUGGUGAAGACAUGGCGAUGACGAAGGCGACAUAGAUGUAGAUGAAGCAGACGGACGGAGGCGAGCAGUCACGUGAUCGCUCCCUAAAAACCUAAUUGCCCCUCUUCCGUACCGGAUCAGUAGAGGCGUGGUUUCGGACGCCUGCUCUCCCGUCGACCGUGUACACUAUGAACGACCCGGAGUCGCCGGCGGCAGUAGCAGCAAAAGGAAUGAGCGCAUGAGGCAUAGGCGAUCUGAUCUCGUGAAUGCUAGGGUUGGCGCUAGCCGUGCUUAUAUAGGUGCGACCGGGUGGAGAGACGUGGGCUGGACCCACGUCCGAGUCGGUAAUAGCCCACAAAAAUAAGUGCGUACGUAUGAGUUCAGCUCGGCUCAUUCCCGCAACCCGUGGCGCGUCGUGACGAGGCGUCGCAUGGUGAGGCGGGCGACGGAGGAGGAGUGCGCGAGGGCCUCUUCUCUUCUCAUGCUCCAAUAGGAUGUAGAAGAGAGACCCUUAUAAAGGGGUCUAAUUCCCUCUCCACUAGGCCCUUGUCAUGCCACCAGUUACAUAGGCCCUUGGAGAUUUCUGAAAUUUUCUCAUGGGUCUUAGGCCCAUCACAGAUUUCAACAAUCCCCAUCAGAUCUCAAGGGCACAUUGUAUUCUUUCGUUCCAAUCACCGUUUUGAUAUACCAUCAUUUCAGUGAAGACCUGUUAAGGUUGAGCUUCACCUAGAGCAAGCAGCUACACUCCUUUACAACUGAACAAUGGACUAUGCCUUGAAUUGAUAGUUUGGCGUAAAGAAGUUUCACCACAAGUCUUACUAGUACUAGGCUGCCGAAGGCUGACCCCUCGGGUGGAGCAUAUUAGUCACACUCCUGACCUAUUCAUGAGUUUACUGGAGAUCACCCCAAUCUCAUAGAGUGUGACCAGUAGUUGGUUUCAUACAGGUGUGUUCCUCCAAAGAUCGCUCUGCAGGAUAUCAUUUUGCUUGCACAUAAGCUUUAGAACACAUUAAGACGUUAGUCAUCCUACUAUACAGUAUCGGAGAGUAUUGCAUCUUCAACGGAGUGGGUUAGUAAAGUUACUCUCCUCGGUUCACCACUUGCUUGUUUUCCCAGGUCCUACUUCACGGGAUCUUCGAUCACAUAGGUUGGGUUACUGCCAUGGCAACUCAUAUGGAUCUCAUACCCAUCUCCCUUGAUGCACUAUCUAUCACAACAUGUAAUAGCCCUUUAGUAAAGGGAUCUGCCAGAUUCUUAGCCGUUUGGAUGUAAUCCAACGCUAUCACUCCGGAGUUUCUUAAACGUGCGACAGACCUCAAUGUCAUUGUUAUAUGUUUGUUGGACUUCAUGUUGUCCUUUGAACUAUUCACUUUGACAAUAACUGUCUAAUUAUCACAGUUCAUAAGGAUAGCCGGAACCGGCUUCUCAACCACACGAAAGUCCAUCAACAGAUCUUGAAGAAAUUCUGCUUCGAUACCAGAUGUGUCUAAUGCUGUUAAUUCUGCUUCCAUUGUCGAUUUUGGUAAGAUCGUUUGCUUGCAACGCUUCCACGAAACAGCACCACCUCCAAGAGUAAACAUAUACCCAGUAGUGGCCUUCAUCUCAUCAGCAUCAGAGAUCCAAUUCGCAUCACUAUACCCUUCAAGUGUCGACGGGCAUCCUGUAUAGUGAAGUCCGUGGUUGAUAGUACCUUUUAGAUAGCGCAUAAUUCAUUCAACAACAUGCCAAUGAACAUCACCCGGAUUGGCAACAAACCGGCUCAGUUUGCUCAUAGCAAACGCGAUGUCAGACCUCGUUGCGCUAGCUAGAUAUAUAAGUGAACCAAAAAUUUGAGAGAAUCUCAAUUAAUCUAUAUACAUGCGUGUGAACUUUCGAAUCAACGCACUAGGAUCAUAUGGUGUUGGAGAAAUUUUGCAGUCUGAAUAUCCAAAAUGACUCAAAAUCUUCUCAACAUAGUGGGAUUGCGGAAGUGUAGUCCCACCCUCAUCAUCUCUGCACAGCUUGAUGUUCAAGAUAACAUCAUCCAUUCCAAGGUCCUUCAUCACAAAGUUCUAAGACAGAAAAGAUUAACCUCCUCAAUCACUUUGAGGUUGCUUCCAAAUAUCAGUAGGUCAUCAACAUACAAGCACAAUAUAACUCCUUCCCCUCACCAUGACGUUAGUAUACACAUUUAUCAGCUUAAUUAACAACGAAACCAACAUAUGUCAAAGUUGUAUUAAACUUCUCAUGCCAUUGCUUAGGUGCUUGUCUCAUGCCAUAUAAAUAUUUCAACAACUUACACACUUUUCCUUCCUCUGCACAAUCGCACAUCAAGAGAGUUCUACAAAGAUUGGAUGAAAAUCACAAGUUUCUUCUCAUCCUCUUCCUCUGCACAAUCUGGCACUCCUAUCAUUGCCGCCUGCAAGAAAAAAAUGAUGGCAAGGCUCAGAAAGCAAACCAAAGAAACUAACAUGAUAGAGCAUCAAAUACUAAUGUAUAGGUUAGGCUGUGGACAACGAGCCACAUAUAAUAAUAAAAGGGCAGCACAUAAUAACCCAUUAUAGGUUCGCGCACAUGUACCACAAAACAUUUUCUUAUAUUAUUUAUCUCAAGACUUUCAUGUAGAUGUUAGACAUGCUUGAAAAGAAACCUAGCUUAAAGAGAAAAAUAAAUCUACAAUCUUAGGAUAAUCAUGACAAUCUUGGUAUAACAAGAAUCUGCCCACGAGCAACAGAUCAGGCUACAUAUAGAUAAAAGAAUUAACGAUUGUAAUUUUAGCUCAUAACCAGUUCUAAAAAUUCUAGUUAAGCACUUGCUGCUAACAAUGGAUGAAUUGUGAAUAAUCUAUAGUAAGUUUGCCCAAUUAAUUUCUUCUGGAGAUACGUUUAGUUGAAAGUAGAUAAGUCCUUUUGGAGCAUUACAUUGUUUCUUUAGUUUACUUAGCUUUUGUUUUUUAGAGACCACAAAGUGCAGCAUCGAUCAAACCAGGGUCUAGUUCCAGCCUUUCAAUACAAAAUGCUACUCGACAAUGUAAAGAUGCAAGUGCACAUGAAAAGAUAUCAUUUAUUAACAUGAAACUACCAAAAGGAGUUGAUGUCAUAUUUGAUAUGACACUGAAAUUCAUUACUAUGCUAGAAAUAUAUAUAUGUAAGGUCCACUAGGCAUGAUAUAUUUGGCUUUUAGAAUCAACAGCUUCACAAAGUCAGUGUUGUGCCACAAAAUACAGGUCGACCCAACUGCUAAGCAACCAACCACUCUACUGCUGAAACCACUGUCUGCCGGCAGACGCUUCUACCGGACACCUACUGAUCCAACUAUCACAUACUAAAUUUUCACCUUGCCCCGAUACCAACCCAGCAACCCGAGCAGUCACCUAGAUAAUGAAACCCAUGCGUACAUAUUGAUUUUAGUAGCAACAUGAGGAGGAAGGGGGUGCUUACAAUGAUAACUUGAAGAUGUUGGUUUGGUUGGGUGAGAGCAAGAAACCCGUGGCAGUCCCGCUCGUGGUUCUUCCGUCGAGGGCAAGCAAGCUCAAGGCGACGGUAGCAGUAGUCGGGACUCCAUCUCGCCACCCCAUGUCCAAAGGCGCCGUGCUGCAAGAUGAGGUAGACAAAGCCGGUGACGGGACGUCUUCCUCUCCGACGACGCAAGCAACGACGAUCGCUCGUCUCAGAUGCACGGAGGAAGGAGGGGGAUCACCUGGUGGCAGUGAAGGAUAUGAGUGGCGAUACAACGAUGGAAGAGGAUAGCGGUGGUGGGAGUCGAUUGGAUCUGAGAGACAACAAGGAGAGUGGCACAUGUACUCGGUGUAGCGGGGGCACGCAGGGAUGGAUGCCAAAAAUGAAUCGGCAGGGUGUGAUCUCCUCUAGCACGAGCUCUGGAGGAUAGCGUUGAGAGGAGGCGCUGGUGUUAUAUCCACCGUCGCCAUGGUCGUCCACGCCCACACCAUGGCCUCCUGCACUAAACGGGAGAAGAGAGUGUGGCAGCCAAAUCCGCCGACGCCAAUCUCGGGGCCUGCCGCAGCGAAUAGGGCAUAUGGGAUCGUGGCUGGGAGGUUGAUGGGAGAGGUGGAGAAGGGAGUGCAGGGGCCUGCUGCGUCGAACGGGAGCACAAGGGAUCUGGUGAGGGAAGGAAGGCUGGCGGCGGGAGAGGUGGGAGGAGAGUCGAGGGGGACAAGUCUGGACUCUGGAGAUAGGGUUAGGUUUCUGGGGAAGGGACUUUAUAUCCUAUUCCCUUUUUUUAGUGAAUUAUAUCCUAUUCACUUAAUGGGUCUACUCAAGUCCGUAUAGAUAUUGGAUUUAGGAAAUAUGGACCCAUAUUAUUGUCUUUAAUUGUAUUUUUUGAUUACCUAAAAAGAGGUGGUUUAAUCGUAUAUCCACAUCAUUGUACUUAUCGAUGGGAUGUGGUUUCGUUGUAUUUUUCAGGCACACAUACUGUAAGUUUAGGUGUAUUUUGUGAUGAACAUGCGGUGCAAAAGAGCACUUGUGCAGCCAAUCGGCAAGGCGUGUCACCCUUGUAUCACUGUAGGGACAUACAUUUAACGAGGCAAACAUAUUUGACUUUGAAAAUAAGAAAAGAAGAUAUGUAUCUCAAAAGGGCUCCCACCUCUCUACUUCUAUACAAAUUGCAUGUGGGUUGUCAUUGGAAAAAAAAAAAUUCAACAUACUAUGUUGAAAACUUUUUAUAUCUCCAUACUUCUUACCUGAACUUUUACAAUAAUUGUGUUAGAAUGAGGCAUGAGAUCAUGUUUAAGUUUUUAUUGUCUCAAACACCAAGUUAAGGUACCCUAUACCACCUUUCAUUUUUUAAUCUAAAUAGGGUCUACAAAUAAUGAGAUUAGCAUGUGCCCAUAUAUUUCAUUUUGGUAAUUAUAUUGUAUUUUCCAAAAUAUUUAGGAUAUGAAAAUGAAUAAUUAUAAUUUAUUGAUAUUUAUCUAAUAUCAUUUACUUCAUCCAUAUACGUAUAAAACAAAUUUUCGCUGUGUAUACAUGACACAUAGGCAAAAUUGAUGAGGUGUCGUCCAGUCACCUCCACGCAUAUGUUUACGAUCUUAUAUUUGGUCAUGGUAGCAUUGAAAUAUGAUCAUAAAUAAUACUACACAUCUUAAUGACCAUUUUUUGCAAUAGUAUCAUGACCUAAUGGACGCAAAAGGUCGUAACGUUGUGAGCUUUGGACCCUCUUAGACUUGCCAUACUAAUUUUAGAAUUUUGGUCAUGGAUCAAUGAUCAAUUAAACCACCGUCAUUAUUUUUGUCAUAAUUGAGCGUUUUUCCUGUAGUGAUAGCCGUGAGCCAUAAGGUGGUUUUUGUCUGCCAACGCUUGAAAUAAGUAUCGGUAAACUUAUCCGGUUUUACUGUAGCAGCAAAACCACUACUCGAAAAAUUUCUACACACAUUAGGUUAUUGGAUUGUUGAGUAAAUAGGAAAUUUUUUGAAUAGAUUAAUCCACGAAAUAAUCACUAACAUGGCACUGCCUAGAUUCAUGACAUACUAAUUACGGAGCAGACUAGCAAAUACUAAUGCAUAUAGUAGAAACAUCUACGCAUAUAGCUAGUACUACUAGAACUAAAAUAAACAGGAGCGGGAUAAACGAGUUAUAUCCUUCGAUCAGCCAGUUGGUCAUAGCAGCAGCAGUGACAGCGGCAACAUCCUCUGCCUUCUUCUUCUCGGCUUCGGCCUUCUCGCGAACGAGACGGUCGGCUUCGGUUGGCGAAGACAUGGCGAUGACGAGGGCGACACAAACGUAGAUGAAGCAGACAGACGGAGGCGAGCAGUCGCGUGAUCGCUCCCCAAAAAACAAAUCGCCCCUCUCCCGUACAUGAUCCGGAGAGGCGGGGUUUCGGAGGCUUGCUCUCCCGUCGAUCGUGUACGGGAUGAAUGAGACGGAGUCGCCGGUGGUAGGGUUGGCGGCACCGUAAAAAUAAACGCGUAGGUAUGAGCUCAGCUCGGCUCAUUUCCACAACCAGUGGCGAGGCGGACGACGGAGGAUGAGUAUGCGAGGGCCUCUUCUCUUCUCAUGCUCCAAUAUCAUGUAGAAGACAGACACUUAUAAAGGGGUUCAACUUCCUCUCCACUAGCAAGGUGAGACUAAGCUUUUUACCAUCCUUUGUCAUGUCAUCGUCUACAUGGACCGUUGGAGAUUUCUGAAAUUGCCUCAUGGGCCUUAGGCCCAUCACAGAUUUGAACACAUAUUGUUUUCUCCUUCUAUCUUUUUUGGUCAUUAUAUGCAAUAGAACAUGUGAGAGAUAGGACAAACAUGCAAGACGACUUGGGAGGCGACAAUGAAGAUGCCUUUUGGGGCUUGGGUGGUGUACUGAAUUUUUUAUUUUAAAGCUAGACACAGAAGUUGUUUAUAAUGCAUCCUUUAUCACAUCAAACGCGGAUACAACCUCCUCCUGUCGCAGAGUGAAAUCAACGAGGUGCCCACUAUAAAUCAUAUUAGUACAUUUGUGCCCUAAAAUAAACCAUUUUUUGUAAUGUUACAGGAACCUCUUUUAAAAACAAUAUAUGAACAUUCUUUGAAGACCACGAGAAUACUUUUUUUAAUUCACUGAACAAUAUAUGAACAUUCUUUGAAGACCACGAGAAUGUUUUUUUUUGAAAAUCACUGAGAAUUGAAGAGAGCGCUAAACGAUUCAUAUUUGGCCGAGCCACUAUAGGCUGUCCUCCCGCCGCGCUAAAGUCGAGAUAAAGACACGCUCUUUCAUAUUGUCUUUCACUACGAGAAAAUAUUGACAUAGAUUUUCAGAUAUAUCAUAUAUCUGUCUCAACAAGCACACAUAGCACUACCUCGUUCCUCAUGGGCAGGCCCAUUAAGGCCUUGUUCGAUUAAUCCUCCUCCGAAGGGGAUUGAAGAGGAUUGAAGUAAAAUUUAACUUGUUAGGGAUUUAAUCUACUCAAUCCCUGUCAAAUCCCUUUCAUUUCCCUGUCAACCGAACAAGGCCUAAGCUGUUUAUUUUAAGUUUCCUUGUUAGCUCCCACAUGGAUUGGACUAGUCAUUGGUAUCAUUUCAUUUCUCUUCUGGUGAUUGUUCGUUCCUAUGUGAACAGAACAACAUGUUUUUUAUUUUAAUUUUGAUUUUCCAUUUUAGUUUUCCUUUCAUAUAUAUAUAUUCCCUCCAUCCCAAAAUAACUGCCUUAACUUUAUACUAACUUUAAUAUAAAGUUAUAUUAAGCUUAAGACAUUUAUUUUGAGACGGAAGGAGUAAUUGGUUUUAUUCUAUAUUUUUCAAAAAGAGUGAUAAACCCAAAAUGAUAUUAAAAAGUUCACAUUAUUUUUAGACAGAGCAUUAACACUUUUAUAACUACAUGUAUAAUUUUUUCACGAGUGAACAUCUUUUUAUAUUUUUUUUCAUCAUGGGUUAAAAAGCAAUUCACCGUCCAUUUAUUAUUGGUCAUCAUGCAUAUAUAGAAUCAUCAUGUAGAUUUUACUUGUCGCUCAGCACUCACUAGGCGUCAGUGCUAUAUCUCACCUAUUGCAAGAUAGAACACGGUCCUCAAAUACUUCCUUCUUUCCUGACGUGUUUCUUCUUUUGUGCGCUAGAUUUUUUCUUGUUUUGGUAUAUAAAUUUUGCUUCUGUCCUAGCUCGCCCACGUGAAAUAUUCUAAUCCUAUUUUCGGUAUUUUCUGUUUUGUGAUUGGCAUCGAUUACAUAUUUAUAUGUUAAUCAUUUAUCCUGCUACAUGUUAAAACUAGCAAAAUGCACAUUGACCUUUUUUGAAUAUAUUUUUUCUUCAAAAAUGCAGUGAUAAUUUUUUAACAUGCAAUAUAUUUUAAAUGGCGUGGACAUAUUUUUUAGUAUCGCCAUUUCUCUGGAAUUGGCCCAUUUUUUUACAUUUCAUAAAUAAUUCGUUGAAUGCAUAGAUUUCUAUGUCAUGAUACUUAUUUUUUAAGGCAUAGAUUUCAAGAUAAUUUGUUGAAAGGUAUGAAAAUUCUUUACAUAUUACAUGAUAAAUGCUGUAAAUUUUCAAUGAUAUAAUUUCAGUUAUGAACAUAUGUUGUAAACUUUUGAACUUUGUUUAGAGACAUGAACAUUUUUUUAGCGACAUGAUCAUUUUUUGAAAUAAUGAAUACACAUAUUUAAACAUUUUUAAUGUGUAGUGAACAAGUUUUUACUGCUAAAUAAUUUUCUUUUUAUAAAGAGGUAAUAAAUAAUGAUCGUUUAAAACAAAAGUAAAAACAACAUAGAAAGGUAACAAGGUUGAAAUAUACAUGUAAGAGAAUAAAACAUAGAAUGUAACAACUAAUGGGCCGGCCUAUUAAACAACUUCGAAGCGACGCGUCAUUCAGCGAAAUCACUAAUUGAGGGGUACACCUUUUAAAGGCUAGUUCCAUCUUUCCAUAUUGCCACAAGUGACCCGUCACAUGUGUGUCACUUGUUGCAACCUAUGAGUUUCUAUUUUUUUGUAGAUCCUUUUAUUGAAAAUGUUUUAUAUCCAAAUCCAUGCAUCCAAAUCUCAAACCGUUUUCACGUUGGAUUCCUCACGUCGAGAUCUUCAAAAUUAUAUCCGUGUAGAUAGGUUUUCACAAACUUUUUUCAUGAAAAAUGCGAACAAAAUAACCAAACCGAAAGCACAUUUUUUUCCUUUUUCGAAAGAGGCAUGAUCGUACCCCUCGUGGAAGUAAAAAGAAGAAAAAAAAAAUUCUCCCCGUUUUCGAGCGGCAUGGUCAUGCCCCUCACGGAAGGAAAAAAGAAAGAAAGCGCAUUUUAUCCAUUUCCAAAAGGCACGCGGAAGAUUAAAACACAAAACAUAUUUUUUCCGUUUCUAAGAGGCAAGGUCAUGCCUCUCGUAGAUGCAAAUCCGUGCGUCUCGCAGAAGCAAAUACGUGCCCUCAUGGAAGAAAAAAUAAACAUGUAUUUUUUCGCUUCUAAGAAUUACGGGGUGCCUCUCACGGAAGCAAAAUCAUGCCAAUCGAGGAAGUAAAAAAUAUAUUUUUUGCUCAAUGAAAUCAAUUUUUCUUUCCAAAUGUUAAGAAAGAUCGACGAAAAACCAAAGAGCCAAAAUAACCAUGACAAAACCAAAUAAAAAGCCAAAAAUGCAUGCAAAAAAUGAAAUAAAAAUAAAAAAUUCGGAAGAAGCGUCUAAAGCAUGACACAUGGCAGGUGGUAAGAGAUUGCCAAAUGGCACGCUCUCAGCAUGACCCUUGAGAGGCUUCCGAAGGGGUGCUCCUCCACUAGUGGCACACUCUCAGCGUCAUUCAGUAUUGUAGUGAGCGGAUGUAUGCUUCGGGUGCACCGAGUGUAACAUCCGAGUCGCUAAAGGGGGUGAGCAAGAUGGGCCGGUCCAUGCAGGCGAGACCACAACCUGUUUUUCUGUUUUCUGUUUCUGUUUUCUAAACAUACGAUUUAUGUGUAUUUUAGGUCUUUGAAUCAUAUAGGGUCAUGGUAUUCACCAUACAGCAUGUAGAAUAUUUAUUCUUCACCCCUUCUGUUUUAACAUCACAACAUCAUAUUUUUAUGUUUGGUAAUAUUUUGUGUUAUGUCAGAAGUCAAACGCGAACGUAAGAAAAUAUAUAUCGGCUAUGACAAAUAUUUUAUGUUAAGUAAAAUAAUGAAAUUAAUUUAGUACACAACAUACAUAAAAAUGUAUAUUUUUUGUAGCCUUUAGGCUUACCUUAUUUUCUCGUGCCAAAUUUACCAUAUUGAAACAAUAUGGACAUAACAAUUUAUGUACCAAACAUAAUUUUAUAGCGAAACGAUCUUAAGAAUAACUCGAGUGCAAAAUGACAUACUCUGCACCCUGGGUGUUGAGUGGGAGAGGAUUUGGGGCAUGCAGGUGCGGGGCACCGAGUCUCUCGCGCGUGCUUUUUUUGGCUUUUUGAUUUCCAGACUUUCAUUUCUUUUGAAUAAAAAUUCUAAAUUAAGUUAUUUUUUCAUAUUCGUGUUUUUGCUCACGAGGGCUUCCGAAUAAGAUCCAUUUUUGAUGAUUUUUUUUGUGAAGUUCCAACUCUUGAAGCUUACUAUGAGAGCCACCGAUUAUAAAUCACGAUUUCAGUGCCGACGACCGACAAAAAAUUGCUUACACUUUCAGCUCUGAAACUUGAUACACACGAUCGAGAAAAUCAGAAUUUUUAGAUGCAAAAUCGUAAGUUUGAACAAUUAAAACAUAAAAUUUACUCUGCCGUCGUGCGGGGUGUAACUACUUCAUGAAUUGCGAGACAAUCUAGCGGCGAGGCAAGGCUUGACAGGUGCGCGCUCCUGAGAUUUUCUAGGCAAAGAUAGCAUUUUUAUGUAUAUUUAUGUAAAAGUACUUUAUAGUUGAGAUUAUCAUGACAAGUAAAAAUGACUUAUUCUGCAUCGUGGAUGAUAUCUUAGAACCACUUAGUCGACUUAACAUGCUAAAUGUGAAAAGAUGACGAUAGAGGUGAGACUGUGACAAGUUGGUGCUAAUCUAUUAGUAUAACAGGUCUUAUAUGGCACAAUCAAGAUCCUGACAACCCCGCACUCAUUAACCUAUCUUGUUUUGGCAUAAUAACCGCAACGAAAGCUCCAACAAAAGCAAGGAUUGAAAGGCGUCAAUCCAAUCGUGUGACCUUCAAAUACUUGGUGUAUCUUAAUGCAUUGCACCAGCGACGUCGUUUUUCUAGCUGGACCAAAGCUCUUUUAUGCAUGAAUGAUUGCUCACCCCACGUACUUUACGUCGUUGCAUGCACCACCCCUGAGGAAACUGAAGCAGCCACGUGGCAUACCUGGUGGGCAAUCUCUUCUUUUUGGCAUACUUGGUGGGCAAUCAAAGCUUUAUGAUUGAUAGUAAAAAAGAUGAACGUACGCCUGUAUGUAUAUACGUCAUGUACGUGGUGGCUCCUAAGCCUCAAAUGUCGCAAAGAGAAAAGUCACACGUGUUUAUCAUGUACACACAAAGCUCUUUUUAUAUUUUUUUUGGCAAAAUGAUGUACACACAAAGCUCUUUUUUUUUUUAUCUUUGGCAACAUCAUGUACACACAAAGCUCUCUUUUAUGCUUGGCAAAAUCAUGUAGACGGAGGUCAGGCUAUGUGUGCCUAACUAGUUACCAUUGAGUGUACAUUGGACCAGGCAUAGAUAGUAAUGGAAGUAAUGGUAUACACGUCAUCCAUUUGGAUACGAGCUAAGACGGGAGAAACCCUUUUGAUCCAAUCCGACGACAGCAUGCAGCUAGUGCGGGAAACGAUAGCAAUUUAAAAAGUAAGCGAGUACACCGAUCAUGCACAAAGCACCCUCCGAUGGAAAUGAGACGGGAUCCAACUUGCGGGGAGGCGAAUGGGACAGCUCGAUCGUAGGAUAUGAUAGGAUAUGAUAUUGUUUCUCUAAUAAGAAUUCGCGUAAUUGGGUUGCUAAACCCCCCUGGCUCUGUCGUUUGUAAUCUCGUGUCGACGAUGUAACCUUUUGCUUGACCAUCAAUAAAGCUUGAUUGACGUGGUGGCCUUCACUAAAAGAAAAGCAUGAUCUACCUUCACCUUAUUUUACAUCUGAUGGAUGUGUGCCCUUGGAUGCCCACCCAACGGCUAGAGGUUAAAGACUGAGGAUUUUUAUUGCCAUUGAAGAAAAUGAAAAAUGAGUCUCCAUGUGCCAGCAGCAAGUCCUAAAAGAAUGACGCAGAUUUAGCUUGCUAGGUAAGUUUCAGAAAAUGACAAAUAUAUAUUUAGUCCAGCAAAAAUAGAAUGCGACAAACCAUGAAGAUUUGAUACAAAAAUAAAUCAUAAUUAAGCUUCAUGAUGAUUAAAAAUACCGCGAGGUGAGGCUAAUUUAGAUGGUUAGGCCCCAUGUGGUGGAACCAAUCCAUCCAGAUUCAAAUCCUACAAUUAACACUUGCGCUCGCAUAUUUUCUGAAUUGACUUCGGACUUUGCGGUGCUAUACAUUCAGUGGUAUGGCGUGCCGUUAACUACACGGUGCCUAUGAAGACUUCAUCAAUAUCAAGAUCUACCGGUUCCUUCUCUCGAAAGUGCUCCCAGGAUAGAGUUUGUGAGCGUUUGCAUCUGUACCGUGUUUCUCAGAAAAUUAAUAAAAUUUAAUGGAUCUCAAGGUCUCCAUUGAUAUGAGCUUCGCCAUGUACAACCAAAGAAGCGCAGCACCUCCCCUCCCGUGGUUGUGGAAGGGGAGCACCAGGUUAGCCGAAUCGAGAAGCAACGGUGGCACCAACGAGGAAGCGAGUGAACAAAUCGGGCAAAUUGCCUGACAUAGUGGCUGGAUCUGAGCUCGCCUGGUGGAGCUCCCAACUGUAGUCACGAACCGUGUUUUGGUUCAGUGAUGUCUCAAAAACACCGGAGUAAACCUGAAAAAAUUAGGGUGUUAACUAAACCAGAGACGGGAAACCAAUCUAUGGUGGAAUAGUUAGAAGGAUAGAUGUAUCCCUAACCCAUUAGAGUUCAAUAUCUAGCCUUGAUACUGGUGCUUGCAUUUUUCUUCAUUUAUUUCAAGCCAUUUGACGAUGCUUGUUCAGUGAUAGAAGACGUUUUCGUCGACUACGAAGACGUCAUUAACGACUUUCUAUCUUAAAAUGAUGUAUCUGCUCAGUAUCUUGAAGAUGCACAUAGAGAUAGGAUACACAUGCAUACAUUAAUUUAGGUAAAUGUAUGUACGUAUGUAUAAGCGUAUGUACUGUGUUAAGAAAUAAGCUAAACCACAGACAUUUGCAAUCACAGAGAAAUCAAGAAAUAAAAGGUAAUUUGUGUCACAGGUUUGCUAAUUGAGGGGAAAAUAAUAAUUUUUCCUAAAUGAGGUAAAAAUAUGUCAGAAACAUGAAACAAGGAGAUUAAAAAAAUGAAUUCACUCAUUUUAUAUAUAUAUAAAAUUUCGACUGAUGAAUUCAUUAAACAUCUUUGCGAACAUUGAUGGGCUGGAUCGUGGUCUAUAAACACACAGAAUAAGUGUGCCGCCAAUCCUAGGACCCAGGCCGAAUCAUACGGAAUCAUCAUCAUCGUACUAGUUUGUUUUACAUACAUACAGUAGGUACAGGCACCUGCAGACCGUGGUGCGAAUAUUAUUUUUCUUGGAAAAGAAAAACGUCUUAUACGAAUAUUAAAGCUUGCACGACUCAUGCAUGAGCCAUGCAUGCCUGCAUGCGUGCGUGCGUGCGUGCGUGAAUCUAGACCACCUCGACAGAACGGGCAAAGCCCGCCCCCGGGGCCGCCGCCUCAGUAGCGCAUCUCCUGGGGACGUCGCCGGCCAUCUCGGUGACCGGGCGCACCUCGGCGCAUGAGCUCUUGUCGGCCUUGCCGACGUUGAUCACGACGACGUGGUCCUCUGCGGGCACCUUCCAUGCCUCUUUCCCCUCCUUGGCAUCGGUUGCCACCACCGGCGUCGCGUUCAUGUAGAACAUGUAGAGGACCAUCUGGAUCAUCCCGAAGGUGAAGCCAAGGAUGUUUGGGAGCUGGAAACACAAAUUUAAUCAUCGAUCACUGCUCAUGCUUGAGAAUUGUAUGCGUAUCCAUCUGCCAUUAGAAGGAUCGUUUGUGUAGUUACCGCGACGUAUUUGUCCUUGAUGAGCAGGCCGUAGAGGAACCAGACGAUGGCGCUGAGGGUGAGCGUGAGGGAGAGGGAGAAGGGCAUGUACUCCACACUCUUGGUCUUGAUCACACGACCCUUUGGGAAGGACAGAACACAUACAAGAGGUUGAGGAAUGAGCAACAAUAUAUACAGCAAAGUUUAUCGGUCGAGGGCUCACGAUGAUGCUGAGAGGCGCGACGAAGACGCACACGGAGAAGCCGACGCAGAUCCAGCCGAGUGAGACGACGCGUGUCUCGCCGUGGAAGGCGAAGAGGGUGAGGACGAAAAUGAGCCCGAAGCCGGCGAUGUUGAGGAGGAGGACGAUCUUGGCUGUGAAAAUCUUGGCCUUCCUGGGGGCGUAGACGAGGUACAUGAUGAUGUAGACGGUCUCGAUGACGCAGCCGGCAGCGUUGAUGGUGAUGAGGAGGCCCUCGCCGGUCUUGACCAGCGCGUAGAAGAUCCACAGCAUCGCGCUGAAUAGGGCCACGACAUAGGGCACCGACUGGAACCCCUCC